This 118732-nucleotide long non-coding RNA is filed under the name Setaria italica (foxtail millet). Its description in RNAcentral is "long non-coding RNA (SITA_LNC001600)". Lineage: Eukaryota; Viridiplantae; Streptophyta; Magnoliopsida; Poales; Poaceae. The record is from RNAcentral.
AUACUCAGCACAUGUUUGGAGGGAGAACUGCUCUUGGAACUUUGUAGGAAUUGUUUCGAAGUCAAACUAAAUCACUAAAUCAUACAGAUUAGAAUCAUAAUCUCUCCUCUCCCCAUAGAGAGCUCAGUGUUAGAAAAUAUUAGUAAAAUUAUUGAAAUGUCAACUUCAUCUUUUUUUUGAGACCAGGCUCGACCCCAUUUCUAUUCAUCUUCUUUAUGUCAACAUUUGUAUCAAGAGAUUUAUCAUCUUUGAUUUUGACUCUUCGUACAUGAAUGCAUUUGUACCAUUUUAUGUAUUUGUUCUGUAAUGCCUACAAUUACUUACCUGCAGUAACUUAGUUAAUGGUGGUGCAUGCUUGGGAGUUAAAAGUGUACAGUAAAGAUAGUUCCUCUAAUACAAGGAUAUAGAAUUAAUCACUCUCAAUAAAGUUACUUGAUUGCUGAAGGUUAUUGGUGGAGAAUUGCAAGCUGAUAAAUAAUUGCUCAACUUAGAUUUGAGAUAACUUGUGGAAAUUACUUCUUCAGUAGGUCAUGUUGAGUUUGCAUGCAUCAUCGGAUUUCAUAUCAAGUGAUGGUUAAUUAGAUCUCAGAUCCUUGAUACACCCAUUUUUUGUAGUUGUAAAUUCUGGUCUAAUAAAUUUUGGCCCUUACUGUUUGUACACUAUAGGUAUUCUGGGAUCACUAGGAAGGAUAUAAAGACCCGCUGUCCAGUUUGCCGUGGUCUCUGCGACUGUAAAAAAUGUGCCCUUGGUCAAACCAAGGGUGCUAUGCGUAAGGUGGUCUUUCUUUUCAAUUUCACCAUAGUGUGAGCAAUUUGACAAUGCCAUUUUCUUGUUUUAUAUUUAUUUUUUGGUGUUUAUAUCUUGGAUCUCCAGGAAUCACCAAGUGGUGAGGGGAAGAUACUCAGCAUAAAAAUUUCCAACCAUCAAUUUUACAAGCUUUUACCUGUAAAACUUGACCAGGAACAGCUUGAUGAAUUGGAAUUAGAAGCUAAAAUACAAGGUUUGUUUGUGCUAUUCUUUUUUUCAAACCAGACCUCUGUGGUUCUAUUAUGACCUAAUUGUCUGCUCUUAUUUAGGAACAAAGAUAUCUGAUGUUCGAGUCCAGGUUGCUGAAAAUGGCCAGAGCGAGUCACUGUACUGGUAAGCUCUAAUCUCUUAUGUUGCUAUCAGUUACAUGCAAGCUAGUAACAUGUAUCUCAAUUUAAUCAGUUUUCUCCCUUCACUUUGUGUUAUGUUGAGGAUGACACGUAUCAAUCUUGCAUAUUAUAUGAAUGGUUAAAUAUUUCUUUGGUCAUGCAAAUGUUAAUCUGCGUGCGGUUAUCACUAGCUAAGUACCAUUACUGUUCUAGUUGUGUCAGUUCUGUUUCACCUGUUCAUGUCGUAAAACAAGGCAACUCUAUUACCUUCGCCUGUUAAUCUAACAUUAGAUGUGCUGAAAGAGUUAUUGUACCCUCAUGGUGCUUUUGCAUUGAAGCAUCUAUAUUGAGUCAUCCUAGGGAGAGCUCAGUUUUUUUUUUAAAAAAAAGUUUACAUCAUGGUUUACGCAUUUCUUUUGUUUAUAUAUGCCUCUUGUUGUGUUUAUGCUGCCUUUUCGUGUAUUUGUUUAUUGCAGCUGCCAUCUUGUUUCAAUUUCAAAUUUAUUAACCAGAGAUCUUAUUGAAUGUUUAUUUUGAAAGCAGCAAUAACUGUAAGCUCUCAGCGAGCCAGUUCCUGAGAUGCUGCCCGGCAUGCCCAUUUAAGCUGUGCCUAAGUUGCUGUCACAAGAUACGUGAAGGAAACAUGUCAGACAGCACCCCUGAAGAUAAAUUCAAGAACAGGUUGCUUCAGCAAGAGUCUGUCCAUGAGGAUGGCAGCAUUACUUGCCCUUCAAUUGAGCUUGGUGGCUGCGGUGAUGCGCCGCUGAACUUGAUAUACGCAUCCCCUUCUGGACAGUCUGAAGAGCUCAGUUCAGAUGAUGAACUACAUGCUCCAGGCAAUCAUUCUGGAGUGAAGGAUGCUCAGGUUCAUAGCUCACCUGCACCAGAGAGUAAUGGAAGAUUAUCUGCUGCCCAGACGGAAACCGUCUCCACAUAAUCACCUAAGAUGUAGCUCCAGUUGCAGGUAUGCAUUCAUCUUUCAGGUUGGAGCUCAAGUUGACAUUCAUUCUGUAGCCUGAAGAGGUGUAUGAUAUGGUCAGAAUUUGGUAGAGGGUAGGUUGCCUGAUUUAGCGAGAUUAUCGGCCUGUAAGGCCAUUGAUUUUAGCUCUGUGACAUGGGGAUUCUUAUUUCAUGUGUUGUUCAUGUUCAUCUUUGAUCCGGAAGUCAUUAUGUUAAACAUCGUUGUACAUAUGGUUAUGACUUUAUUGUCAUUGCCGAGAGAUGAUGGAAAUCAUGGAAUGGUUGUACUGCCGUUAAUUAAGGGGAGAUUACUUUUUGCUGGCUAUUUUUAGAUGUGGUUUCAGUGUUCACUCUUCAGUUGAGCUUGAAUGUUACUGUUGACAUGUGAGGGUGGUUUCAUGUUUGUUCUGUCAUGCGACUCGAGCGAGUUGGGGCGGCGGCGAUGCUACUGGUCAUGGGUGGCAAGAGUUGGGGCGGGGUGAUGGCAACAUGGUUACAUCAUACAUGGAGGACACCGCUGUUGAUGGAGGUGGUCAGGCGACACUGGGAAGCGGGGACAGGCGUGUGGCACAGAGAAGAAUCGCUGAAAGAACGCAGACAGCGGUGUGCUGAUUUGGUAGAGGAGGAAGAUGAUGUGUAGACUGUUGGAUCAUCUUCAUCCAACGAGACACCAUUGUUGACUCAGGCGACUGGCUGUUAUUAUCAUUCACAGUUUUAACAUGCAAUACUGCAUUCAGUUACAUUUAAAAAAAAUCAUUAACAUUCCAUACAUUUCAAAAAUAAAAAAUUCAGUAAUAUUCCGUAGAUGCUAACAAGGUACCACAGAGUUCUUUUUAUUAAAAAAAAAGGUUACCGCAGCAUAAAAUAAAAGCAGUUUCCCAUUGCGGUCAUUAACAUUGCAAUACUGCAUUCAGUAAUAUUCCCAGUUUCCCAUUGCGGUCAUUACCGACCUUAUUCACGUCUCACGUGUCACGUCCAAGGUUGUUCACGACCGACAAGAACUGGGCGAACGCCGCACGCGAUGAUCCGCCAUCCUUCCAGGCCAUUGCCGCGGCAUCCUUGAGCGCCGCCACUCGCGAUCUGAGCCGCUCCCCUUCCUCGGACUCCAUCACCAGCCUAACCUUGGCCUCCACCUCCCCGGCCUCGACCAGCCCCUGUUGGCACCAAACAACUUCCAAGCCGAUCCCUGCUUCCUCCACCAUGAACACCUUGUUCAUCUUCUGCUCGGAGUACAACGGCCAGCAAAGCAUCGGCACGCCCGCCUUGACCCCCUCGAGCACCGAGUUCCAUCCGCAGUGCGUCACGAAGGCGCCCGUGGCGUUGUGGUGGAGCACCUCCACCUGCGGCGCCCAGUGCUUGACGACGAGCCCACGACCUUUGGUCCUCUCCGAGAACCCGUCCGGCAGAAGCGCGUCGACGUCCGGCUCGGACGGCCUCCCCGGACCGGCGCGGAGAGGGGCUCGCACCACCCACAGGAACCGGUGGCCGGAUCUCUCCAGGCCGGCGGCGAUCUCCCUGAGCUGCUCCUCCGAGUGGGUGGCAGCGCCUAUGCUCCCAAAGCAGAGGAACACGACGCUGCGCUCUGGCUGCGUGUCCAGCCACGCGAGGCACUCGUGCUUGCCUUCUGCCUCGGCGCCGGCACCCGAGGCGACCAAUGGCCCGACGCAGUACACCGGGGGCAUCCUGCGCUCGCUGCCGCCGGGAAGAAGAAUCUGCAGAUCCCUGAGAGCUCCCACCGCCCGUUCCUCCAGCGAAGCGAACGUGUUCACCAAGAUGCCGUCGGCCUCCGUGUUCCUGCACAUGAAGUUCAUCAUCACCUUGUAGAUCUCACUCUCCGGGUCCUCGAGCAGUUCAGCGCAGAGGUGGGAAGCCGGUAAGGGCACCACGCCGUGGAUGUCGAGAGGGGUGUCUCCUAGCUCCCUGAAGCUUGGCUGGCCUUCCUCGCGCAUGGACGGAAGCUGGACGAACACCGCGAGCGCGGAGGCGUUCAUGGCGUAGAAGGUGUAGCCCGGGACCCCGAGCUCCUUCGUGACGUCUAACGCUUCCAUGGACACCGCGUCCACAAUCACCGCGCGGACGCUCCGGGGAGGCAUGGAUGAGAGGAACUCACGGAGGUGCUCGUUGUAGCGCCUGACCAUCUCCAAGUACCCGAGGAGAAACUCCACGCCCCUCUUGAGGGUGGGAGGGUUUUUGAUCCGAGGGAGCGUGUGGAAGGUGACCGACGGCUUGGCGGAGGCGACGCCGCGGACGGUGGCGGCGAGGGCGACAUCUUGGUCGAGGGUGAGGUCGAUUAGCGCGACGGCGACGGCGUAGCCGUCCGCCAGGAGGACGUCGGCGAGCUGCAUCAUGGGGACGAAGUGGCUGACGGCGAGGCCGGGGUACAGGACGAUGGUCUUCUCCAUGGCCUGUUUUACUUUCUGGGCGUGGCUCUCGGUGCCGGCAGUCGGCACUAGGUUUCGCCUUCCCGUCUUCCCGGGGAAGGAGAUGUUGUGGACUGUUAGACAAGAAAAGGCAAAAAUCUAUAUGAUUGAGGAUAGGACGAGCCGCGACAGGUCCGCGCGACCCCCUUUUGUCCUGCCAUCGUGCUGGAGUGUUGGGCCUUGUUUAGUUGGCUAAAUUGGGAGGUGUCAAAUUAGUGUGCUGGCACUGUAGCACACUGUAGCGUUUCGUUUAUUUGUGAAUUAUUGUUCAAACAUUGACUAAUUAGGCUCAAAAGAUUCGUCUCGCAAAGUACAACAAAACUGUGCAAUUAGUUUUUAAUUUCAUCUAUAUUUACUACUCUAUGCAUGUACCGCAAGUUUGAUGUGAUGGGAAUCUUCUUUUUGCAUAGUGCCAAAGUUGGGAGUUAGGGAUGAAAUAAACAAGGGCUUGGUUUGGUUUAAUGUCCCUGUUUCACGUGAUAUCAAUAAUGACAUCAACUAGAUGAAAUCAUUGUAUUUUCUUUAAACGAGCAUAAACACGCGACCCCCUUUUGUCCUGCCAUCGUGCUGGAGUCUUGGUUUGGUUUAAUGUCCCUGUUUCACGUGACAUCAUCGAUGGUUUGGUUUAAUGUCCCUGUACAUAUGAAUUAUUCCUACGUUUGUCCAUGUAUCCGAGUCCUUGAUCUAUGGUUCUCUUGGUCGAGGGUUGUGCCUUGCAAGGUCAAGUCAUAAUUGGGACGACGGCAAUGUCCAUGGCGCACGCUUUGCCGCUUGAAUUAACUCUUUCUUGUUAGGCACGUAUGUAAUACUGAUGGUCUGAUGCCACAUCAGACUAUAGCUCACUAAUUAACCAUCUGCUGUAAAACUAUCCUGAACACUAGCCUCUCGGUAAAUAAACACAAUUCUAUGCAUUAUUUCUUUUAUACUAAUAAAUUCUAGGACUGUUGAUCCCUACAUGUAGACAAUAUGCUCGAAAUACAUAUAAAAUAACAAUUAACAGAGUAUAUGUCAGGACCCCAGGUAUGAAAUACUCAAGUUCCUGUUGUGCUUACUGUACUUGUCCCAUGAUCAGUUCACAAGUACGCACAAUAGCACUGGUAUCACAAUUGCACACAAAAAUUUGUUAGUAAAAUUAAAAUUUAAUCAGAGCUAAAAUAUAAUCUACAACCAAAGUAAAUAGAAAUACAGGACUUCCAUCCUACAGUAGUGUGCCUCACCAUCCCACAACUGACUGGGAGUUAGUCCUAGAAAGAACCAACGUUGCAAAACCCACAUCCUUCGGCACGGAACUGAACAGAGACGAUUCUCCUUCAAACUCUGGAUUUUUAAUUUAAGCAAUAAGGGUGAGUUCAAUUUUGUACUCACAAGACUUAGAGUGUAUAGAAAAAUCCUAUCAUAAGGUAAACAAGGAAGGCUGACAGGUUCAUGCUGCAUUUUAUUUAAAUUCAUCAUUUUACGUAUAUUUAAUAAAUUAGUUUAGUAUAUUUAAAAUAGAAUGGCAUUACCAAUCAUGACUCACCAUUUCCCAUACCGCAUUAGGUCCUCUGACCAGCUAUAUCGGUCCGAAACAUUUGAAUCGGUGCAUGUGAUAUCAUAUAACCCUUAUCCAGGUUUUCAAAACCAAAACUCUAUAACCGGCGGCUAGUCCAAGUUGCUCAUGACUGUGAGCACGGCUAUUCGAAUAGUCUUUAACGCUCUGCAGAGUUUGUACACUUUACCCACACGACAUGCUCCACUUUGAUGCCAUCGCAAAUUGACACAUUUCCGAGAUGUGCCGGCAAGUGAGCAUGACAGAGUUGUUACAUCAGUCGGACCCGUCAUAAUGCUACACAACAGACUAUAGAAGCACCUCCAUACAUUUGCCCGGGUUAGCUACCCCGACACCGUUGAGCAUCUCGUGCACUCGGGCGGUAACAUCACCUCGGAGCCAACUGACUUAGUAAGCUAAGGCCGUACCCAUUAAGCACAUGUGGUUGUACUAUAACACUUCGACUAGAAGAUGCCAAUUUCCGGUCCUUAAUUUGACACGGGUGAGAAUCCCUAAAAUGCGCCGAAAACGCAUAUAGGACCAAGUCAUAUCCACCAUUCAUUUUAUCAUCCAUCUUUCUUUAUCCUCAUAUCAUCAUGACCUCUAGACCAUAUUAUCACCCGCAUCUACCAUAGAGUUUUUAUUUUUUCAAAUAUAAACCAUAUUUAUCUUUCAAAUCAUCCCUCCCAAGUGAUGCUAUUUAAGUGACCGCGUAUUAGCUCUAAGCAAACUAAGCAUAUGACACCGAACUGAACGAAUAACCCAUAGCCUUACGGCGACAAGGUAUAAAAGGUUUAAAAUAACAAGGCAGGUAUAUGUAUUAAAGUAGCGUGUCUACCCGAUACAAAAUGACAUUUGGACUCAUAAAAUCAUCGUCGCAUGCAUGUAAAUCACAGGCUUAGGCAUUUAAAUAGGAGCAAAGAUGAUCAAGGGGGUGCUUGCCUUGUUGCUGAUCAUUCAUGUUCUCGAGUAUCAGGUCAGAGCCUCGCUAGGCAUCCGGCACAGCUAUGAACGUCUCGUCGUCUGCUCGAAUCGGACGAAUGCAAGGUACAUGCAAAACAACCAAAUAAACAGCAAUGAAGAACCGAAUAAACACCAUCAGAUGAUAGAGCAUGAUUUUAGAACAUCUUAGCAGAAAGAAUCGAGUUAUUUGGAGUUCAUAUGAGUGAGAUAUACAAGUUUGAAGUUUCGAUAUGAGAUUAAAAAAACAGAACUGUUCGGAUUAACUUCGAUUUUUCCAUCAUUUUCGUCAUUUAUUUUUGCACCGUAAACUCACAUGAAUAGGUUCUAUUUCAUUGGCAUGACAUGCAUUCUUCAUGUAUUUCUCUUUUUAUUUUCCAACAGGAAAAUGGGUCAGGUGACGUCAUGCUUAAGUCAGCAUGAUGUCACUGCCCUUUAAACUGAGCAGAGCACCGCGAGUGCGCGGGGCAGCUUGGGCUGGCGGUGCCACGCGGGCUGAGCACGGGACGGCCAGCGACGCAAGGCUGCGUGGUGGAGCGGGCGGGCACUGCGCGAGGCAGAGCGUACUACGCACGCGGCUGGGCGCUCGCGGCGGGAGACGGCUGUGGUGGCGUAGUGCGGCGGCUGGGAGCCCGGCCGGUCGAGCAAGCUCGUGGCCAGCCCGUUGCCGUGUCACGCGUUCGAACGCGUGCCUGAGUGCGAGUACGUGCGCACGCGGCGCCGGCCGUGACAAGGAAGCGCACGUGGCCGUGUGCGUGCCGGCUUGGCCGUGCCAUGGAAACGGCCGGCGGUUCGGUACGCUCGCAUCAAGGCCAUGACGGGGCCAGGAUCGCCGCAGCAUGCGGCCGGGCGUGUGCAGCGGCCAAGCUACGUGCUUGUGCGGUCGGUGCUCGCUAGCGUGAUGGUGACGUGGUGUCCCACGGCCGCGACACGGCUUGCUGCUCCAAUUUGCUUGCCGAAGGAGAUUAAGAGGAGAGAGACAGAGACGUGCUUGGAUUUGGAGGAGUAGUGGGCAAGUGAGUGGAUAGCUGCUGACAUGCAUCUCGCGUGGGAGAAAAGAGCAGAGGGAGAGAUCGAGUGAAGGGUUGGUACUUGGUAGCAGGCAAGGAGGAGCUGGUGGUGCUCUCGUGCUACUGCUGCUGAUUAUUUACUUGCCGACAGAGAGAGAAGGGAUAGGGGAGACAGAGGUGGGGUGGACAGGAUGAAUAUAAGCACGAGCCACGACUUUUAGCUCGGUCAGAUGCCUCGAGUUUGGUGAGAAUGCAUCAUCAUCCAUCCAUGACAGCGGCGCAGCAACGGUGUCCUUCGCGCGGGCGGCGUGGUCAGGUGGCUUGGAUGGCAGCGGCGCUCGGCACUUCGUCUUCCGUGACGUGCGCACGAUUCCUGCGCAAGGCAGUAAAGGAGGAAGAAAGGGAAGAGAAGGGUCCGGCUCACUUGCGGGCUGAGCGUGGUAAGAGGAUGACGAGCGGAACCGCGAGACCCACAUUCAGAUUAUGGUGAGGACAAAGUUGGGCCUGAAUGAAAAAGAUGGGCCGCAGCAGGUAUUGUCCAGAAUGAGAUUUAGUUUAGAAAAAGAUUUCGUAUUUGAUUUGGAUUUCAGAAGUUCAAACGUAAUUCUAUUUAUUUAAACCUUCUCCAAAAAUUCCAAGAAAUUCACCAAAAAUUACUUUGAUGACUUAGAACUUUUGUAGCAAAGUUUGAAGAUUUAUUGUAUUACUUAUUUUUUAACAACAUUUUAAACAUGCUCAAAGAGGGUUGUUAAUGCAUAAAACAUGAGAAGAACAAAUAAAAGCCAAAGAAAAUUUUAUUUAUUUAUUUAUCUUAAUUUCAUUUCUGUUUGAAUUUUGGGCUGUUACAGUAUAUGCAGUUAGUGCAAAUUGACACAAAGUUAGAUCUAAAAGAGAAUCAAUAUAAACGACUCUAAACUCCAAAUUAGAUUGCAUAAUGAAUAUCUCGUCAAAACCACUGAAUUGAACAUAUCACAUGCCAAUUUUGCAGAUAGGAUGGGAGAGACACGUCACACGCAAAAUGCAAAUGAGACUAUGAGAGAAAAUGUCAGCUCGUAGGAUUGCAGUCCACAGCAGCUUGGGUGGCCCACAGUUGUUGUUGCUUUGUUGCACCCACCGGCCAGGGCAAGGCCGGCGUUGCUUUGCCGCCUGGCGCGCGCUCGUCCGACUGCAGGCGUGGGCUGACCGAGCGGGCCCAAUUCCAUAUCGAUGCAGGCGUGGGCUGCAGUGUGCUCGAAGGGCCGAAAUUUCAGCUCGCGGGCCGACGGUCCCGCCCAGCCGCUCUGAUCUGUCGAUUGGCAUGGGAUUAAUUCCUAUCGAAGAAUUACUGUAUAGCUAGCCCGUCUUAGUAGGUGAGUUCAGAAGAUGGGCCCAUAAGUCAGUGGCGCAAGGUCACUAAUGCAAAGAAGACUCGCCUAAGCGUUCUGGAGUGAAGAUUGCUCGGAUUCAUCGCUCACCUAUACCAGACAGCAAAGCAAGAUUAUGUGCAGCAGAGACGGAAUUCCUGUUCUGUGGGGAGUACCAUAGAAUAUUUUGUUGGAGUUGUUCCAAAUUCACUCCAGGAUAUAGGCCGGGCUUCUGACGGAGCGGAGGCCCAUCGCCGGAGACUCCAUAGAAUGUUUUGUACGGUACAGCAUAUACACCCUUGCUAGGGUUUCGUGGAGACUUGAUUCUCUUGUAAGCCGCCAUAGGCGUGUAACCCAAAACUCCUGAGAUAGUGAGAUUGUUGCUGGCUGGUACCCGUGGUUUUUCCCCUUCAUAUUGAAGGGGUUUUCCACGUUAAAUCGUGUGUCUCCUCUGUGGCUUGAUUCUUUACUUCAUAUUUCCAUACGUCGUUCAUAACAUGUUGUAUCGCAAUGUUCAUUCAAUAACAAUCUAUAAUAAGCUACCACAGCGUACAGGCAAAAGCGUUUCAAUUUCAUCUCAAUUAUGCAUCACAAUGGAGUCAGCGAUGCGUGAAGCACGUCUUCUCCCGUCCGACAAGAACUGGCCAAACGCCGCGCGCGACGAGCCGCCGGCCUUGCAGGCGACGGCCGCGGCAUCCCUGUGCGCCGCCACUCGCGCCCUGAGCCGCUCCCCUUCCUCGGACUCCAUCACCAGCCUGACCUUGGCCUCCACCUCCCCAGCCGUGACCAUUCCCUGCUCCCACCCAGCCAUCUCCACGCCGACCCUGCCCUCCUCCACCAUGAACACCUUGUUCAUCCUCUGCUCCGCGUACAUCGGCCAGCAGAGCAUCGGCACGCCGGCGGUGAUCCCCUCCAGCACCGAGUUCCACCCGCAGUGCGUCAAGAACGCGCCCGUCGCCCGGUGGCGGAGCACCUCCACCUGCGGCGCCCAGUGCUUGACGACGAGGCCCCGGCCCUUGGUGCUCUCCAGGAACCCGUCGGGAAGGAGGGCCUCGAGGUCCGCGUCGGCGCCGGACUCGAACAGCCUCGGCGUGUCGCCGCUCACAGGGGCGCGCACCACCCAGAGGAAACGGUGGCCGGAGUUCCGCAGGCCGGCGGCGAUCUCCCUGAGCUGCUCCUCCGAGUGGGUGGCGGCGCCGGUGCUCCCGAAACAGAGGAACACGACGCUGCGCUCUGGCUGCGCGUCGAGCCACGCGAGGCACUCGUGCUUGUCUUCUGCCUCGGCGCCGGCGGCGCCAGAGGCGACCAGUGGCCCGACGCAGUACACCGGAGGCACCCUGCACUCUCCGCCGGGAAGAAGAAUCCGCGGGUCCCGGAGAGCCCCCGUAGCCCGAGGUUCCAGCGACGCGAACGUGUUCACCAGGAUGCCAUCGGGCUCCGUGUUCCGGCGCAUCAAGUUCAUCAUCUGCUUGUAUAUCUCGGUCUCCGGGUCCAGGAGCGUUUCGCGCAAUAGGUACGACGCCGGCAUGGGAGGGACGCCGUGGAACUCGAGAGGGGCGUCUCCGAGCUCCUUGAAGCUGGGCUGGCCUUCCGCGCGGAACCAGGGGAGCUGGAGGAACACGGCGACCGUGGAUGCGUUGACGCCGUAGAAGGUGUAGGCCGGGACCCCGAGCUCCCUGGCGACGUCGAGCGCAUCGGCAGAAGGCGAGUCGAUGACCACGGCAUGGACGCUCCGAGGAGGCAGGGAGGAGAUGAACUCGCGGAGGCGUUCGUUGUAGCGCCUGAUGAUGUCGAAGUACCAGAGGAGCGGUUCGCCGUAGUCUGCGACGGCGGGAGGGUUCUGGAUGCGGGGGAGCCUGUGGAUGGCCAACGACGGCUUGGCGGCGGCGACGCGGUCGACGGCGGCUGCCAGGGCGUCGUCGUGGUCCAGGGUGAGGUCGAUGAGCGCCGCCGUGACGGCGUAGCCCUCCUCGAGGAGGACGUCGGCGAGCUGCAUCAUGGGGACGAAGUGGCUGACGAAGACGCCGGGGUACAGGACGAUUGUCUUCUUCAUGUUCAUGGCUUUGAUUCUCUGCCUGCUUCGUGGUGCUGGAUGCUAAUCGGCUCUAUCUUUGCAGUAGAACUCGUGGCCAGCCCGAGCUCUUGCUUUCGGGGAGAAGGGUGUUGAUUUCGCGUCGACGUUGGAGUGAAGAUAUAUAUGAGAGAGAGCCGAUGGAAUGCUAAGUGUGGAUAGCUAAUUAAAAAUAGUGACAGUUCGGCUAGACUUAUAAGCCAACUAAAAAGUUGAAACGGCUGAUUUGUUGUGAGAGAAAAAUAUUGUUCGGUGGCUGAUAAGCCGGCUGAUAAGCUAAAGUGAACAUCGAAAAAAAUGCCGGGUAUACAUCAAAGUUCAGAUUUGAAGAGGCGUUGAACAUGUUUCACAAGGGAGUAUCUGUACCAACCAGUACUCAAAUAGAUUCAAGUCCAACGAAUCUGUAUUAAUUGAGGAAGCAAAGCAUCGGUCAUUACUAAAUUUUUCUAAUAAAUCAAGCCCCAUUUCCUUUGUCACCGGAAACCAGGUACGGUAUCAAGUUACUCGUUGAGUGACUGGAACGGAGAUAAUCUCAUUCUCGAGUAUCUUAAGCUCAAUAAUUUUUUUUUCUAAUAACUACUUAAUGAGCAUGUUCCAAUAUCUUUUUCCAAUAUCCUGAAAACCAGAUUUGCUGACAUGGAGAAUUUUCUGUUUGGUUUUGCUGACUAGGAACGACCCGUCAGCAGCCCCCUCCCCUGCUAAUCCAACUUCUCGCAUGUGCCCUCCCGUGAUUCUUUGGUUUCGCCGGCACCCAGCUCCGCCUCCCCUCCACGCCGCAAGCAGCCCUCGACCAUGUAGCCACCUAGCCUUGCUAAGCCUGCCGGGUGCCGGCGCAGUGCCCAUACUCCCAGUAGCACGUACCCCCACGUGGAACUAGACCCUGCGUCGCUGUCGAUUACCACGAGUCAAAUGGAUUCUAUUGGUAAUGAAGAAUAUGCCAGAGGAAGGAAUCGAUGAGAGACUCGCUAUGGAUGUCGAAUUUGACCGGCAAACGCAGACUCUGCCAGCGCGUUCUCUCCGUCCGCUCUCGAGCGCCGCAGUUCUUUCCGUUCCCGAGAACCGGCAACCAGCCCCACGUGCCGCCUUGCAGUGCCCGUGCCGUCGGCGGCUCGCCCCGCUCUUCAAUUCCUAUGUCUGCUCCUCCUCAUGCUCCGGACCAUGCUCCACCUGCUACGGUGGCCGCCGGCGGGGUUCGAGGAGCUCGUCAGGGAGCACUUCUGCCGCCGCGGCAGGUUCAUGCUCUGGUCGUGCGAGGCGUUACCUGCAGGAGCGCUGCGACGUCGGGACGCUCGACGACGACGCGCGCGCCACGGUUGAGGAGAGCAGGGAGCGGCUGCUCCUGUUCAGGCUCGCCCUCAGCAGCGUCGGACUGUAGCUCGCCCAUCGCUAGCCUGACGUCCACUCGGCCGAGCGAAGGGGAUGACUUGUCAAGCUGAUGUGUCAAUCCUAGUAAACUGAUUUGUCCUGCUAGUGAUUAUAUACGCAGCCUGGAACCUCCGGAAGGAGAGAUGCAUGAGAGUCUAUCAAAAUAAGGCCAUGACUAUGGAUCAACUAACCGGUACCAUCAAGCAGAACGUAAUGGCGUACAGGGAGGCUACUAAUGUAGUUCAAUAAACCAUGUACGGUACCCUGGGUACGGAAUACCCGAGCCAUUCCCGCGAGCCGCGCGCGAGCGCUCCCUCGCAGGCUCGCACCGCCCCCUUUUGCAGAAUCCGCUUCCAGGUAAGCGAAUCUUUGAAGAGAUCCUUCCACUGUCUUUACUAUCAUAUCCUCUCCUCCUACCCUUGGACUUUUUUCAUUUCUUUAAUUUUUACACACCGCAUACAGCAACAGCUCACCUACGACAGCCAGCCAAGAACGGUUGUAUUGUAUAGUACUUUGCCGAUAAGAUACGCACAAGCACGAACAGGAAUAACAGUCUCUUUCCAAAUUUGAUUUCCCCCACAGCUAGCGCAAGGAGAUCGUGCUAAUGGAUGCAAUAAUACUGGCGCAUGGCAUGCGUGCAAAUCAUGGCAGGGCCCAGUUGAUUAGGAAACAACCAAUCAUUUCUUGGGGGUAUCAAUCAUGGACAGAUCGUGGAUGAACCGUGAUCGCCAUGUGAAUUAACAAAUGGGAUGUGAACAGAAUUAGUAACUGCUAAUCCUGGAAGUGGUCUGUCAAAAGCUCUCUGAUCUUGGAAAGGUUAACAGGUUUGCCCUGAUGCCAAAAAAAAAUUUCAACAGGUUGGUCUCUGAACAACAUAUUCAGAAGAACUCUGUUCCAUUUUUGCUUGGCAUCUUUUGCAGCAGCGAGCGGAUCACACGAGGGAGCAAGCAAGCAUAUGCUCUGCUCGCUCCCCCAUUCCUAACCUAGCUAAUCUUCCUUGCCCCCAAAUGUUAGCUUCUUGUUUGAGGCAGCGGCGGCGGCGGAUCUAUGUCCAAAAAAUGGGGAAAAGAAAAACAAAAAAUGGUUUUUUUCCCUAAGAGUAAUCAGUCCCUGCAGAUGCCGGGCGAUUAUCUGAUCCGGCUGCAGAGCCGGGACACGUCGGAGGGGCGGACGGGCUUGAGGAGGAAGUCCUCGGCGCCCUCCUCCAGGCACCGGGUGAUCCGGUUGGGCACGUUCUCCGACGACAUGAUCACCACCGGGAUCUCCUUGAGCUUGGACGACUCCUUGACGUGCUUGAGGAGCUCGUACCCGGUCAUCCCGGGCAUCCAGUAGUCCGUGAUGAUCAUGUUCACGUCGGGCAGCAGCCAGCAGGCCGAGCGCGAGCAGCUCCAGCGCCCUCGUCGCCGAUUCAACAGUGGGCACUGCAAAGAUUCGAGAACACACAAUUUAGCCUCCCAAUUCGUAACUGCUGAGUCGAUCACUCGUCGAUCAAGAAGGAACAGCACACUUUGUUCGCACAUCCAUCGAAAUUUACCUCUGUAUUCGUAACUGCGGAGGAUCGAAUGCUCGUCCUGUCGUAACAGCCUGAAAGCUUCCUCUGUUCCUUGCAUUCUUACUGUGUUCUAUUCCUGACCCUGUUCUUCGUUCACCUCGUCUACUUCUGCUUCAUCUUCAUCCUGUGCGCAGGUGAAUAUACAGAUAGAAAUCCAUUUCACAUGAGUGUAUAUAUAUAUAUAGGGAGAGUAUAUAUAUACAUGAGUGUGUGUGUGUAUAUAUAUAGACACACACACAGUUAUAAAACCACCGAGUAGAAGCCUCUGACACUUGCAUGCACCUGGUUAUAGAAGAACUGUAGAUGAGGGUUUGCUCCAUAAAAACCUGAUAGCCAAAACUACUGUACAGUCAUGCUCCUUGCACAAAACUAAUUAAAUACAUGAACAUACUGACAGAUAGAUAUGAAUGAAAAAGAUGCUCCAUAUAAUGUAGAUCCUGUAAGGAAUCUGAUAUGCACAAAACCGGGAAUACAUAGAAACACUAAAUAACUUGCAAAUUAAUUGAGUGCAGUUCUUCUGCAAAUGCAGUAGACAAUAUAUGUAUACAAGUUGUAGCUCCAGCCUCACUACUAAAGGGAUUAAUUUAACAUGCAGCACAUGAUUUAGAACAGUUUUUUUGAAAAGGAUAAACUACCAACAAAAACUGAGGAGAUUUGGAAUGGCAGAUGCAUGCCUUAAAUGCUGGGGUUCAGAUAAAGAUAAGACGGCAGGUCAGACAAUAGUGUGGAGUCCAAAUGGCAGAGGGGUGCAGUUCUUCAACGAUGGGAAAGUCGCUGACCAACGAUGUAGGAGCUUGUUAUGAGGACAUCCAGCAUUGACCUACACCACGAUCACUUCUCAUGAUUCAGUUCUGAAAUUUAAAGAUGCAUACAAAGAUGGAAUAUCCAAGCCUGAAAUUCCAAAAUACCCUUAUUAGAGCAUGCCAUCCAUUUAUUGACCAUUAUUAAUGGGGUCAUGAGGAUGGGUUAGAAACAAGUAUUAAGAAAUGGAACAAAGAAAUUUUGAAAUUCACAAACUUUUGUCGGUAUGCAUCUGCUUAUUGCAUCAGUGAAACAAUAGUAGAAUAUGGCAGAGCAGGUUUGCCCUGUUCUCAAUAUAAUCCUUACGUUCAUUCCACUGUUAUAGGUCUAUUUAAUUAGAGGUUGUACUCACAAACAGAAGCUAUAAAAUAAUAUGGUAGAGAAGUUGGAAUGGGCAAAGAGUAACAAAAAUAUAAGAAGCUAUAAAACAAUAUGGUAGAGAAGUUGGAAUGGGCAAAGAGUAACAAAAAUAUAAGAACCAUUUUUUUCCUAUACUACGAAGAUCUGACCUCAAUAUUUGGAUGGCAUGCUUGAUCUCUUAUUGUAAACUGUCAAAUUAAAAUGAUAUGACCAGUACAAACUACAUGAGCAUAAGAAAAGCAUGCAGAAGGCUCUGCGUACAUCAAUCUCACAAUUCCAUGCUUGCAGUUGCCAUCGCUGGACAUGAGUACAAUCCACCACAGCUUGCUUAGCCUACGAUAGAACUCUAUGUCCCUAGUCCAGCAUCGAAGUAAUUCUAGAGAUAAAUAAAAUGUCACAUUGAGCUGACCAAAUAUACUAGAAAAAGUAAUUUCUAGAGAUAAAUAAAAUGUACAAAAUGAUUACAUGCAAACCACAUGUCCUAGCAGCAGAUGUAGACUAAUUGUAAUGAAUCAUAGUUCCAAAUGUUCUUCAUUGUGCCUAAUUUAAUUACAUUCACGAGGAUGGAAGUACCCCAGUAGUGAAAGACAAUGUCCAACGUGAGCUGAGAUCAAUGGCGUACCGGCCGGUGAUACAUCUGAAUGCCCUUGACCUGAAACGAAAAUGCCAAUACUACCAUCAAAGAUAGCACAAUGAUUCUAAGACUGAAAAUGCAACGAUAGCUACUUCAACCAGAAAUUCUAAGAGUUUUUCAGGUGGUAAAUAAUACUCGAUCCACUCAUAAACACCAUAAAUUCACAACAUUAUGCUAUGAUACCCGCAGCCAACGUAUCCUGUAUACAGUUAGCUAUUUAAUAACUAUUGAUCAUUUUCACCAUGGUGGCUCGGCUAGUUUUGAGAUAGUCCAGCACACGCUAAACCCACACACGCCAUCCUACAUCGCCACCCCGAUUCACUAGCGGUGCUGGAGCCAUCUGAAGGCCACUGCCGCUUCACCAUCUUUGUCCCCGGACAGAUGAGGUGGAGACCCGAAGGUCAACGGGACCUCCUACGCAUUACCCCAACACCGGCGUCCCCUUCACCGGCCACUGCACCAAAUGAGAUGGUCGGGUCGUCGCACAACGUUGCCACCGGUUGAUUACUCAACUUAUUUACUAAGAUAUGUUUAUGUUCUAAAUGUUAAGAUCCUAGUUUUAGUUAAUCUAAGCAACGUAGAUUUCUUAAAAAAACACAGAGACACAAGUCCUGAUUUGGGAUACUCAUCACCAGUUUUACCCCCCAAGCAAACGGUGCUGGAUAAUUGAUCCAAUGUUGAACAUGAAACUCAUCUCCAUCGGUGAAGGCAAUAAACUCAGGGACAGAUUCAAGGCCCACUACUCGAGCUUUGACAAUUAAACGAGGCCGAUGAGCAGCCGAGCAGGUCACGUUCCCAAGAAUUUAGGCGUGCAAAGUAGCUAAUGGCCUGCUCAAUGUCUUCUGAUUCCAAUUAUCAAGAGGGAAACCUAAACCUCUCGGUUCAAAUCAACAGCUUUCCAACUACCCCAUUUAAUCCAUCAUGCUUUUCCACAAAGAUAUAUAGACCCACCCCUAAAAUGACAGUGACAGGAAAUCCACCUCGUGCUCCAGCAAUGGGUCAUUCGUGACGAUGGCAGUGUCCUCGUGUCCCUGCUCAAUGUCUUCCUGAUUCCAAUUAUCAAGAGGGAAACCUAAACCUCUCGGUUCAAAUCAGCAGCUUUCCAACUACCCCAUUAAGUGGGUGUUUGGAAGAGGGGUGCUAAACUUUAGCACCCCCACUUUAGUCCAUUUUAGUCACUUGUGCUCCCAAACAGGUGAGCUAAAACUAGUGGACUAAAUUUUAACCCUCCACUAAUCCUUUAGUCACUUGGGGUAGCUAAAAUGAACUAAAUAGACUAAAAAGUGGCCCCCGGACCACUUUCCCCCCUACCCCCCUCCCCUCUCUCUCCUCCCCUCAGUCUCUCUCUCUCCCCCCGUCGCUAGCCUCCCCGUCGCAGCCGCCAGCGCGGGUCAUGACAGCCGGAUGCGAGGAUAGUGCCGCCGAGGAGCAUCCGUCGCGGAUCCAGGUGGGGUCGCAGCAGUGGCCCACAGCACCUGGCACGGCGCGAGGCCGAUGCCACGGCCGCCGGAGCCUAGGCGCGGUAGGGCAGCGCGCAGACCCUGGAUUCCGCACGGCGUCGGGCUAGGGUAGGUGCAGGUCGCGGCGGUGAAGCCGGGUGGCCUCCGCCGAGGGGGCCUAAGCCACGCCGGGGUGCCGCUGCCAGCCGCGACGCGGGGGGUCUCGCUCGCCUUGCCGCCGCUGCUACCGCCUCCGACCGGCGAAGGGGGUGGCUGCGGGGGAGGCAACGACGGUGCUGAUGGUGGUUGGGGAGGAUGAGGCGAUGAAGGUGUGGAGGAAGAGGAGGGGCUUGGGGUUUGAGAUCGGGGUGGUGCUCCUGCGUAUGAGAGGGUUCAGGGUCUUGAGGAAGGCCAUGGAGGGGCAGCUAUGCAGGGGUAAAAAGGGUCAUUUGGUAUAGCAGGUGCUAAACUUUAGCACCCCUCCCAAACACCUCCAAAGGCUAAAGUUCAGGAUUAAAUUUUACCACCCUCCUCCCAAACAAGGCCUAAUCCAUUAUGCUUUUCCACAAAGGUAUAUAAACCGACCCCUAAAAUGACAGCGACAGGAAAUCUACCUCGUGCUCUAGCAAUGGGUCAUUCGUGACGAUGGCAGUGUCCUCAUGUCCCGGGUGCUAAGAGUUUUUUGGAUCAUGACUAAUUUUUAGUUCGGGUCACAUCGAAUUUUAGAUAUCAAUUAGAAGGACUAAACGUGAACUAAUUAUAAAACUAAUUGCAUAAGCCGUGGCUAAUUUACGAGAUGAAUCUAUUAAGCCUAAUUAAUUCAUGAUUAGAACAUAUUUACUGUAGCAUCACAUGAUCAAAUCAUGGUUAAAUUCGUUCCGCGAAUUAGCCUUCAUUUAUGCAAUUGGUUUUAUAAUUAACCUAUAUUUAAUACUCCUGAUUAGUAUCUAAACUUUAGUCUCUAUCUUCAAACGGAGCCUAAUUUUGAAGAGUUUGUGGUUGAUUGGGUAAUUCAUCUUAGCUUAGAAAAUGGGAACACUUCAGCCCCCUUUGAUAGGGCUACAGCUCCUCCUAAAAUGGGGAGGAGCUGGAGGAGCUACUUUUUUUAGCUUCGGUUUCUCCAUGUAAAACGGUUCCGGUCCCUCUCUAAGGACGGAGCCGUUUUUUACCAAACUGUUUAGUAGGGCUUUACUUGGAGCCGCAGGAGAAACUAAAGCUGGAGCCCUGUAGCCACCUUGGCUCCACUUGCUCAAAGACAUUCUGGUAUGAAAACGAGGCACUGCUACAUAAAAAAGUAACUGGAAAUUCUUGAAAGUGAGUUUGGAAAACCUUCAGCAGUAGCGUACAUAUCCUAUUCAAUAUCUUAAGGCCAAUCUUAGUGGAAGUUUCAUAAGUAGUUUCAUGAACAUUAAAAUUCAUGCCACAUCAGCAAUUUUGCUAAGUUGGCAAGGUCUUUAUGAUGAGAGAGGAAGGGGAGUUUCAUCAUAUGUGAGAAGAGUUUCAUCCCCAUGAAACUUAAUCGGCACAGUUACUAGUUCCUAAUCUUCGUAAUGGUACAAUGAAAUUGUGCACUAAGACUAGCCUAAGACAACCAUGUGUUGAAGAUCAUCGAAUAUGCACAAAUAAUAAGAAUAUGAGCACGAGGGAUCCUACAUUACUCGAUGCAUGGUCACGUCAUACACGUCGUAUCGACUAAUGGAGACAUAUACCGGUAGCUAAUAUUAGGCCAGUCUCAAUGGUAGUGUCAUGAGGUUUCAUGGUCAUUAAAUCUCAUGCCACAUCAUCAAAAUUGCUGAUUUGACAAGCUCAUUAUGAGGAGAGAGGAGAAGAGAGAAACCCACUUCAUGAAGCACAAUAAAACUUGCACUAAGCAUGUUAUGGUUUUAUGUCACGACACAUUUAAUCGUAAUACAAUGUAAGAAUUAAAUGAUACAACAUAUUUAUGAAACUGUGCAAUAAAACUAUAUGCACUGAGAGUGACUGUUCGUUUUAUUGAAAAGCUAACAUGACACUCUUUGUACAGUGGCCUAAAGAUUAAAUGGAAAACACAAUUGGAGUCGUGCAUGGAGAAAACAAAUAAACACGAUACAUAUGACAAUCACAGCAGAUGGACGGCACAUGAACAAAUAGACAUGCAGUCGGCGGGUGCAGGGGGGCUUACCGCUUACGCCCCACUACCUCCACACAAACACCACAAAAAUGCCAGACGGCCGGAGCAAAGUGUCUGCCCUGACGAUGUGCCGUCUGCAUUGUGCGUGCAGUCGUUGUGCCGAGCUAUUCAUUCGUACGGGGAUUAGAUGGGAUCAUUUUCGUGCGUGUGUAAAUACACUCAUCCGGUGAUCAUGAAGAUGGUUAGCUGUUCAAACUCUGCAUAGAAUAGCGUCGCAUUUCUAAAUCUGGAUGUCUUGGCCCUCGGGGAAAUGUCAAGCUGAUCGGUUUAUGAAUAAUGUAGUAGUGAUAUUACAGCUUGGAAUCAGAAGGGAUCCUUAUUCUCAGUAGAAGAAAUCAGCGGGGAACCGACCAGCCUUCAGGCUUGAAGUUUAUAACCGCCGGCUCCAGCUGGAUAGAAGCAUCUCCAUCAGUUUUCAAUAAAUAUUUCUCAAUAACUAGUUAAUAGCGAUAUCCCAAUAUCACUUUCACUAUUAUUGGAGGAGUUGCUUUUGUAGUCUCCCAAUAAUCUCAUCCCAAUCCAACUACCGUAUUGGGAGAGUCACAACUCCUUUAUUUAAGAAGAUUUGGGGUGAAUUAUUGGGUUAUUCCAAUAAUUAUUGGGAAACAGAAAAGGUAAAGGGAGACUGCUGGAGUGUUAUUUUCUUAUGGAAAAGUCUAUUUUACUCUCCUUAUUUAUUUACUUUGUCCACUUAACCCCCUAAGCAAAAUUUAGGCUCACUUUACUCCCCCAAACUAUUUCAUUUGGUCCAAUCUACCCCUAAUUAGAUUUCUCUCUUUUAUUUCUUUGCGUACAAAUUGAAUUUAAUUUCAGAUUUUAUCUGUUGACUUAUAACAUGAUGCUCCAUGUUAAAAAAAUAUAUUAGAAUUUUUCAUAAUUACUUUUCGUACAGUUUUGUAUAUCUAAGAUCAAUUUCGUAUUAAUUAUUCCUAACCUAUGAAAAUAACCAUGAAAAUUUCUUAGUAUAAUUUUCUAACAUAAGGCAUCAUAUUUUGUACAUGGUCACAAAAUUUAAACUCAAAAUUCAACUCAUACACGAAGAAACAAAAAAGAGAAAUCUAAUUAAGGGGUAGAUUGGACCAAAUGAAAUAAUUUAGGGGAGUAAAGUGAGCCAAAACUUUGUUCGGGGUGUUAAGCGGACAAAGUGGAUAGAUGAGGGGAGUAAACUAAAUUUUUCCCUUUCCUUAUCAACUCUUCCAACUCUUCCCAAUAUGAUAGCUGCUGGAGAUUCUUUUAAAGACUACUCCACUUCAGUUUGCAGAAAAAAAUGCGCGCAACGCAGGCGAGUUGUUCUAUCCUACUACCUCCCAUUUCUAAUGCUAGUAGGGUAGAAGAAGUCGCCAAGAUAUCCUAUUCACACCCGAUCGAACAUGAUUGGGGUGAUUGGAUCAGGCAAGCAGCGAGGCGAUAGGAGCAGCAGGCCGUGCCUUCCUGCUCACGCUGCGUCGUGGGCUUGUGGCUGCUGACGUGCCCUGCCGCUCGGUGGCCCAGAGGUAACGUGGGCUCGCAUUCACAUACACGGGCUUCUAUGGGCCCUAAAAGGUUAAGGCUCCUUCCUUCUUGCUUGCUUGUUGUUGUUUUCGGGAGAAGUUGUGUUGCCCGCGGGCUGUUUGCUGUUGGCACGAACGACACGCGAAAACAGGGCCUCGACGCUGUAGCCUGUCCCACUGCUGCAGCCUUUUGUCACUGACUGACUGGUGCGGGAAGUUGGGAAAACGAAGCGGGCAACAGGACGCGCGUAGGAAUCUAUGGCCCGGAGAGAAGAAAUCGGGAGACCGAGCGGGGAGCGUCGAGCCAGACUGACGACGCACAGACCCUGACGCCCGCCGCGCCACACGUAAACCUACCACGUGAACUGUUGCCCCAGAAGAACCAGAAAAGCUCAUGCUCAUCGUUCCGUCCCCCCACAAACUGUUCCUCAAGUUCAUCAAAAGGCAGUUCACUUCAUUCACAAAACGAAGAAACAAGUGAUUAACCCCAAGGUUAAAAGGCACCGAGAUUACAGAUGUUCAUAGUACUCGAUCAUUCCCGCCAACCUCCACUAUGCAAAACAAGUUACUACUCCGCCGUAACUAACAACUCCUACAGAAUACCGUGUAUCAACAGAGUGGCAUUGCCUUUCUGAAUUUACAAGAACGCAGCAUCCCUGCUGCUGCUGAUCAUCAUCAGGCAGAGCAGGAGGCCAAGAAGGACGUGGAGGAUCCGCGGCGUCGAGGCGGCAACCGCCGAGCUCGUGCUCCCGGUGUGCUCGAACUGCAGCGAGUCCACGGCCAGCGGCAUGUUCUCCUGGUCCGGGCUGCACCGCGGCGCCGCGCCGCCGCUGCCGGACUCCGUCGGGUGCGCCGUGUAGAGCAUGGCGCGGAGCACGGCGGAGACGGUGGGGAUGUAGGCCGUCUUGUUCUUGGCCAGCAGCCACGUCAGGCCCAUCAGCUGGCAGUCCCGCCCCAGCAUCCGCCGCGCGCGGUCGCCGCCGGUGACCUCGCGGCUCACGUUCCCCUUCAGCUGCAUUAUCCAGCAAUGAAGGAAGCACACAAGCCAGAGACUGCAAGUUAGAACCUUCUAUUCGAAUUCGAACAAGACCCUGAAGAAACGCAGAUGCAGUAAAUGUGGUUCAUGCAGGGGACGUUCUCGCAAUGCAGGUUUUGUUGCCAAGUAGGUGGGUUCUGUUCCAGACUCCCAGCACACAACGUUGGAUUUGGCUUGCACAGACUCCCUCAGUAAAUGCUACCCAUGCAUAACAACCUGUUCACGCCGAUGCACAUGCACAUUAUGCACACUUAAUUUCAGCAGACGUGUUACGGCAAAGCAAAAGCUUUCGCCGUCCUUUGGAAGAAAAAAAAAACAGCAGACUUCAGCAAUGCACGCAACAGAACAUCGUCAAAAAGUUUUUUUAGUCUCCUUAAUGCAGCAUGGUUGUUAGUUGUUACAGAUACAGCACGCAUGACUGUUCGUCAAGAUUCAGAUGCCAAUCUGGAUGCAGGACAGGCAGGUGGAGGACAAGCUCGGCUCAAUUAUCCACAAACGCCGCCAGCGGUGGUUAGCCGACUAAACAUUCAUAAUUGGAAAAGGCUUCGGACAAUGUGGCUCAUGCCAUGCUGUCUGUCGUCUGAUCUCCCCGCAACACUACUGUACUAAGCCAUGGUCCUGCAAUUAGCUGGCAGGGUAAAUGGUAGAUUGCCCUUUGCCACGGUGCUUUCAGAAAGAAAGGGCAAUUGAGUACUAGUUUCAAGUACCAAAUGAUUAGUGGUGAUCAGUUCAAGAACAAGCGGCUGGUCCAUUUAGGCAUUCGAAAGUUUAGACAAUGAUGUGUUCAGAAAGGAGCUGCUGCUUUGUGGGAAAGCCCGAAAGGGGAUCUCCUCCCAUGGAUGCUAUAAAGUUGGUGUUCUUGCAAGAACGAAGCAAUUGGAAAAAAACGUUAAGAGAUUUUCCUAUAACAAAGUAGAAAUUAGCCAAUGGGUUUAUGGAAGCGUCACAAUUUAGCAAAUAAACAUUUUUUUAUAACCAGAAAUUAACAGCACUUGAAAUGUAACAAGUUGAAUCCCAGAAAGUAAGAUACAGCAAUCAAGGAUUCGUGGGAAAUGAAAAGAGAAGGGACAAGAACAGAAAAGGUAAACCAAGGCAAAGGCAAUGGCAUUACCUUUUGCAGAGCUAGCAAGAAAGGAUUUGUGGGAGGAAAAGCUAGCAAAGCAAGAAAGGAGCUCACCUUUUGUAGGGACUGGACGCAGCGGGAGCAGCCGGAGUAGGAGGCGUUGCGGCAGCUCUUCUCCAGGUCCUUGACGGCAGCGGUGGGCGUCGCGUUCUUGGCCGCCGCGCCGACGGCGAACGCGGCGGGGCAGCGGAGCGAGCCGAUCUGGUGGAGCCGGAUGCCGCAGAAGCAGAGCACGGUGUCGCACGUCCUGUUGGGCGACGGCAGCGCCACCCCGCGCUUCUCCAGCGCGGCGCCCAGCGCGUCGACGCACCGCUGGUUGUCGUAGGGCACCAUGGGCCCGUCGUCGCCGGGCCCGAGCCCCUCCUCGCCGGAGAGCGCCGAGGGCGCGGGCGCCGGGGGCACGGACAGCGCGGUGCGCGCGUGCGCGGCGAAGAGCCAGGCCGCGAGCACGGGGCAGCAACGCCCCCGGUCGAGCGAGCCUGGCCCGCCCCCCGCGCCGCACGCCGCGGCCACGCCGCCGAAGAGCUCGGCCGAGAGGUCCAGGUGGCAGGGCGGCGAGGAGGCGUUGGACGGGGACGAGGAGUUGGACGGGGACUGCGCCUGCGAGAGCGGGAACGACGGCACGUCGGAGGCGCAGGCCGACCCGGCGAGGAGGGCGAGGAGCAGCGCGACGGCGAGGUGCGAGUGCGCCGACAUUGCCGCCGGCGAGGUGGAGUGGACCAGGUGGCGGCGGCGGUUGUGGGCGAGAGCCAAGAAGUGAAGUGUGUGGGAGCGUGGGCUCUGGGGACCGGGUCUUGUAUAAAAGAGCCGGACCGGACCCCGGGGUCCGUGAUCGGGAGGGGAUGUCUGUUGGAGCUCUUGGUUCAGGGGUUUACGGGGUUGGAGAGGGCGAAGUUUAUAGUAUGCAACAGUAACAUUAGAAAUUACAUUACAUGCACAAUGGUUUCACCCUUUGGUAGUUCGUCGUACCUGUAAUAGUGUAACCUAAGAGCCAAUUUCCGUGUCGAGUUCUUGGCAUCAAACCUUUCAAAAAGUGUCUCAGUUUGUACCCUAUGUAAACACUUGGUUCAUCUAUACUUUUAAGUCUACUUAAGUGUUCUGUAAAAAAUAUAAAGAGAGAGAGGCGAAGGUGUCCAUCUUAUAACAGCUAAAGAAGAAUAAAAUGAACACAUUACACAUCAGUGGAUGUUUUGCUUGUACGGGAAGGAAUAUUUUUUUCGAAUUUGGAGAAGUGGUUUUGGCUUGGAGUUUGUUCUUCCAAGCUUGCCUAGCAGUCGUCAGUCGUCACUAGCGGUGAGUGCCAUAGCCGGUGUGUCUACAAAGCCCUAAUUAGACGUGGAGGACUAGUGACAUAGUAUCGGUUUGAUGAUUCGGUGGUAACUCAUCGGAGACUUGCUAAGAAAGGUGAAUGCUGAGUGGAAAAAGAAAUUUAAGCGUAGAAGGCAGUGCGAGAAGUUGCUCGGGAACGACUAGCCAUCAGAUUUGGUCCGUGCGGCGAGCGGUGAUUUUUGGGCGGAGACACCGAUUGGCCGCUGUGUGGUGGUACUAGCAUCACUGUUGGAGCCAUUCUUUUUCGCGUCAUGAUGAUCCGAUGCUGCAAACAGUUGGGUCAAAUCAAGAUCGAAAAGCAGGAGGACUAGCAGAGGAGUGGUACGCUAAAAAUACAGGGUGGGGGAGCAGCGAUCAGGUUGUUAGACAGCCCAGGUACAAUCAUUUCUAUCCUCGGCUAAACAAUUGCGAAAUGGGCUCACACUCUGUCGGCUGGAGACAAAAAUGUUUAGCACGGGCAUCGAUACCCAAUCGAACUGUGGAUGUCAGGCACGAACCGAAUUUUUAAGAUUCUGCUCGUGAAAUUUGUGCAGGGAAGCAGCAUUUUGUUUUGGAAUUGAAGGACAUCAUAAGCCGGGAAUCAUGGGGUCAAGUCAAACGCUGAAACGCGCAUGCUUGCUGGGGUUUAACUCGGUAAUGUUAAUGUGACUGCACGGCCUGACCGUAGGGAGGAAGGACAAGCACGGUGGCUCUGCAGGUAGAGUGCUCAGCGCCUGGGGCGAGUAGGUUUUGAUUCCGUCCCUGUUCCAGCUGCUACUGCAACGGCCCACACUCAACCAGUGAGGGAGGAACCUUGAUCGCAGAAAGGACACCUUCCUUUUCACCAAAUACUGCCAACCUGAUCUAGAUGAACUUAAUCAAGGCCUUGUUUAGUUGGGGAAUUUGGGAGGUGCCAAAUUACUGUUACAGCACUGUAGCACACUGUAGCGUUUCGUUUGUAUUUGUGAAUUAUUGUCCAAAUAUUGACUAAUUAGGCUCAAAAGAUUCGUCUCGCAAAGUACAACAAAACUGUGCAAUUAGUUUUUAAUUUCAUCUACAUUUAGUACUCUAUGCAUGUACCGCAAGUUUGAUGUGAUGGGGAAUCUUCUUUUUGCAUAGUGUCAAAGUUGGGAGUUGGGAGUAACUAAACAUGGCCCAAACCACCUCAGUCUGUCUCCCUGCAUUUGCUUUACGGCAAUGGCAGUUUAAUAUGGGAUGUCUCAGAGGAACAGGAUUCAAAGAGGAGAAAAAGAUACGCAGCCCGGGCAGCCGGGCCGCCGAGCCAGAGCCGGUAGGUCACAGGUCCACAGUUCAGACGGACUGGGAAAGGGGUUGUCCCUUUUCCGGCUGGGUCCCCCGGCCGUCGCCCUUACCAACCCCUUCACGUGAACGGAUGGAUGUCAUUGCCAGCAGCAGCGGGGCGUUGGGCUCCGCGGCGCCGGCUCCCUGCUGGAGCGAGAGGACAAGCGGCCUCUCCUUGUCCUGCGGUCCUGCCCUGCCGAGUCCCGUCGCACAAACCGGCGGAUCACGGGGCUCACCUCUGCUCCCGACCCCAGCCCGGGAGUUCCAUUGGCCGUUGCUUGCUCCGUUGCUCGCGAACCCAGUGCCGUUCUUCUCUUCAGGAUUCAGUCUCAGCCAUGGACCCAUGGUAGCUAGUAGCCUUGGAGGAACGGAACUGAUCGAGAGGCGAGCAAUGGGGCUUUCUUUACAUCUUUGUCAGCAUGCCUGCCACUGCCAUGCUCAGUUGUUCUGACGACAGAAGCUGCCCACUUGUGUGUGCUUGCUUGCUCUUGCGCAUGCAUGAGAGAGAAGAUGGGAGAGAGUAGAGAGAAUGAGAGAUUGGCUUUUUUGCACAAAGAAAGAUCAAACACCAUCCUGCACGAAGACUCGAGGAUUUUGCCCUUUCGCUCCUUGUUCUCACCCGUGUGGUUUUACCUGCAUCAGCAACGCCAAGGACCACGUACACCCACUCCAGUACUCCACUCAGUAUCAGGCACUCACACAGGCCAAAAUCCCAGGCAGCUUUCUCAUCUUUUCUCGGAAACAAGAAAAGCCAUUUGGACCGGGGACAUUUGAAUACAUCCAUCCGGCUCCGGGCUACAGCCAGAGCAGCCAGGUCGUUUGCUUGGACUUCUACGACGAUACCAACAGCAGCAACAUGAUGAGCAGCACGAAUCCUUGUGGGGAUUUCCCUUUUUUGAGACUUGAGCUGGCCCUUUCUGCUUUGCAGCUUCUCUCCCAGACCCUUUUGCUGAGUACCCUAGCGUCGAGCAACUGUCAAGGACCAUAUCUCUCGUUGAUCGCCGUGCAAAAAUGGCCUUUAGGUGCAAAGCCCUACAUAGAAAAGGGAUUACCAUCAGGAGGUCAGGCUGCAGCUGCAAUCCAGGGAAGGGAGGGGCACGGGCAUGUGUGUGUGUUUGUCAGGUACCUGUGGUCUCCUCUGUUUAGUCCUUGCCGAGGGGCUGCAAACACUUGUCUCUAGCGCCAUGGGAAUAAUAAGCAAUGUCCUGAUCAAGGCCAAGGGGGGUGCUUGUUUAUUUUUGUUUAGGUGUGUGUGGGUUGGGGACGAAUGCUGAGGAUGGUGACAAGAAUGACGCCCGAGAUGCCCGGGCUCCUAGAAAUUUGACGACGAGGUAGGCAUCUGUUUUCAGCUCAAAGUGUGGCACAACCGUCCGGGCCCAAGGGGAUGUCAUGUGUGUGUGGCCACCGCAACGGGUGUUGGAUACGCGUGCUUACUGCACGGAAUACCGUAGUCACGGCACCUGUAUGCCUAUGCCUGAUUGCCUGAAUCGUCAGGGCUCUGUUUCGUUGCUUGAGACUCGUGAGCAACAGGGCAACCGACCACUCCAGCUUGAUUGAACGCCGAGGAACCCAAGAGGGGACAGCAUGACAAAAUUUAACGGUGCGUACUCAAAAGUGUAAAAUCUGCAACUAAAUUCCUCGGUGAAAUCAUUCCUGAUUCUGAAACUGGUACGGUGCACCUGAAAUUCGGCCAGCGAAGAUGAACGCUGCGCGGACAGCAAUGGCCGCCGGCCCGCCGCCCCGUCAAGCAUUGCUUGAUGCCAGGGUCGACCGAGCUGGUUGAGGCCGGCCCACAUGGCCUGAUGGACGACGGAUUGGCUGUUGCCUGUUGGCAGGUCCAGGCUACCAUUCCUGGCCGACCGCGAGUCCAAGAGGGCAAGAUUUGUGCCGGCCGCUGCGAUAGCGUAAGCUGAUACCAAAACAUACUCCACUGCGAUAAAAAAAGAAGCAGCUGUCGGUGUUUUAGACCGGCAACCCGUCUAAGGGUACCCUAGGUGGUCUUUUGUGCGGUAAGGAUCGUCGAGAAUUAAGGAAUCAAUGGUGACGCAAGGAACACGAUUUAGACAGGUUCGGGCCGCUAGAUCGCGUAAUACCCUACGUCCUGUGUGUUGGUUUGUAUUUGAUGAACCGGAGUUGUUCUCGUGUGUCAAGGUGUUGAGGUGUUGGUUCUUGAGGGGGGAUCCCUGCCCGCCCUUAUAUACACGGAAGGGCAGGUCUACAAGUCUGAGUCCUAGUCAGAUACUAUUACAGAGUUCUACUCGGUAAUGGCCCGAGUAGUUUUCCAUAAACAUACUUGACUAGUCCGAGUAGGAUACGCUCAUCCUUGUUCUGAUCUUGUCCGAGUACGUCCCUUGGUGGGCUGUCCAAGGCCUACUCGUGGACCUGGGGUGUAUGCCCGACAUACUCCAAUAUGCUAGACCGUGGAUCCUACAUGCAUAUCCCCCAAGGUCUCCAGCGGUUUAGCAUCGCGGCGAUCGACAAAACCACGGCCAGAGUUUGAUUUCUCUUCUCUCAUUCUCAACUAAACGACGUGAAACCUAAAGGAAAAGUCUAAGCGAUGAUAGGUCGCGACCUGACGCGAGCGCGCGACUCCCACGACACGGUCCAAACCUACUGUAAAAAAUUAGGAUGCGCCUCCCGGUAGCUCGUAUACGUAUUCAGUUUCACUUCUUACAGCCUGUUCGCUUCGGCUUAUCAGCCACCGAACAGUGUUUUUCUCUCACAACAAAUCAGCCGUUUCAGCUUUUCAGCCGGCUUAUAAGUCCAGCCGAACAGGUCCUUGAAAUGUAAUAACUUUCUUGAUGAUGUAAUAACUUUCUUGUAAAAUGUCUGAUUUUAAUUCUGUUCGCGCUACUGUGUUCCUUGCUAUAAGAUCAACAAAACAAAUUCAUGAAACAUAUGUUUUGGAGUGGUGUUUUUAAAGUAGCAAUUUAUAUUGUAUGUGUAGUAGCUACCUAUGUAUAAAUCUGUAUCAACUUAUGUGUAAAGCUUCCAACAUAAAUUGUUAGAAUUUCUUUGCAUAAUGUUGUUACCUAUCUAAAGUGUGUAUCUAAGUUGUAUACAAUUUAUUCGUAGACAUUUACUCUACAUAAGUUGUUACAAUAUCCCUAUGAAGUUUGUAACAACACGGAGAUAGUCACGCAUUCUCUACAUAAACUGAUACUAAUUAAUAGUUGAUACAAAGUCACUACGUAUAAGUUAAAGGUGCUAGUAGACAUAGAAGGUACUAUACUGAACAGCAUAAGUUGGUACACGUCCAUUGACAAAAUCAUACUACACAUAAUAGAAAAGUUUCUAUUUCCAAAAUACACAUAAGUUGUAUACUUUAUAUAUAAGUUAUUACUAGACUGAUAUAAGUUGACGGAAGUACAAAAUCGCUUCAAAACAUAUCAAAUAUGGAUCUUGUUUUGUAGAUCUUGUUGUAAAAAAUAUAAUAGUGCAAACAGACGUGAAAACGGAAAUUUGACGAGAGAGUAAUGAUCACUUAAAAAAUAUGUGCGUUUUUUUGUUGAUAAUAUCAUCACUGAAAGCGACGUCCCAUGAUUAUGGGAGCAGUUGCCCCGGCUAUCUCCUGACACUUCCUGGGACACAUGGCAGCAUAAUACGUGUUAGCACAACAGGUCGCGCGUUAACCUCGUCAAAACAAAGUGUCGGCUACUCGGCUUUGCAAAUUCCCGAUCCAGACCAUGGAUCAUGGCAAAGCUGCCUAGGCCAGGGCACCUAAGCAAAAGCAUAUAGCUAUGUUUGAUCCAAGUGUUAAUAGACGAAAGUGCUAAAGUUUAGCAACUUUAUGCAUUAGCCCAUCCAAACAGGAGAGCUAAAUUUUAACCCACCCUAAAAAGGUGCAAAAAAAACAUUAGCCGGUGAGGAGAAGCUAAUAGAUACUGAUGGAUUGUGAAAAGACCAAAAGGGGAGAAAGAAACGGAUUAGGUAAGAAGAUAAGGAACAAAAGUGAUAUUUCAUGAAAUCCAUUAGACAUGUCUCCAAGCAGAAGUGCUAAUGGAUGAAAGUGCUAAACUUUAAAUGAGCUAAACUUUAACAUUUAUUAAAAUAACUUUACCGAUAGCACAUCCAACCAACCCUGUACCACGGUCCUCCUCCGAUCCAAUCAUAUCAAGACGUGGACACGAGAGCUCAGACAGCUACAAAAGCAACAGCGGCUCAUACCGCCACUCGUGCCAAUCAAUUCCGACCACAGUAACAGAAAACAGUUCAACCGUGCAUUUCUUCAUUUGCAUUCAACACCGAGGGAGCAUCACGCUUACCGCCAGCAGCUCUCAAAGUACAACCAAAACCUUAGCUUAGCCAUUUUCUUGUUAAUCCAAAAUUUACAUUAGAUGGCAUGGUUGCCAGUACGAAGGAAGCAAAAAUCUGGAACCAAACUUCCAUGUGCUUUGCAAAUUGCAAUGUAGUUUAGCUCGGCCCCAAUGAGAAAAUGAAUAUUCUGUUCUAAGUGUUUGUUCCUCCAUAGAGUUUGUGGACAGGAGCUUUCCAUGAAUUUUAAAGAACCCCAUGGCUGACUCCACCAAGGCGGUGGGCAAAAUUUUCACUGUGAAGGUUUUCAAACAAGAAACCCCGCGCAGAGAGUUGCUGCUAGUGCUACUUUCAAAAAGACGCACAGAACAUAGUGCAUAAUACUAUUAGCUUAAUAUUGCCAUUGGCAGGUUGCUUCCAGUUAGAUGUUUUGGCUUCUAUUCCACCCAUCAUCUUCAGCUGCUGCUAUACAUAAAGAGCGGUCUGUUGAAGAGAGAAGCAGCAUGGAUCAGAAUUUUUAGGUUUGCUGAAUUUCAAUGAACCAAAUUUCAAACUUAUCAUAGCCAUAAUAACAAAGAACAGAAGAAAGGAACUACUGGUUGGGUUAUCUAAAUACGGUCCACACAGCAUAUGACACAGGCUGAUGGACUGUAACAAAUCUCAGAAGUAGCCCAUAAAGUAUCCCAGGCUUCUUGUUAUGUUGCACCACAGCCAAAAUAUGGUGAUGAGGCAGAUGGUUUUCUUCGCCAGCUUCUGGCAACCAACCUUGACAAAGAACAUAAGCUAACAGAGAUGGCAUUCUCAGACUCGAAUCAUUCCUCAUCUCUCUCAAUCAGAAUGAAUUAAGCUUUUGAUUUUUUUUAACUAAAUAAUGCAGAACCAUGUGAACAAAAGUUUAAUGCACUGCGAUCAUAGCUCUAACGAACUUGGGUAAUCAGCUGUGGUGCCAUUCCAUAUAGCAGUUGAUAUUUCUAGGAGAGAGUACAAGACACUAUUUUCAUGAUGGUGCAAGAGGAGGUUGCUACAAAUCUGUUCCUUGGUUGCAAUAAUUUCUCUACAUUUCUUACACAAAAAAUUCGAACAGAAAGAAAGGACUCAAUUACAAGAAUCAAGAUUACCUGAUACUGUUUGUUUACGAGAAAAAAUCAACUGGUUGCUUGACAUCCUUCUCUAGUAGUAAAGUCUUCAAUGUGUGCAUGAUAUCAAAGCCUGGGUCCAGCUUGCGUUGCCACCCCUACAGAAAAAUUAUCAUGUAAGCAUAUUGUGUAUCUAUCUAUAAGAAAAUUGGGGUAAAGUUAACAUGGGUAUCUAUAAGAAAAUUGGGGUAAAGUUAACAUGGGCAAGGGCUAUUAAAUUAGUAUGUAGCGUAGAAAACAAAGGUAUAGGUAGCUGAAACUAUAAACUCUGGACAAGUCUACAUUCAAACAGUAAUGCACACCAAAAAUAUCUAGGAAACAUGCUGCCUUAUGCAGUCUCAUAUGAAGUUUGGUCAAAUGAAGUUAAUAUCCACAGUAGGGGUUUCCCUUUCCACCUAUUUGAUUCCUUUUAACAAAAUGAAGUCCAAUAUAAAAAAAAAAGUCCAUGCUAUCUAGAAAAUUAAUGUCUUCUGAUACAGUUAAUAAUCUGUUCAGUUUGUACAUUAUCAUUAAACCUUUCUUCGCAAACAGGAACCUGAUUCUGCAUAUCAUUCAAGUCAAUAGCCUUUUUUCAGUACAUUCGAAUCCCUUCUGCGUAUACUGUCACACAUAAUAGCUAAGAUUCAAUAUUUAAUAUAUCAAUUUUUUUAACAAAGAGGUUUACCUCGAGGACCAAAAUGGUAACCAUUACAGUACAGAUGUUGCCAUCAAUGUUGACUUUGUGGCGGCGAACUGUAUCAAGCAAUUGAUGCAUGCAUUCAACAGGAUGGAAAACGUCCCCUUCAGGUGUACCCCAGAAUGUAAACGUCUUGUCCAGUUCCUAUAAAAAACGAAAAAUAUUUUAUUAUUCAUGCAAAAACAUUUGCACAACAAUUAGUACUGCAAAUCAGUGGUAACAGCAGAAACAGUCAGCAAAUCAAGAUGCAUUCAUCAAAGGCUGGGCUGAAAUAAACAACCAACAAACAAGCAGAGCAUUAAGAGGAACAAAUAUGCACCAUACAAAGCCAGAGCCAGCGUAUUCAAGAAAUGCUGGUGAUCAGUCAAAUUUUGUGUCACCAAAGCCACAUAUCCGACUUCUAGAAACCGUCCCUAUUGUCUACUAUCAUCAUAUAGUUAAAAAUCAUCAUGAACUGUGCUGGGUUUAACAAAAUAGUAUCUGCAUAUGCCAUUGCCAGAUCAAUCAAGAGUGCCACCACCUUUCAAGAUAGCCACAAGUCAAAAAGGCUCAACAAUAAGGUACACGUAGAGCAUUCAGACAUCACAUAAGUAAAAAUAUCAGAUAUAAAUAAGUUCUAAAUGUUUACUGCUCUUUUCCUGAAGCAUAGGUUUACAUUUUACCUCAGUGAAGGCCACUGGAUUUGGACAGCUCUGAUUCUUUGACAACUGAAGGGUACACUUAGCAGCAGUAAGACCAUCUCUAGUAGCCACCGCCUUGAAGAACUGCUGUAAGUUAUCCCGGUCAGCUCGUGUGAGCUCCGCAGUCAUGCCCACGUCAAGAAACACAAUAUGGGGCUUGGCUCUGAAAAAUCUUCUUCUUGAAAGCUUGCUCUCAUUUAAACGGACAAGAAUGUUCCCAGGGUGCAUAUCCGCAUGAAUAAAAUUAUCCUCCUACAGAAUCAGGGGAAACACCUUAUGAACAAAAAAAAUUGCACAAUACAUAGCAUACAUGACUGGACAAAAACACUACCACUAAGUGAAAAGAGAAGGAAUCACAUAAUUAAAAAAAAAUGCACACAUACCAGAAGCAUCUUUAGGAAAGCGUAUGUCCCAAUGUGUGCAAGGUCUUUCUUCAUCCGAGCAUUCCCUUCGAUUUCAUCCAUAAAACGAGAAACACUUUCUCCAUUCUCAAAAGUCUCAACUAGGACAGAUGGAUGCACAAGUGGAUACAAGGGUUUUGGGAAAGAAACAUGUCUCCAUCUGCGGAAGUUGUAUAUAAAACGACUCAAAUGAGCAGCUUCCCUAGAAAGAUCAACUUGAGACAUCAUGAAUACUGCAAACUGGCGAACACUCUCAUCCAGCCUCAGCCAGCUCAAUCCAGGGACGAUAUUAGAAGCCUUAGCCAGAAGAUUGAUGAGUAGAAAGUCUCUCUUGAUUGAUUCUCCAACACCAGGAUGCCUCACCUUAACUGCAACAUGCUUUCCAGGAUGUUGAUGUUUUAGUGUAGCCCGAUGUAUUUGUGCAAUGCUUCCAGAAGCUACAGGGUUCUCAUCAAAGGACUCGAAUAUUUCAGAAAGCUCACGACCGAAUGCCUUCUCAAUGGCAGCCUUGCUGUAAGCAAAGCCAUGCGCUGGAGCUGCACUGUGAAGCUUCGCCAGCUCAACACAGAGAUCGCUUGGAAAAAGAUCAGGGCGUGUUGCAGCCCACUGGCCCCACUUGAUGAAUGCUGGCCCAGCCUUUUCGAGGGUCCGGCGCACAAGGCUAAGCCACCUUCUUCUGAAUGCAACACUGAACUUGUCAGCAAAUGGAGCUAAUGCAGUUGCAGGGAAGAAUAGGAAUGUCAAAUGCACUGCUCUAAUAAGCAAAGUCAUGCCCUCCCAGAUUGACCAAACAAGAGAAGACAGAAACUGGCGAGUGUCUUGUGCCUUUGUGAUGAUUCCAUCCAUUCUCGGCAUGAAGGAUCGUGAGUCUGCCAGGACAGGUGGUGCAAGUGCCAUCUUGCCAAAAGCUAGAGCCAUAACCCCAGGGAUGAUAUGGAACCUCGUAAAGGAUAGGCUAACAGCGCAGGCUGCUCGGCUCAUCAGCGGGAACCGGGGACCACGAUACGAGUACAUAUGACUGAGCCGCUUCCAUGCCAAUUGCGCUUGCUGGGUUGCUGAUGAAUUGGCCACUGCCACAGAGAGUGUGCGGUAGCCUCUGGACAUCCUGGUUCUGCACUUGUGAUCCUCACCUCUGUUCUUUCUAAUAAUGACCUUGUAAUGUGAGAACAUUCUUGAGAAGACAGCUGGAAUCUUUCGCCUCGUUGACAAGCCAUUGUCCCUCACAGCUGUAUAAUACCCACUCCUGUUGCUCGGAUGGGAAUAACUGGCCGCCCGUCUAUUUGUUCCGAUCGCCAAUAGCCUGCUCAACAAUGUGAACAGAAAAUGUCAAGGAACUUGCAAGUUUUCAGGCUUAAAUACCGCUUGGCAGAAAGCUAAUUUUACAAGGUGAAAAUUAAGAACUGAAUAUGUGCACAAAAAGGAAAGAGGCUCGAGAAUGUUUGCUGUUGGCCUGAUCAUACUACUACUAUGCCCAAAAUACAGUAUGAGCUCAGAAUACAGUGUACGUGGUUUUUUGUUUCCCAAAUGCCAGCAAUGUACUCAUCAAAUCCCACAUUGAUUCUCCUGAACAAGAGCAAUCUCUAACUUCAUACAUAAGCUACAUCGUAUGGAUAGAUAAUCACAACAAUUCCAAAAGCUCCAAGUUCCAUGGCUUCACAAGUAAAGGUGGACAGGACAACCAGUAAAUCCAAGCCUACUAGUAUGCACACAUAAAACUUGUCGUGCCUAACUGAAAUUUCCACCUUCAAACAUUACUACCUUCGUGAAUUUGCCAAUUUAAGCUAAAUCAGAAGGCCAAUUGAUCACAACAGUUAGUAAGAUUCAGGGCGCCAGAGCACUGCUACGAAUCAAACAAGCCGCACGCGAACCCUGGGCUACCUUAUACUCAAAAUUAAGCCAGAACGCAGCCGUUUGUAACAAAAUCCGGAACCCCUGGCUAUCCACCUUUAACCCCCCCCCCCCCCCCAACACACACACACCAACUGAAACAGGAGAAACAGGGCACGAACGGAGGAACGAGGAGAAAUCGAGCCGCACCUCUCGCCGACCCCCACCAGCCGUUGCAUCGGGGACGCCUGCUUCUUCUGCCUUCACAGGAUCAAGCCCCCGCAGCCCGCAGAGCAAUACCACCCCUCCCCUCCCCUCCCCUGUCCCCCACCAAAACCCCAGCACGGUCCGGCCCCCGCGCCACGAUGCAGCACCAGCGCACGGGGACGCAGCCGAACCGUACCGAACCUGCUCGGGUGGGGACGACAAGUGGAGGCGGCGCGCGCCGCCGGCGAGAUACGAGAUGCGCCCGUGUCGCGUCGCGUCCCGCUCCUUCUCCCCCGGGUCGGUGGGCGAGAGGCGGAGACGGAGAGUCCUGUUUCCCCUUUUGCGGAAUCGCCUGUGUUUUUUUCUUGUUUAAGGGAGUUUUCUUUUCCGUGCUUUUCUUUUCGGUUUCUUUCUUGGAGAGGAGGGCAUCCACGAGGGUUUAUUCCCCGAUUGCCCGGAAGGCCGGAACCGGAACCAUGUCGGCCACGCGCGGGUCGCGGCUCAGGGGUUGGUGCUUUGGUCUCGGCACGCCGACUUGCUGGUGCAAGGUCAGCCGUGUCGUAUGCAUGCACAGUCGUGUGCCAGCAAAGUUGGAAUUGCCAUCUCGUCUUGUCUCGUAGUGUUAAGCUAUGCGCCCUUCAUUUCAUUCGGAGAACAACGUGUUCGGAUAUGUGAAGUUGUAGCUGCAAAGCAGCGAACUUAACGUGUGCCAAAACUUGAACAGGGAGGGAGAGGUAAAACACAACGAUUGGGAUGUACACAAAGUAAAUGUUCGACGAACUGGAAGAACCUGUGAGUUGUUAGAACUUUCAGCUUGUGCGAGACGACACUUCGUGUCAGGUCGUGUUAAUUUGAGUCUUGGGGCAUAAGUUGAUUUUUCUUUUUUCUCUUGUCUCUCCUUUCUCAGAGCUCAAGUUAGUAUGUGUCGGUGUGGGCUGCUUUUUUUUUUAUAAAGUGGUGUGGGCUGCUUGGUAGCGCGGAGGAAAAAAGAGAGAGAAGAAGGAGCAAACAGAUCCAGCCCAACCUAGGCCUUAAUUUGGAGAACAAGUAGCCCACGGCUCUUCAAGUAAGAGCACCUCUGUUCUGACUCUCUAAGCUAAAAUUUGGUAGUUAAUAAGAAAAUCGUGGUCCAGCAGAGUUACUAUCUGACUCUCCAUUCUAUCCAACUUGCCAAACUUUCCCUCACACUUGCCAAAGUAUGGGUCCCACGCGCAGUAAUUGCCAGAAUGGAAAGUGCAAAAUGGAGAGAAUGCUGUAGUGCGAAAUGGAGAGACUAUUGGAGUGGAUGGAGAGUAUAUAUUUUUAGAGAGGAAACUAGAUGUUAGGAUUUGGAGAGCGGGAAAUGGAUAAUCUGUUGGAAGGAGCAACUCAGUAUAGAGAGGAAUCUUUUUACCAACUUGGACAAAAAGUUAAGUGGAGAGUUAAAAAAUGGGUUGUCGGGUAGAGAUGCUCUAACGCAUGGGCUAUAACAGUUGGCCUAGCCCAUAAUAAGUCCACCAAGUCUCAAAUGUCGUAUGGCACCCGGUAGGACUAGCAGAGACGGUAUCAUGAUAAAUACCCUGACUGUGAUGAGAUGAAAAGUUUCGUAGCUCCAUGUUGAAAAUUGUAAAUUUGAGCAGAAGUUGAAAAUGACAUGCAAAAGUGUGAAAACUUUUGCGUUGGAAGUCUGAAUUAUACUCUUGCGCUGUAAGUGUGAAAUUCCCGAGUGCAAACUUCUGAACUUUUGGCAAAAAGGUUGACUUUUGUUUUGGCUGAAAAAUUUAGUGCCUACCCGACUCCUUACAGCCACGAAACUGUCGGGGGCGCACGUGCGUCAAAUUAGCAUUUUCUCUCUCCAGCUCCAGGUGUUUGGAAUGUUUUGAACAACUUGCAUUGGUUUUUCAUCAACUAGAGGAUUCCAGUGCAUGCUUGCAUGGCUUUCUCGAACUAGCUUUCCAUGGUUUGUUAACAGAGUUUGCCGAGUCAUGCAUGGUUACAUUUUUUUGGUAAUGGAAUAUGAACACUCCGUCCUCUGUAUCUUGGAGAUACAUGCAUGCAGCUGUACACUCAUGAUUACCUUGCGCAUUCUAAUUUGAGUCUCUCCCUUAGUCGUCUCUUAUGUGGCAUGUGCCAAUCCCUUUCUCUCUUUUGAAGCGGAAAGAAAGGCGGAAUCGUAAAGGCGUGACGGAAAGAAAAAAAUCAUGUCCGCACCAAAAGGCUAUGCAACUGUACACAGCACACUAUUCUGUCACCUCCUUUUCCAAGAUUCCCACUAGCUUGAGUGCUUGACAAGUCUUCGCCCUCUUGAAAACUAUGGCCCCGUUUUCUUCCACUGACUUAUUUUUAGCACCCGUCACAUCGAAUGUUUAGAUACUAAUUAGGAGUAUUAAACGUAGACUAUUUACAAAACCCAUUACAUAAGACGAAUCUAAACGGCGAGACGAAUCUAUUAAGCCUAAUUAGUCCAUGAUUUGACAAUGUGUCAAUAUAACCGAUCAGAAUGUUGGUGACAGGCUCGGCNNNNNNNNNNNNNNNNNNNNNNNNNNNNNNNNNNNNNNNNNNNNNNNNNNNNNNNNNNNNNNNNNNNNNNNNNNNNNNNNNNNNNNNNNNNNNNNNNNNNCCUGUUCCUGUUACUAAGUUUGAGCUAUGCUCGAGCUUAGUUGGUUUAAUCGCAUAGUACAAUAGACAAUGGUGGACACACUAGGUUUAAUUAUGCUUAAUAGAUUCAUCUCGCAGGUUAAGAUUCCACUUAUGUAAUUGGUUCUGUAAAUAGUCUACGUUUACUACUCCUAAUUAGUAUCUAAACAUUCGAUGUGACACGUGCUAAAAAUAAGACACGGGAAGAAAACGCCCCCAUAGCUCGAUCCAGCCUCCAGGAACACCAGGAGACCGCCAUCAUCUGCCUGACAAAAGCGUAGCCAUGGACGCAUAUAUAUGCAGCGAAGAAUCAAACGUGCUGCUGCUGGUGCAGCUGCAUUGUGGCCUCGUUUGACCACAAGGCCCACAGUGCCAUUUUGAGCGAGCGAUCGACGUCGGGGCCUGUUCUUUUCAGCUUAUAAGCCGGCUGAAAAGCUGAAACGACUGAUUUCUUGUGAGAGAAAAAUACUGUUUGGUGGUUGAGUUGAUAAACCGACUGAAUAAGCUGAAGCGAACAGACCCGAGGCUGCUUCUUUCGUCGUUAUCAUGUGCAGAGUGUUUCAAAGUUUCAAAAAAAAAAUAAUGUGCAGAGUGUUUUCAGAUUUGCACCAAGGUCGAAAAGGCGUUUUCUGUAGCGUUCCUCGCUUGCACGCAUCGCACGUGCCACGCGUAUUGGCAGUUUGUCACACAGUACGUCGACAGCCAAUGCAAUAGGCAUGGGCAUAUGGCAGCACAGCUGCCUUUCCGGCCGCCAAGGACAGACAGAGAAUAGUUUGAAGAAUAAAGUGUGUGUUCUCUUGAUCUCUUCAAUUUCGACGUGACAGUCGAGCAUAUUUUUUUUCUUUCGAAAGACGACACUCGAGAGCAUAUGAACCUACAGAGUUCGUUCCAACAAAGUUCCUAGUGGUAAUAAGGUAUGAACCCCUGUCCUAUGCAGUACGAAUUCUCAUGUUCCCUACCUAAAUUCCUAGUGAAGCACAUCUUGCUAUGUGUGGGAUGCAUGGCCGCGUCGGUCAAUGAUUCCACUGCUUCGAGCAACCUCUCCCGCGCGAUCUUCAUGCAUGCACGCUUCACGCGUAGCAGCACUACGUGGUCAGCCUAGUACUAGCUAUUAGUAGCACCAACACUCGGGAUGCACGUGCUACAGGUCCGACUAGCUAGGCCGGUCCGGUCACAACGAAAAGCGAAAGGAUAUUUGAGCGCCAUGCCGCGAUAGAGGACAGACAAAACGGAACUUUUGGUUUGGUACCCCCGGUCCCCCGGGUCGGGACGUCGUGUGGCCCGGGAGGCCGCGUGGCUUUCACCCCGUGCGAGACAGGGCACGGGUCACGGAUCCCCGCGGCCGUUUCCGUGGUCGGCGGGGGGCCUGGAAACGGGGGGCCGCGCGGAUCGCCCACAGGUCAAAAACGCCACCGCCUGGGCGGCAAGAGCGGCGCUACUACGCGCUGCUGUCACACACGCCCGCGGUGAACUCGCACCGUGACCGAGCCGUAGCGUAUUUACUCCCGGGAAAGCGACGCGCGGCCCCCCUCCGUAGCAUCCUUCCUCGAUCAGUCCUGAUCCCGAUCGAGUGCUAGCGCCGCGCCGCCUGCCUCCCGCAGUUUCUUCUGCUCCUCCCUGUCUGCUCUCCGGCCGGGCCGGCCCGCAGGUCAAACCGCGCAGAGCGGGCGCAGCCCGCAGGCACGUACAGCGACGUAUGGGGCGCGGCUGCACGCUGCUAGCUGGUGGAUGGUAGCCCUACAAGGCCGCGCCGAGAGGGGACGGACGCCGGCGGGACCGGCUCGUGCAGAUCGCUUUCGGGCCACCUAUGCGCGCGUGUCGCCGUGGUCCUGGCCCGAAUUCGGAGCCUGCGCUGCGCGUUUCUGCGGCAGGGAGGGGUUUCGUCGAGGCGAGCUGGCCGAGCGCUGUACAGGCGCACAAGUGUACAAACACUACAGCUCCGGUCAAACCAACUGUUUGUAGUGCGUAGACGUAACGUGGAGAACGGAGCGUACGGGCGACUGGUGCCGUCUUGCGUACGUACGUGUGCCGUCAUGCUUACAUGCAGUAGAGUAGUCGUGAUGGUCCCGUGCAUGGGUAUACAUAAAUGCGCGAUUCAAGCCGUCCUUCCAUGCAUGUACAUGUACUGAUGUACACGGCCGAGCGGCCGGCCGUCCUAUCACCAGAUCUCCCUUCCCUCUACGUGCGCUAUCGAGGUCGAACGGACGAUCACCUCGGCAAGUACGUGUGGCACGUACCUCCUUGGUUUCAAAGAGAAGCGUGUCACAUACUUUGACAUGAUUGGAUGAACGUCGUCGCGCACAAUUGCCCCCGAUCAUGACCGUCGCCAUCUAUCACCAUCAGGCGGCGGCGAAUUGAAGCAGCAGGUAAUAAGGGGAGAGUUUUCGUGGUAAUUCUGUAGUACCACUCCGUCUGGACGAUUCAUUCAAACAGCUGUAACUAGCACACGCCGUGCCUUGGCUAGCGGAGUAGUACUACGCCCACAGAAACUGCACGACGCGACGCCGCGGGCGGCGGCGAAGCGAUCGAGGUGAUGUAUGAGCCUAUGAGGCGCCGGCCCGUACGUCGUCCAUCCGUGUCGACCCGAUGGGGGGAAGUCAGCCGCGUAUAUGAUUGGCAGAUUGGGGCCGGGGGAGGCGACAGCGACGGCCGAGGCCGCGCGCGGAGGUGGCAGCCCACGCGUCCCCGCCGAGGCGCGCCGGACGGCCGCGACGCGACGAAACCGGCCAGCCACGCCACCGCGCGGCGACGGAGCAUGCCGCGAUCGCGACGGUCGCGCGGGCCCGUACGCACGCACACAGACCGCGACGGCGGUGAGAGGACCGCGCAUCGCUGCACGUACACACCCCUAUCGCCGGCGCCGGAACGGAUGCAUGCGGCGGGCGUACCACUACGGCGACCUCACAGCAGGAACGCUACUUUGUUCUCUCGCUCCGCCGGCCGUGCGUGUGGCUAGCGGCUGCCCGGCCUGCUGCUCGAUCCUUUUUCUACACGUGAGCGACGUGACACGGUCUCGGCCUCUCGGGUCGAAACGAUCCACUAGUACGAACGGAGUACCGAGUACGUACACCCCUCUGGCAACAGCAGUCCGCCGGCAUCCACACGUCGAUUUGUACCCUCUUGCGCACUGACACACGUCAUGCUGCACCAAUUCCAAGCUUUUUACUUUCUCUCGGAUUUCACAUUUUCACUCUCCCUCGCUAGCAUCCUUAUCCCUCAAUCACAACUUUAUCAUUACGCUUUAUUUUGUCCUCUAGUUACAGCUUUUGGUGCAUACCCAGUCACUGGACUUGACCAACCUAUAUCAUAAAUGUUAUAAAAACACGUGACAAUUAGAGGUAAGGUGGUCAACCAGCUAGUUACUGUAGCUAGUAGUAACACGUAACUGAAUUAACUCCACACUGAUGACACUAUUUGUUAUAAUCAUUAGUAUUGAUCAAACUCAUAUUCACGGACCAGGCCUCGCUCUAGCGAGUACCCUCUCUGUCCCAAAUUAUUAUUUAUUUUAUUUUUUAAGAUAUUUAUUAUGUACCUAAAUAUAUAAAUUUUUAAGAAAAAUUAAAAUGGAUAGUAAUUUAGGAUGGAAGAAAUACUAAUCAUAUAUAGAAACCCUACAAUGCUACAAUAGGCAUAGUUGCCACGUCAAUUUGCUUCCUAUUUUUUUCUCCAUUUUUAUUUACAGGACAUCCUUCGUUUCAUUAUUAGGACAAACCUUUGACACAUAACUACUCUAUUAAUAAUUUAUUUAUGUUAUAUAAAAAGUAUAAUAUUUAGAAAGUAUUUUUAAUACAAAUCUAAUGACAGUAACAUUGUGUAUUAAUAGAUUAAUUGUUGGUCAAAAGCUUAUUCUAACUAAAUGAAAGAAGGGGUAUAAUUUGCAAAAAAUGGAGCUGUUAAUAUAAGAAAGAAGAAGUCUAGCUCAUGGUACCUAAGAGGCCAAGAUGUUCCACUUUUUUUUUUGAAGGGCAAACAAGAUGUUCCACAUUGAUGCAUGUGAAUACAGGCCUCUAGAAGGGUACUGAUAAUUGCUCGUAGUAGUACAUACGUGAGAAGACUCCACGUCAAUGUGCAGUUCAAGACGAGGUCAUGGCGGCUGCAUUCGUCGCGGAUUUAAUCAAAGGGGAAAUCUUAUUAGCUGCGAUAAUAAGCUUGUUUAUACGUACACGAUUACGUGCAUGCAUGCAAACGUUGACUUUCCGUUUGUAGAUACCGUCCAAGAGACAAAAUGAAUGUAUCGAUCAGAGGUCAGUUGCGGUGUGCCACUUCCGAUACACACUUGGUAUCAGAAGAUUGGCCGUAGUACAUCUAGCUAGCUACUGUAUGUGCCGCGCGUAGGCACAUGCAAGAUUGCAAGUCGUGUCAAAAUGAGCCAUCCAUUACCUGGUGAACAUAGCCACACAAUAUUCUACACAAAUAUCAAGCUCGAUCCGACUUGAAAAGUAAUAAUGUGUCCAUCGAUGGAAAUUUACUUGACUUGUCACAAAACCCAACAGGAGUCCAACAUAUAUAGUUUAUAUUUUGUCAGCAGUUGAUCGAUGCAAUUGUACGCCGCUCAUCAGAGGGAGCAGGCAAGCAUCCGCAAUCAUUAAGUUACGUUGCACACCACACCAGUGCUAGCUAGUGAUCUGUUUUUCUCAACCAUUUUAAAGAAUUAUUGCCUAUAUCAUGUGACUAUGACAGUUACUGGUGUCCUUAUUCAAGCUUAUUUCCCCGUCCUUUUUUGAUGAUUUUCUCUCCUUUUUUUAUAUUCGCGCCACACAGGGCCCCCAAUCACACAGUGACACAAGGAACCAAAGAAAGCAAGGGUGAAUAAACUAGUAGCAUUCUAAGAAAAGCAACCCUAAUUUUUCUUCGCUGGGGACAAGGCGGUGAUGCGAGCGAGAGCGACAGCGGCCGCCUCCACCAAUCAUGCGAGGACACCUUCGCCGUGGUUCCCCACACUGACACGCACCACACGUCCAAUUGAAACGACGAGAAUUACAGUGAGCCGAGAGAAAGAAAUUCAAGGGAACUGAAGCUUCUAACUGUAACCACAUGAACGAACUGGCACAAAGGAGGUGCAACAAUAAUCCUGUACAAAAAUGCGUCCCUGAUGAUGACAUAGAUUUCGAUGCGUUCGCUCCUUGCGGUGGUACGAGAUGAAGUGUUGGACUUGGACCUAGCUUCCACGGAUCGUCGGGUCCCGUGGGAUUUUCUGGGUGUGUUACAUGUAGUCGCUCACAUCGAGGAGCUCCGACAGCUGCAUGCUGAACAGCGCGGCGGCGUCGCUGCUGGCGCUCGCGCCGCCGCCGUACGUCGUGGCGGUGGAGGCGGCGGAGUGAUUCAACCCGGCCGCCACGGGGCUGGACGACGGUGUGGACACGCCGGAGCCGACGUUGUUGUUGUUGCUGCUCGUCACCGUGCUGCUCCACUGCUGCAGGUUCGACGCGUCGGGCUGGACCAUUUGCAUCAGCGCCGGGACGUCCAGGCCGUCCACGUAGCCGGACGGUGGCGCCUGCAUGCUAUUGCAGGCGGCCGCGGCCAUGUCCUGGUGCUGUUGCUGUUGCGCGGCGGCCGCCAGCUGCUGCUGCUGCACCAUCGGGUUCGCGUGGACCAGGUCCGGCAUUUGGCACGCGGCUCCGGCCUGCUGCUGCUGCUGCGACAUGAACUGAUGGUCGGCCUGCUGCGGCAGCGCCAUGGCGGCCGCCUGCGCCAUCUGCGCCUGCAGCAGCCACGGCAGAAGCUGCUGCUGGUCGCCGAUCGCGGCGGGCGCGGCCGCCGAGCCCGACGAGAGCAGGGUGGAGGCGAGGCGGAGGAGGUCCGGGUAGCUGGCGAGCGGCUCGAAGGCGCGGAGCGCGUCGAGGUCGGCCUGCGUGGGGUAGUAUGCGGCGGGCUUGAGGAGCGCGGAGAGGUCGAGGAGGUCGAGGCGCGGGGCGUGGGUGACGGGGUCGAUGCCCAUGCGGAGCAGGCGCUUGCGGAUGUGCGUGUUCCAGUAGUUCUUGAUCUCGUUGUCCGUCCGCCCGGGCAGCCGCGCCGCGAUCGCUGACCACCUGACCAGCAGCCAAUCAUGCACCCAUCCAUCAGAAACCGUACUAGUACGCCUACCUACUACUACUGCUAGUACGUAGUAGUAGAGCAGAAACAGCGAAGCUAUGCCAGCUAGUAGCUGUCGAUGCGAGGAGGAAAAAAAAUCACUUGAUUGUGAUGCUUACUUGUUGCCGAGGAUGCUGUGGAGCUGGAUGAUGGUCUCCUCCUCCUCGAAGGAGAAGCGGCCGCGCUUGAUGUCCGGCCUCAGGUAGUUGGUCCACCGCAGCCGGCAGCUCUUCCCGCACCGCGCGAGCCCUGCCACGACAAGGAUCAACCAAGCGAGGUGAGCAUAUAUACAAAAUUAAACCGAGUCCGGCCAGCAUGUACGGCGAUCGGUCGGGGCGCUCACCAGCAUUCUUGGGGAGGGUGCGCCAGUUGCCCUGGCCGUGCUUCUUGAUGUAGGCGACGAGCUUCUCGUCCUCCUCCGGCGUCCACGGCCCCUUCUUCAGCCCGCUCUUCUCGCAGCACGGCGCGCGCCCCAUGGAUCGAUCGACCGGCCGCUACCUCGGGAGGACGACGACGACGCAGCUCGUGUGGAAGGGCGGGGGAGCGAGGGAAAAGGCCCGGUUUGUCUCGCAGCUAGCUGUAGCCGCGCGCAGCAGAUGGAGGAGAGCGAGAACAGGACGGACAGGCCGGGAGAGCGUCGUCCAGCUACAGGGGUGUGAAAUGAAACUGAGGAAGCAGACAGGAGAUCCGAGUAGGGGGUGGGGGCGGGGGGAUGGCUUAUAAAGGGCGCGAGGGCGACGGGGACCGGGCGUGGGAAGUCAACAGGAUUCGGUGCCGGCCUUUGUGCUUAGCGCCCGCGACGUGGCUGCCAGCCGCGCCCCCCGGGCCACGGCCUUCGGAGGAGCGGGGCCGCAGAACAGCGGCUCAGCUUCCGUUCGGCGGGCACCAGGAGACGGCCAGACGGGAGGAUGCAUCCACCCAUCCGUCCGUCGAUCGGGUGAAAAAAGUUGCUGGAGCACACGCAGGGGCAUCGCCCUCCGCCCCUCCCGGUCCCGGUCCCGAAAAGUAACCGCUGGCGCUGCCCGUACCAGGCAGCUGUGCCACCGGCCCACCGCAGGUCCAGCGCUAGCUAGCCGAGCGUUCUGAGCAAGAGCGUCAGCUCCCAGAAGGCAAGGAACACCAGUGGAGCAGAACAGAACAGAACGACCCUACCAUACGACGGCACGGCUAAUCGGCUCCAUGCAUGGGCACAAUCUCGCUUCGAGCCUAUCGACCCGAAGCUCACAGAAUCUCCUUUUUACUGCUGGAUCGAUAGGAGAAGAUUACCGACCAGGCUUGUUACCGCACACGCACAGGACUGUAACCGUGCUGCCAAAUUUGUUGGGUAUGUCAGCCCCGUUUAAAAUAUCUAUUUUUUAGCUUUGUCAGAAAAAAUAUCUGUUUUUCUCCCUGUUCUUGUUGGUUAUGUUACGUGAUCUUUCUCAAAAGUCAUGCAACGUAACGCUGCUAAAUGGAACUUUGCUGUGGAAAAUGUCAAUGUAAUGGAUGGAUGUCAAGGCCAGUGAUUCGGACCGUGUUGGCCAUCCAAGAAAUGGCAACUACCUUUCUGAAAAAUCAUAAUUGAUUAUAAAACCACAAAUUUGUAUUCGAAAUGGUUUCAUGUGAGAUUGGUUGAUUUUAAAUUUCUGUUUACAAGCAGUCAUGUUUUCUCCCACAGGGUCUGUAUAUAAGAACUGCUGGCACCCCUAAAUAAGCAACAACUAAAACUAAUAAUAAAUGAUACCCUAGAAACUAACAAAACGGAUGGUGGGUGCGGUGGGUUCGAUAUUUAUGAUCUCUUUUUGGCAUAACCUUGAUGGGACUUAAUCGCGGAGAAAGUAGAGAACAAGUAUAUGGAACCUAAAGUAGUGGUUGAGAAAUGUUCAAAAAUAGAUUGGUCUCCUUUUGCCAUCAGCACGCACUUUUUGCGUGGGCCUGUAUAUGUGUGUGUGAACUCAAUUGAAGAAACUAUUUUAGUAAAAAGAAAAUUUUGAAAUGACUACCUAUUGGUACUUGUUGCUCCCUAAUAAAGGAGGUUACACACCAGCAAGAAGCAGUUCCAUAUUCCCCAAUUCAACUACCAUAUUGGAAGAAUUGGUGAAAAAAAUAGUGCGACAACACUCCCUUUACCUUUACCUUUUUCCCAAUAACUAUCGGGACAAACCAAUAAUUCACCCCAACUCUCCCCAGAUAAAGGAGAGUUGUGACUCUCUCAAUAUGGUAGUAUGAUUGGGAUGUGAUUAUUGGGAGACUACAAAAGCAACUCUCCCAAUAACAAUGAAAGUGAUAUUGGGACAUCCCCAUUAACUAGUAAUUGGGAAACAUUUAUUAGGGAACUGCUGGAGAUGCUCUUAAGUCCCCCAUUAAAAAAGAAGAAUUUCCGCACCAUAUAUCAAGAUAGAUUUCCAUCGGUUAGUUUAAGAAAAAAUAAACUUUUGCAUCCUUUUCAUCGGUACUUAGUCAAAACAAAAGUCCUUUUUAUUAUAUAAUAUUAAUAAAAUUAUAGUCACAUUUUAGUAUGGAAAAAUGACCCAAUCUCCAGUUAAGAGCCUUGAAGGAGCCUUAGGAAGAAUGAGUCUCUCCAACCUUAUCUGAGGGAAAAGCCGGCCGAUGGGUUCUAAUCCAAAUUGACCCUUGUUAUAUACUUGGGGGUGGAGGCAGCAUAUCUCCUCUUGGAAAAUUGCCAAAGGGUCCCCAUAUCUCCAUGAAAAUUACCAACAUAUUGAAUUUUAGAACUUUGCAUUAGAGGCCACCGUCACGUUCUGUCCUAACUAGUAAGCGAUGUACAUUGACCAAGAGGUCGAGAUCCCCACUCCAAAUGGUGAACAUGAGUUGAUAGGAAUCAUGUACACUAGUAUUGGUUGACCAUGACAAUAUUGAUAUCAUGGCAGGUCGAUACUCAAUAACGUUAUACGGUGGCAAUACCAGCAGUGGGUCGUACCGAACUGCUUUGAAGGGGUACCUCUGCAAAGAUGCACCUCUAACUAUAAUUUGAAAUGGAGCGGGUAACUUCUAAUUCCGGGCCAAAACAAAAUGAGCAAGUAGGGGAGAGAAAAAGCAGCCAAUAAACACUAUAUAGCCUGAAAAGACACAACAUGAUUAAAGGCGGUUAAGAUCAAAUUUCGCACAGGUGCUCCAAGCAAACGACAAGGAUCCGGGACCGUUCCCUUGGCCCCGUGCGCCUGUGUGCCUUUUCCCCUCUCCGCAUCACCUGGCGUUGACGGGCUCUGGGGCGCCUGCCACCUUGGACGGCUGACGGCACGGGGCAGCGCUGGCCCCCACGCGCCCGCGCCCGUACCCAGCCAAAUAGCCAAUCCCCCCUCGCGAAACCUGCGCGCAGGCCGCAGGGCAUGCAUGCAUGGCUCGCGCUGCCGGCUGCCCCCCGCUGCGCCCAUGGCAGCGGCGGAGCCUGGCCUGCCCGGGCCCGCCCUGCCCGCCUUUAAUUCCUGCAGCGAGCUGCCAGCGUGGCAGGCACUGCCGCCCGGCCGACCAAACGUCCCAGCGCCGUACCCGUACGCCAGCCACCGCCACGUACCCUGCCCGCGCCGUGAACAGGAUCUCCCAGAAAAAUGGGCACGCGAAGCCCGUUUCACUAUGUUUCAAAAAAGAAACCCGUUUCACCCAGCGCGCGCGCGCUAGCCACAAGGCUCCGCGCGGCUCGUCUCCACCAUCCUCGUGUUGGUAGCUCCGACCCUCCCAAAAGUUUUGAGCAUCGAAAUAAACCACCGGGGAUCGUCGACGACGACCGUGAGCGCGCGGCGGCCAGCGCGAUCCGCCGAGACGGGUACGUGUUCCGGUUGAAAAGUUGCCGUGAUCCGGCCUCGCUCGUGCGCGGCGUGCGUGUCUCGCCGUGCGCGGCAGGGCGCGAGAGGCUCCUUCACCAAAAGAUAAUAUUUGUUAGUUAAAAGCGGGAAUCCAAAAUGUCAAAAAGUUUGCCCGAGUAAAUAAAGCUGAGGCGUAAAGGGACGUGACAGCGACCAGAGAGGGAAGGCAAAAGGCAACCGAGAGAGAGGAAAAUCCCAUCCAAAUGUACACGUCGUGAACGAUUAGCGUGCCAAUGUAAAGUGAUGUUUUUACCGCGACAAUAUUAUAUGUUUCGAAUGUAAUCAAUCCGUGGUGGAUAGCGCCCACUUGUUAAUUAACUCGGUGAAAACUAAGUCUUUUUUAGCUACAAGUCAUGUUCGGAAGAAGAAGACAACUACUACUGUUUACCGCGGAAUUUCUACGGAGUUACUGUGAGCCUGUGACACGAACCGCCUUAGCUGCACGCACCAAAACUCUGUGAUAAGCACCGUUCCACAGCGACGCGUGUCCCGGCAGCCUCCGGUGUCUAUGUCAGUUGACUUUGAGGCGAGAAGAUCACAAUAAUUGCUUGGCAUAAAGACACGUCCACUUGUACAAGCCAGUACAUGCGGUAUGUUUCAAUAUUCGAUUAAGGUUUUGACCGUUCAAUGCGCGCACACACCCCUCCCCGGACGAAAUUAAAAGAAAAAUUAAACUAGACACGGAUGACUGGGACACUUGCACUUUACUGGUAAACUAACACGUUACAGAACGAAAUUGCCUUGUUAUAUUAGUUAAUUUGGAUGGCUGGCCUAUAGGGAAUAGUAAGACUAUUUCAAAGAUGAAAAAGGACUGCAAAAUUUUGCAAAUGUCAGCAGAACAGCAGAAAAAAGGACUGCAAGCUGAAAGAUCAGUACGUAGCAAAAUUAUUCUAGAAGCUAGCCUCUUGGGAAAUUUUAAGCUAAGUGGGAAAAGCACGUCAUAAAAGGGGGAGCGUGAGUUGCUGCAAUAUUAUUUAACUAUUUGUUAAUAAGCUUGCAUGUUACGGUUUUCAUGUAGCUGACUGGUAAUACAAUCAUCUGAAAAUGGAUGGCCAAACUAUGUGAGAUUGGAGAUUCAACCUGCGGCCUCCACAAUUCUAGGCAUUGGCUUUUGCUGCUAAUAGGGGGAACAAUUUGUAUGCUAGUGCAGUGUGUGCGUUUGGACGAUUGUUAUAUCAGAAAGAAGAAAGAAAAUAGCAUCAGUAGUAGCUAUUAGUAGAUGUACCCUAGGUCAGCAUUCCUGAAACAGGAUGGAGAGGGAAGGUGGAAAGGAUACAAAGAGUGUAGCUUAAGAAACAGUGAUGUAUCCAAGAGGGAGACAGGGUCGGGGGAGACGAGAAGAUCUCAUCCACUUCCAUCAAACGUGCAACUAAAGGAGUCAAAUCACAUCGAAUGCUUGUAAUGGCAGUUUUGGGCUAAUUGACUUGGUCAUCCAACCAGCAGGCACCUGAACGCCACUCCCUAAUUUAGCUUAGCCACCAACUAAGCACCCGUAUUAGUUUAAGGAAGUGGCUGCUAAGUCCAGAUUAGGCAACCGCAAGUUCUCAAGUUGCUCCACUAACGGUACGGAUUCACACUAUUUUCCCGUCGACUCUUUCGAAGCUCAUCAUUAUGGGAAGGAACAUCAUCUCAUGAAAAGAACCUUGCAUCUACUUGGACUGUAGCUGUUUAGACCACUUGAGUCUCGUCCUUCUCGAAUUCAUGGAGGAACGAAAAGAUAUUUCAUGUGAUAUACUAUGAAGUAUUCUGUAUUCCCUGUCACUGUUUCAGUCAAGUGAGCUUCCUGUACGUAGAUGCUGCUGGUCUUUAAGAGACAGUAUUAGACUUCUAGAGAACCUAAUUAAAGGUGCAUCGCAUCGAUUUCUGAUUCAUUGGUUAAUUGGUGUCUCUGCAAAUGAAAUGACACGUAAAAUGAGAAAUGACACGUAAAAAGUUUUGCACGACAUUGCAGUAAGAAGGAAGGAAAGGAAAACAGAAGGGCCGACGCGCGAAUCCUAGCUCGAUCGAUGCACGUUCUUCCGUGUACCCGCCGAUUCAACUAUUCAAGCACGAAAUGCCAGGAAGACAUUAAAAAGAAUUAACUCGAUCAAGAAAAGCUAGCAAAUGUGCGCAGCAACUGCUCACGAGAUGAAUUCUCAUUUGACAACGUUCCAUUCGCAUGUAACGUAACUGAUCACGCAGCGCGGCAAAUGUGCGCAGCCACACACAUCGCUGGCGCGCGGCAAUCUUAUUUCACAAGGUCAAGUCUUGCUGAGCUCAACAGUACGUGCCGAUCCAACGAAUUCGGAGGAAAUUCAGCUGGUGGGGCUAGAUUAGCCGACGCCAUAUUGACAGUGCCUCGUGCCGCCCCCUGCACACACGUGUGAAGCUCCAGCACGCGAUGCGUGCGGACGCGUCCAACCUGCAGCUGAUCAUCUCGAUCGCGCAUAUUAUUCUUACAGCGCAUUCUUACUUACUUUAAUUCGGGCCGUACACGGGCCGCAAUUAAACUAAGGCAAAUUUAAAUUCAUUUCGACGGUUUCAGUGAGAUCAUCACACACACGACUGGUGAUCUCCUGUAACUUCCAGUGAUCAGUAUAGAAUAAUACACACACCGGCAUGCAUACACACAUACACGUAUUGAUAUAUACAUACACAAAUACUACUAUAUACGUACAGUUAGUAAAAUACCCUAGCUAUGUACUAGGUAUAUCGUAGCUAGAUUACGAUAAGUUUCAACAUCCCAGCAAGAUAAACCGGGCUAGAUUUGGAAGUAACCUUUUAAAUAGUGCCCCCAUGUCUCUCGGCAAGGAGACACCCGCCAUCUUCCAAGCACUGUCCAAAUUAUAUGAAGCUAGCACACACGCAGCCCAAAUUAACUAUGGUUUCGUCAAAGACAACAGCAAUUGUUAUCUUCCUACGUGGCGCUUCCCAAGUGUUCCCUGGCGUAUGGUUGCCCAAACUUAGUAUACACCUGUUACUUGUUAUAUACUCCUUCCGUCCCAAAUUACUGUUCGUUUUGAUUUUUCUAGAUGCAUAACUUUUGAUAUGCACGUACAUAGCAAAAAUAAUGUACCUAGAAAAUCUAAUAUUAAUAUUAAUUUGGGAUGGAGGGAGUAUAUAAUAUGUUUAUAUAUUUAUAUAUAUGCAUAUGCUUGCAUCGGCGGUUUGACCACCCCUACCAUACAUGCGUACGCGAGCAGCGAGAGCGAGACACGAGAGUUGUUACGAAUAGACGCGACAUGCACACGCACCACCAGCCUACGUGUCCCGGAGCUCCCCAAUAAUCUAGUGGCGAGCAUAUGCUGCCCCGGCCCUGAUCCGCGCAUUAGUUGGGCGAUUAUUCGCGUGAUCUGCCGUGAGGUCACCGGUCGCGCCUGCUUCAUCCAAACGUUGACGUUUAUACUAUUAUACACGUACACCCGCCGGAUUAAUUAUUAACUUGGCCGGGUUUAAUUUUCUUUGCUUCUUUUGGGCCGUGCUUUAGUUUAAUCGUCUCGGGCCUUUGCUUGGAUGAUUAUUCUAGAGGGGGAAAAGUACCAGGAAUGGUUUGAAAAUUUGGGUGUAGACAUCUUCGUGUGAUCUUGUCGUGAGUGACUCGGCGAGUCAAGGCGCUGCGCUGCUAGCUGAUGCUGUGGUCUACGGAGCGGAUCGCCCUGUAGAUACUAUAUAUAGAGUAAUGGAAAGUGUCGAGCGGCAACGACGUGCUCUGACUUUGCUGUAAUUUGACACUUGGGUGGUGUUCGUGCCCUUUUGUGGGUAACACCGUACCUGUGAUCGAUGGUCGUGUGACGUGUAUGGAUCAGGACUACUGCCACCGGGAUUGAAGGGGCCGGCCGGAAUGAAGUCACAUGCAAUGGAUCAAGGUAAAAUACUAAACAAGUACGUACACACGACGUAGCUUAUCCAAUAAUCUACACCUCUCUGCUGGGACGACCCUGCUGGAACAUUCAUCUGCUGAUGAUUAGGCAUGCAUGACGAAGGUCUUAAUGUAGGAUCGGAGUAACAGCUGUGUCCACCUCUAAUCCGGAUUCUUUUAUGCAUGUUUUGGUGUUUUCGAAUUGCAGCCGUUCAUUACAUGGCCUCAGUUUUUAAAAUUUUUUGCCCCCGCUCAGAUGAUCAUGUCAUCAUGUGGCCUGUGGCCAGAACGCUCGAUCGAGGUGUACAUGUACGCCGACGAUGAGGUGUCCAGUUAGCAGCAACAACCUUUGAAUUGAAACCGCACAAGACGCACCGUACCUGUUCUCGCUCUCACUCUGCUUGCGUUUGCUGAUCGAUGUCGUCGCGUUGCACACAUCACGAGCCCUAAAAAACAAUGCCCAGAUAUGGGGGCCUGGGAACGACGCGCCUGUGGCUGUGUGCCGCUGUGACCUGGACACGAUCCUCUCCCAUCUCCGAUCCCUUCAUUGCCCGGAGUUAGCAGGAGUAGAUGGCUGGAGACCAUUAUGGUUUCGCCCCGUCACCACUUGCAUGGCCCAUGCACACGCCAGGGCACGUACUUGCUCCGAUCCCGCCAUUUCUUUAUGCUCCAUCAUGUGGCUCGAAAUGGCAAGAACGAUCGAUCCGGCGAGCAGUGUGUAUCUUAUGUGGUAUUAUUGACAUCUGGAUCAGGAAUAGUUGGUGGCACGGACAGCACACUUGCUGCCAGGUCCUUGAUUUCUUCCAUGCUCUCCGUCCGGCGGCGGCGGCAUCAUCAGAAGCUUCACGAUGAGCUCCCCCAAAAAAAAAGGAAAAAGAAAUGGUCGGUUCUGUGACUGGAAAUGCACGCGGCUGAGAAGACAGAGAACGAUGUCUCUUCACGAUUUGGAAUUGUAUAUUCAGCGGUUUGACAUCUGUUUUCGGCGGUUCAUACACUGAUGAUAUGACGGUUUGGUUGGUCGUCCCUGAAAGCUCGCAGCUGAUCUUGCUCUUGCCAGCUCGGAGUAGAUCUGUAGAUGACAUGAUUUGUUGUGUUCUUCCAGAAGACGUCGCGUGUUUAACUGAGUUUCUAAGACAAAACUCACCCAGGACGCAACAAAUGGACUGUAGUUUAGCACACAAAUAUCAGAGCCAUAUAUCUCACUUGGAUAAAACAAAUUAGAAGUUUUUUGACACCGUUUCAUCAGUUUCCGCUGUUAUCUGAAAUAAACGACUCUGAAUUGAAUCCGGGUUCAUUGGUCCACCUGUACAUGAAGAACAUGUGAUUUCCGUUCGUCAGGCAGGCAACACUUGCCGGAAUGGUUGACUCGGAGCCAGCAUGGUGGAUUUUCUGCGAUAACAAGCGACAGGUACCCGGCAGCUAGCGCGAGGCCGCCCGGGCGGUUUCAGAUCAGGAUAAACUCCUCAAACCCCAGGGAAUUUUCACCGUGCUUACAGAGACAAGAAUUACAUUAUCCUGAAUAAUUCCUCUAACGCGCAAAAGCAAGCGCGACUUUUUUUUCUUCAGGAGAAAGAACAUCCGAUGGAUCAGUGGCGCCUCUUAUGCAGGGUGGCAAAAGUCAGCAUGGAUUGCAACGACAAGCCAACCACAAGUCAUCUACUGGAGCUUCAUUCGUGGAAGCCUGACGCGUCGCCGUUGGGGAAAACAACGCUGAUCUGGGCAGGGCUUUUCUGCAGCCAGAGUUUUCGUGCUGACCAUGCAGGUUUUUGGUUGGGCUAAUCAUGCUUUAGAAGCUGCCAAUCCUGCAUUAGGACCUGAAUGAGCAAUCAAGGUCGUUAUCCUAGCGAAGAUGCAGCCCUUUCCGCGUCUUUUUCUUCGGUUUGAAUUGGUGGCCAAACAUCAUAUGCCCCUGCAUGGCGCCCUGCUGCAAGAUUGGUCAGAGAUUUCUCCCCUUUGUUAUUGGAGGAUAUCAGGUGUGCGUGCGUGGACGUCGUACGACCAUGAGAGCAGAGCAUCAGGGUUGCACAACAAAUUCACACAUUGUGAAGGCAAAUGUUCAGGAAUUUUGUGAGAAAUUGGGCACAGAGACGACGAAGGCGAGCAUCACGGCUCGCAUGAAUUGCGUCUGAAUGAAGUUGCUUAAGGAGUUGUUCAGCACAUUGCUCCGAGGUAAUAGUGUGUUUCCAUCCAUUUAAUUUUGUGGUAAUGGCAAUGGAAGUCAUAUGAGUAUGUUUUGCGGUUUCUCUGCUGAAUCUGAAUGUCAGACAGAAUACAAUUUGAUGGGGGGUCAAUAAGGUAAAUUGGUUCCAAAAAAAUCAAUGUGUUGAUGUGUGAAGUAUCAAUGCAGCUACUUGUAAUUAGCUGAGAUCAUUUCAACAAGCUUGUCAUGCAGAGCUCCAUUUGUCACCAGAACACCGCCCGAAGGGUAGAUGAUUCUGCGAGAUGUUAGGUCAGCUGCAAGAUCCAACGGUUUUCCACUCCAGUCACUAAUCUGUCAGUUUCAGAAAGUUACAAGAUCAUCGUGAUGAACUGGGAACUGGGUUGACAUUUGGGAUAAUCUUGUCUUAACAAGCAAGGAAGGUACAAACCUGGCCACCGGCUUCCUGCACGCAAAUUACCCCAACAGCAUGAUCCCAGGACUAUGUAAACAGUAUGAAAAGAAAGGGUCAUCAGUGCACCAGUUAACUAAGUCAACAAGCUGUUUAACUUGUCAUGCAGGACAAGGGGAAAUUGUAGGCAAACAAGGCACCUUGAUCUGAGUUGUCGUCCGUGCUCGAAGGACAAAAACGGAGGCUCUCCCGGAAGCUACAGUUAGAUACUUGCACAAGCUAUAGAAUAGCAACAAGAAGAGCACAUCAGGAUGAACUCAUAUGCAGCCGACCAAUCGAUAAACAUUAAUCGAUCUAAUAUAGUCAUCAUCAACCUCAGCCAGAUUUUUAUAGGAAAUUCAAUGAUAGCAGGACAGCACAGUAAUAGAGAAAGAUAUUUAACAUUUUAGGCUAUGCCAGAAAGUCUACGGUACAUAAACAAAAGAGCAUAGUAUCCAUAGCUAACUUGAGGAUGGGGAGAAAAACAGUCAUUGAUUUCAAAUGACUGUUGGUCAUCGUUAGCACCAUAUGUUGGAGAAAUCAGUCAUUGUUUGGAAUGCCUUAGCUCAUUAGCUAGCAUCAUAUAUUAACUUGCUGGAGGCAUGAUAACAAAAAUCUUAUGCAAGUAUCAAAUCAUGAAUGGAAGGUGCAACAAACCUGCCACAGAAAACCGAUAGGAGAAGAAUUUCAUUCUCAUUUCUAGGAUCAGAUUCACCCGUUGUUGAAUUGAAGAGAACAGAUAAUGGUAUCAUAUCCCAUGUUUGGCUAUCUGGAAUGCAAUAGCGUGCCAUGUGAACAACUGAACAUGUAUCAACAAAGCAUCUUUUCCAAAUAUCCGGUGCGGUAGUGAAUUGGCCAAUCUCAGCAGACAAGCGCCUAGUCCAUGUACCACAGCCUAGAUGAGAUAUCAUAAGAAUCCCACGGCCAUUACAUGCAGCAGCACUGUCAUCUUUCCCGUUGGCUACGGUAUAAUUGGUCCAAUUCGGACAUCCCAUCACUCCAACUGUUACCUUUCCAUUCACCACAAGAGCCAGACCCACCUUAAGAAAUGGCAAAAAUGUAUGUUAGAAGAAAAAGAACACGUAAAUAAAAGCAAGCCAGGUUAAUAACAAAUAAUUUAAUAAAGAAUCCUGAAUUAGCCAGUCCAUGCUGAACACGCUUGGUAUUCAGAUGCGUGAAGUUUGUCACCAAAUAACAAAGUGCUGCGGAACUCAAAAGGCAAAAAAGGUGCCUCAUAAAAAAUCUGUAUGAACAUUCUUAACCUCAGUUAAUCGUUAAUGAUGUGAAAUCAUAUAAUGUCUUGUAGUAAUGAGGGUGAGGGGCUAUCUGGAAAUCCUCUAAUCACAUGCCUUGGCAUUCCAUGAAUCUUGUGACAAGUAAAUAGCUGAGAGCAUCUGGAUCACUUAUGCUAUAUGAGGAAAUUAACAGAGGCUCUGAACCAACCUACAGUAAUAUCAAUAUAGAAAAUCCCAAGACAGAGGAACAUGCCUGGCACAAAUGUGGCACCAAGAAAUUACCCAAGAGACCGUGCUUGCAGAAUGGAAGACAUUUUUCGUGCAAAAAUUAUUCAGCCUAGGUAAAAUUGAAGAAUAUGUAGCAGGGGCUGAAUAAAGCAUAUCAGUGCCAGAUCAACAGCAUGUAAAGAUGAGUUUUACUGUUUUAGAAAGAAAUUAGGGGAUCAUACCACAUAAAGAGCAUCAUCCCCUCUCAAGAAACCUUUGGUGCCAUCAAUUGGAUCAAGUACCUCCAAACCAAAGCAUAAACUUUAUGACAUAUUAACUUGGCAGAUACCAAUAAAUGAAUUAACUUCAAAGAACUGAACGUGUAUGAUAAAUAAAACAUGACAGCUUACUGAUUACCCAAUAAGUAGCAGGGUUUGAAUCAAAUGAGACAGCAUCCUUGCCUCCUCUAUCAAUUGCUCUCAGCACAUCAUCUUGAGUUAAAGGUGAACCACUGUUGCUCACUUUGUCUGCAACUGCACUAAAAAUUGACUCAACAAGUACAUCACUACUAUUAUCGUCAGCUUCUGAUGACCUUAGAGAUGCCGAGUCCUCUUCUGCCACCAGAGGUAUUGAUGGGAACAGUCUCUGGAGUUCUUCCAAUAGCAACAUGGUAAAAUAUGGCAUUAGACAAAGCCACAAAACUGAACUUCGAAAUUGUGCUAUGGAUUACCCAAACUAACAAGGGCCUGCACCCCGAAAUCCGCAAUUGUGACAGGAGUUUGGUCAUUCUUUUCAAGAAUACUCUUGCCACCUGAAAACAGUGACCUCUUCACCUGUCAAAACAUACAACCGACCAAGCAAAAUGGAGCUCAGACAUUUUUGUAGUGAGACUUCAGUCAAACAUUCAGAUUUGUUCCAUCAUAUCUGAAUGAUAACUCACAAAAAUUACAUAUUGAUACAGUGCAGACUAUUGGCUGCUCAACAUACAAAGCAAACCCUGUUGAGCUUCCCAAUUCUACUAUGCUUGUUUAGUAAUAUCUCAAAUUCAGACUAGAUCAAUGUCAAUUCUCUUUUUGAAUGAUCCAUGAAUAAUUUGUUUAUGAGUACAUUCAGCAUUGUGUGAAUUAUUAUACGUCAAACUUUUUAUUUCCUAAUGUAACCCAUAUAGUAUGAACUUGCCUCUACCAUGGUUAGUGUUUCCUGUCCCAGGCAUAAAUGAUAUAUCCUGCUAAGACUUUGACCCAUUUUGUCUAGGAAAAUGGAGUGGCGUGCUCUAGGUAUAAAAAGAGGGCGUAGCCGGUGCUGAAAGAUCCCACACAAGGUCUCUGGGGAAGGGAAUUUCUAGAAAGCCUUGCCCUUCUUAAUUACAAGGAGGCUGGGGAAGGGAAUUUCUAGACCACGCCCACCCUUAGGUAGUCCAUGCAUUACUAAGCGGAUAGUAAUUUUUAAUCUUUUUGUUUGACAAUAACUAAAUAACAUUUUAUGCGAUUAAUGCACACUUACUCGUAAGGCAAACACAAGCCUCAUUGGAUGGUUUUACUGAAGCUUGUGGGUACACAGAAAAUCAAUGCUAUUAGGAUCACAAACCUAUGUAGCAGUGGCGGAGCUUGAAGGAAAUAAAGCGGAGGCAAUCAGUACUAUAUUGUUGCCCUGUGCAGAUUUAUUAAUUUCUAAGCAUCAGGAAAUGUAGAGCGAAACUUUGGAUUGACCAAGUUUCAUGGCUCUUGAAAGCAUGGCAUCAGAUUGACAGCCUGGUGCAGUGGUGCUCCACAAAUUCGUAAAGACUUAUGUUUCUAAAGAAAAAUCAACACAAUGUUGCUCUCAAAAGGUCAAUCCUUAUGCAAACUAGUUGACCAUUUAGAUCAUUUCUGUUCAGCCGUACUAUUGCAUUGCCAAGAAGCUGUGAGCUUGUGAGAGCCCAGUUUGUGAUUUAGAACAUCUAGUGUUUCCCCAAUGCUGCACGAAUUAUAUGCACGGCUGCCUAUACAUCAAGUGAUCCCGCCAAACAGAAAUUUAUCCCGCGCUGAUACCUAAGCAGAAGCCUCUAAUUUCACCGAACCAGUAAAUCAGGAGGAGAGGGGAUGAGGUCAACUCACGUCAACGCAGAGGCGGCAGGCGCGCUCCACGGCGGCGAUGGCCGCGGCGAGCUCGUGGUGGUGGGAGGCGCGCUCCGGAGGGAAGGGGAGCCCGUAGGUCUCCGCUGCGACUGACACGGCUGCAUCCCCAGCCGCCGCCCUGUCCAGGAACGAGCAUGAGUGAGCAGAAGCGGCGGCGGCGGUCGGGUUCUUAAACUCGCGCGCAUGUGACGACAGGGUAGGGUUAGGAUCCGGAGGAGGGUCGUGAGUUUGUUCACCUGAAUGAGAGGCGGGUAUGACGGGGAGCCGGCGGGAAGCACAGCCGGCCGCGGCCGGCGACGAGGAGGCGGUGCGGCGGGAGCGAGAGGUGGAGGAGCGGCAUGGCUGUGUGUGGCGGGAGCGAGACGCGCGGCGCGGUUGCGAUGCCGCCGCACGGAAUACGUAUACGUAUUCGGUGGGUAUAUUCGCGACAUACUAGUGGGAAGACAAAAUACGCGUUCAAGAGCUGGAUACGCUUCUCUCUCUGAUACGCGAUCACGAGCAUAGUAAUAAACUAAUAAUGGCCCAGUCCCUUACUUUCCUAGUUGGGCCUAAGUUUUUUUCUGAGUUCGUUGGGCCUAGAAGUAAUCGGGCUAUAGCAGGUAGAGAAAGUGUUUGUAGCGAGCACGUUGAAUUUGGGGGUUUUUUUUUUAGAAGAACGUCAAUGUGCUCCGUCCAUUUCAAAUCUUUCUCCUAAAUCUAGUCUUGAUCAAAUUUAUCGAAAAAUGUAAAAAUAUCUAUAACAUCAAACUAGUCUCACUAGAUGAACCAUGAAAUAUAUCUCAAUAAUGCAUUUUAUUUGCUAUUGCAAAUGUUAAUAUAUUUUUAUAUUAACUUAAUCACAACUAGUCACGUAAGUUUUCUACGUUGCCUCGCUGGUUGUGUUUGGUAGUUGGAACCUUCGAAAUGGACUAUAGUAGACGAGAAUAGUACAGAUACAUUCAAUUGAAUACGACCAUCAUUGCGCAUUGCUUGCUAAUCGUCGCCGUUUUCGUGGAGGGCUUCAUUUAGCAGCAAAACACUACCACCAUUACCAACGUUUCACCAUCACGCCCGGCCUGGUCUAAGUUAGUAUCUUGGUGAUAUGCCAUUUAUAGUGAGAGCAUGCCAUGAGACUGGAGGUGCGAGGUGUAAGUGCAAUUAUUUAAUUUGUAGAGAAAAUUUUGCAAUGUUUCCAAAUCGUCGAUCGGUGUUUGUUGAGAGCCGAUGCGUAUACUAUCUACGCUGAUUGCAUCAACACAGCUGCCAGGGAUAAAGGCACGGAUAAGGAAUACUCAGACCCAAUGUUAGCCUACACGUUAAAUGGUAAAUAGUCAGUCACCUAUCGUUUAGCUGGACAUUUAAACAGGUUACACGGUCAUUAAAUGGGUAAGCGGACGAUUAACACUACUACAGAAAACGGCUUUAGUACUAGGAACCCCCUCUAGUACCAGUUGUGCAACCUGUACUAGCAAUUCAGUACUAAGGGGGUCCCUUUAAUACCAGUUGAAGAUGUUAAAAAAUUAAAAAAAAUGAAAUCCCCAUCGCCCGCCCACUCCCCCCUCCUUUGCCGCUCGCCUCCUACUCCGCCCCACCCGCUCCGCCGCCGCCCGCCGUGAGGGCCGGUGAGGGUGCCGGGUGAGGAGGAGGUAGAGGAGGAGGAGGAAUUAAGUUAAGGAAGAGGAGUAGGCAGAGGAGGAGGAGGAAUUAAGUCAAGGAAGAGGAGAGAGUGAGAGAGGAGAGAGAGAGAGAUGAGAGGGCAGGUGGGAGACGGAUAAAAAGCUGGCAACAGCGGGUGAAGGAUAAGAAGACAAGAGAGAGGAUGGAGCUUUAGUAUCGGGUGGUAGCUCCACCCGGUACUAAAGGUAACCUCUAGUACCAGGUGUAGCUAUCACCCGAUACUAAAGGGUCUCCGAGGAUCUCAAAUUUGGACCGAGUACUAAUGCUAACGUUAGUACCGGGUCCAAAUAUGACCGGUAUUGAGGCUGUGGACGAGAGGUCAUUUUUCUAGUAGUGUAAACGGACACGACUUACCACUGUGUAGCAUUUAAAUAGUGUGUAAACGGACUAAACGACCGUGUUGGCGAACACUGCUCAGGCCAAGCCUUCACGACUACAGAAUCGGCCAGUUGCCAGUGGCCAGAGCUCCAUUUUUUUUCCGGCAGGGAAUUGUUGUUGCGUAGGUAGUGGUAAGAUCGAUCUAACGAAUUAAUUCAAGAUGUGUACAAGUGAAUGCAUUAAUUCAUCACUGGUUCAUAUAUUACAAAUCACAAGUCCCCAUCAGCAAGCUCUCCUAAUUAACGAGACCUCCAUUAACAAACUAUCGGAUCGAUCUUCCCACCAUACCCUCUCACUCAUCACAAAAUGAUAUCACGCACGCAUGGGUUCAUCCAUCUCCGCCAGCUGAUAGAGAUCACAGUUAAUUAAUUCAAGAACACGUUUCGAUCGAUGGACGACGGAGCAAUGGCGGCUUAAGAGGAUCCUCCGAACGUGUCGAAGAUGGUGGUGUGGAGCGGGUCGCUGAGGUGGGUGGCCCAGUUGUUGAGCGGGCCCUUGCCGGUGGCGGCGGCCUGCACGGCGAAGCCGAGGAAGGCGACCAUGGCGAGGCGCGCGUGCUUGAUCUCCGCCAGCUGCAGCCGCUCCUUCUUCUCCGGGUCGGCCGCCAGGCCGAGCGGGUCGAAGUAGGAGCCGCCCGGGUAGAGCCUCUUCUCCGGGUCGAGCUCGGCGUUGCGCUGGAACUCGAUGUAGCCGAUCACGAGCACCUCGAUCCAGAUGAGUGUCGAGAUGGAGAAGGGCAGCGGCUGCCCCAGGUAGGACGACCCGUCCACAAGCUCAACCUGCCAGCCAUCAAUAACGUUCAGGUUAGACGCUUGCAUAAGGAUGGAAUGAAACAAUUUUGGUGCACAUAUGUAUAUAUACAUACCUUGCCGGCGUCCUGCCAGGUGACGCCGGUGAGCCACUCGACGGAGAGGGCGCCGAGGGUGGCGAGCAUGGCCCAGCGGCCGUGGAUGAGCUCGCACUCGCGGAAACGCUGGAGGCCGAAGACCUCGCUGUAGGGCUGGAACGGGGUGGACUUGACGUCGGAGGACUCGAAGCGGGUGCCGAUGAUGCCGCCGGCCUCGUUCUUGGCCAGGUUCUGGUCCAGCGAGUCCAGCUCGAACUGCAGGUACUCCACGGGCUUCCCGAGCCCGAACGGGUCGAACCCGUAGUCGCCCACCAGUGACCCGUCGAGGUAGUCGGGCGCCACCGCGCCGGGGAACCAGAGCGGCCGGUCGGAGACCGACGACGUCUUGGCCGCCUUCUUCGGGGCGGCGGUCUUCUUGCCGCCGCCGAACCCGAACCGGGCCACGAUGCGCCCGUUCUGCGGCGCUGGGUCCGCCAGGCGGGUGCCCAGGAAUGUGCUCGCCGCGGCGGCCACCGACGAAGCCAUGGCUGCUGCUCCUCCUCCUCCUCCUGGGUGUGCUGAGAGCGUCAGGUGGUGGUGGUGUGUGGCGUGGAGAGGGCUCGUCCCGGGGUACAAAUAAGAAAGAGUUCCGGUGCUAUCUCCUGCGUGGCAGAUCGGACGGCCCUGGGACGGAUGUGAUCUAUUUGACGGCAGCGAUGGGCUCUGCCUUAUCCGGGUCUUAUCUGCAUGGUCCAAUGGAUGGGCUGCUGGCGGAGGGCCUCGGGACACGUGGAGGGCCGUGAUUGGGAGGAGAGCGUCUGGAGCGCCUGAGAUUUGUGGUCUUCGGAGUGCCUGGGGCUGGGAAAUAUCGGCCAAAAUGAUUUUGGAGAUCACGUGGUUUUGGAACUCAAAAUGGGCGUGAAGCUCUCUGCUUCUGUUGUUGACGGUAACGGAUCUCAAAGGCGUGUUUGGACCGCUUCGCUUUAGAUUUUCUAACUCCACUUUAAAAUUAUCUUGCCAAACAUUUCUAGCUCUAAUAAUACUAACUUCAAGGAAAAAAUAUGCAUCUAGGAGCUAACUUCAAGAUUUUUUCUGGAGCUUCUCAAAGGGUGCUUCGAAAAUACAAGUUUCAUUCCAAUAGAAGUUAGUUGAAAAUUACUCACUAAUGUCACCAAUUACACAUACCGAUUUAGGGGGAAAAAAGAUUGACACCUCCCCGUGCUUGUUCAUCUUCCAUCGCUGCCGCCUCUCCCUCCCUCUCACACUCUUCUAUUCCGUCGUCGCCGCCAUCUCCCCUUCCUCUGGCGUCCGAUUUCACCCCAAUUUGGUCAUCUGCAUCCUUGGUGAGCCCGGUUUGCUGAAAUGCUGGAUGAUUCAUCUCCUGGGCCCAAUGUCGCAGGCCACAUCAAUUUUCAAUGCUUUAAGAUGGUCGCAAUCUUCGGGUGGCAUAAUUUUCAACGCGUAUGACGUAAACUAUUCUGCAACAUUUGAGAGCACUGGAUUUCUUAUGGUAGUCCAAAUCAACUUACUUUGUGAAGAUUUCUGCGGAUUCUUUUUGGAAAAGGAUACAAAUCACUUUCAGUAUCAUGGACUACCGAAUGACCUCAUACGAACACAUGACGAUCGUGCUGGUUUUCAAAAGUGAUCCUUUAUUACAAUGACGCGGAGUUUUAUUCCAGAAAAAUUCCAACGGUCAGCUGCGCACAAUGAAGUCUGCAAAGUAGGCGAAGCGAUGUAGCAAAGUGUUACCGUAGCGAUCGGUACUGUAGCAGUCGGUUAACGUAGCUGGUAAAAAAAAACAUCAAUCCCAACCAAGGGCAAGAGAGACCAUUCUCGCCAAUUCCUAUAAUUUUUGGAGCUGAAGUUUACACUAUUAACCUCGUAGCUCCCUAUUUUCUUAGUUGGAGUGGAGCUUUAAGUUGGUGGAGUGAAGUUAUUUUUUUUUUAAGCGGAGCAGUCCUAAAAAUGCCCAGCCAGGCAGCCAAUGGAACAUGGCCUUGCUUCCUAGCUAACAAAGUGAAAAUGUUGCAGUUUUCUCACACAGGUGAAUCCAGCGCAAAUGGUCUAGUGACUUGUGCUUUCCACCUAAGAUAUUUUCCAGUUCACUGUGCCAGGUACAUAGAAAUUCAGACAAACAACACAUCAACUGAUUUCAUGUUCACCACAAUACAUCUCCACCAAAAUACAAAAGAGGAAAGCUAUAUUUCUCUGCUUACGAGUAACAUUGGUUCCCACAUACUUCUUCAUAUACUUUCGAACAAGCGGUGAGAAUGAAUACAUUUGAAGAUACAUGAGAAAAUACAAAUAUCUGUUCAAUAGCAAGAAUAAUCUGGAUACUUUGUACGGCAGAACGCUACACCACACGACGAGCAGCCAAAGAUGUCUCUGUGGUGAAAGGGGAUGAUCGAUAUUCUCUCAAUACAGUCCAGAGGUUACUGUUAAGUCUGUUAUCCACGGAAACUCUCCUCUGCGGAAGGCUGACCUAAUGCCUCAUGGAAUAAAGGUCUCCAUCAAAUUUCGUAACAGCUUCAUUCGGCUUUGGAGUUUCUGAUCUUUCCUCUCUCUUCUUCUUUUCCCUGCCAAUAUAUAGUUAAGUUGGGUGAGUUUUCUGUCACUGGAAACGUAUUGGCAAGAGGGACAAUGCAAAAGGGUAGACCAAGUAAACUAAGAAAUUAGCAGUCCUUAAAUAAAAGAGGAGAGAUUCAAGUGGCCAAAAAGGGUAAAAAACACUGAUCAAGUUAUGUAUUCAAGAAAUUCAUUCACAAUAAGAACUUCUCAAAUAGCUUAGCAUAUCAUUUAAUGAAGGUGUCCAACUUAAAUGACACGUAAAGUGACAAAGAAUUAAUUUAUUGCUGGGACACGGUAUUACCUAUCCACAUAUUCCUUGAGAAGUUCCUUGGCUUGAACCAACUUCGAGAGUAUGUUGCGGUAAACAUCGAGGUCCCUGUCCACACUUCUUUUGUUGACGUUUAAUGCAGCGCAAAGCUAUCAAGCAAGAAAUGAAGUCAGUGCUUGCUGGAAACAUUAGUGAUGUAACAGUGAAUUAGUGCAUUCAAAUCUGAUAUCAACACCAAGCACUACCGAAAAUGCUCACAUGCUUUGCUGAAAUAUUUGUUAUACGUUGCAAAAAAUGACUUUGCCACGAUGUGCUACACUGCCUCACAUAUGCAAAAAUAAUAACUUACAAUUGAAUGGCAACCUAUCAUAUGCCCAAGCACCAGCCAAUAACAUUAUGAAUAAAAACAGUAAGUACAGUUAGUUGUAAGGCUACCCGACUGCACUAGGUUUUGGCACACCAAACCAAUCACAGGUGUCAAGUCAAGGUCAAAUGAAGUUUGUAGAAGGAAGCCUAACUUCGAUGAGUCUGCUUAUAGAAAUAUCUGGAUAGGUCCUAGAGGAUGCUAAAUGCUACCUAGCACGACUUACCUUGAACCCGAAUUGUCAUUUUCUAGUUCGUUAGAAACAUCAUAGAACAAGGAUCAAUUCUAAACUGACUUGAACGCCAUAAAGAUUAACAUAUAUAUAAUCUCAACCCUUGGAGAACAAUAUUGAAAAGACCAGUAUAAAAACGAAAGCUAUGUAAAGGCAAUAAGAUCUCAGAAAUGAGUCCAGAUCAUAAGUGGCUCAAUGUUUUCUUGUAAAGAACACUGCAUGGAUCCUAAAGCGGUUGUGAAUAUUAAAUAUUAGAUUCAGACCGGACACCGAAUUGAUUUAGGCUAAACUGUGUGCACUUUAGCCAAAAAUAAGACAUACAUAAAAAAACAAGUCCUUUCUGUAAAAAUUUUAGUAAACAAGUUUAUAGGUGAAUAGGAAGCAUAAUUAAGAACACAUGCAAUGACUAAUAAGAAAUGCGCAAAAAAGUUGAUAGUGGCAGGAACAACCUUGUCUAGUAUUGUUGGCUCCGUUGCAUUUGCAAGCUCAAGCAAACGGAACAAGCCAACUGCAAAGAACCGACUGUAGCUGAAGUUUCCCUUACCCUUGGCCCUUUCUGAUAUAUCUUUCAGAAUGGCCUCUAUUUCUCCAUCUCUGGAAGAAAAAUCAACUAAUGAGCUGCCAUUCUGGGAACGUGCCCACUCUUCCAUCUUUUGUGCAUCAGCUCUGUACAGUGGACACAAAAGAAUGCUUAUCCGGAUUGUUCAAAAUAGAAAUGCUACUUUCUGAGGAAAGAGACUAUGGAUGCCAAGUUGCCAACUAGUAAACCAAAAUGCAUAAGCUGUUAUUGAUGCCAAGAAAGAUAGCAUAUAGUGACCCAAAACAAAACAUGUAAACAUUUAACUACUGUACCUCAGAAAUAUAAAGGAGGUAUAGCAAACAAGCUGGUAAAAUCUCUCUCUAAGAAAAAAUCCAGGUUUCACAAAAAAGUUAGAGUAAAUAUGUUUCAUGCAACAUUGAUGUCUUAGAAUAACAACAAUUUACCAUAAAAAAUAAGGGCAUGCUUCGAUAUUACAGUAUUUGCAAACCACAGUAUCUGAAAACAUCUUUGAAGAACAUAUUAUGAAAUACCACAGUUUCUGAUUGCCACAGUACUAACUGGAUGAUAAUAUGACUUGCAAAGCCAGAUAUGUGAGCUAUGAAAUGUACCUAUAUUGAUCAGGAUCUUCAUUUAACGCUGUUAUAUAUGCCUUGAAGAUGGAAUCCCUGUCCUCGUUGCUGGGAUAACCAUCCAUGAGCUGAUCAUAGACAGUGACAAAACCAAGAGCAAACACAGGAUCAUACUGAUAGGUUCUUUUGUAUCUCAUCAGAUGCUGCUGAACCAAAAGUUCUUGUAGAACUGUACUGUAAAUGCUUGGGAUAGGGCGUUUGUAUGACUUAAGAAAGUUCAGCUUUGUUUCUGCGACAGUAGGUGGGACAUCUGCACAUAUUAUAAAUAAAUUAGAAGGAUGCAGAAAUAAAUUUCUGUAUUAUGCUACUUACACAAAUAAGAUGUUCUACAUCGAAUCCAGCCAGUUUUAAUCAGAAUAUAUUGGACAGUGUGCAGAUUACCAUGGCCUAGUAGAAAAUACUUGACAAGUGAGUUACAAUUUGUUUGAAAAUAGUCAUGACAAAGUAUUAGAACAAUGGAAGAAGCCACAGAACAACACAAGGAGCUUCUGGUAUGAGAUGAUUAUGUGAAAACUAUUAAAGUUUAGCAGAAAGAAGCAUUUCAUUUUGUGCCAAGACUACCAAUGAAACCUGUUUUGGUACACCAGUUCAACUCAUAAGCAUCAAAAGAAAUUGUGUUUCUUUGGUAAUCGAAUUGUAUGUGAAGAUAGUGCCCAGAAACCUAUGCACGAAAGGGUCUCAUGAUUUCAGAAGCAGGUAUUAGCAAAAAAAAUGUAUGGCUAAAUUAAUCCAAAACUAGUACACCUCCAAAAUAUAUGGGGUUUGUUAAACUUUUUUUUCCUCAAAUAAGCAGGACUGCACAUCAUUAUAUUAAGAAGGAAUAAAGAUUGGUCUUACAAAAUAAAGGACUGGGCUUGUUAUUUCAUUGAUCUCAUUCAACACUGGAUGUCAAAAGCCUAUACUCUAUAAAAUUAACUGCUCAUGAUUAUUCCUACACGAUUAAGCUUCUUUAGGUGACUUGCUCACACCAGUCCUCAUUUUCCAGAAGGACCUCAAGCCAGCCUCUUCAUGUGGAAUUCAACACAUAAAAGUUCAGCGCAUUGCAAAACUGCAUUUUCUAAGCACCAAGUGGGACUAUGAUCCUGACUAAAUCCAAUCAACUGAAAAAACAAACUUAUUGCAUCUGAAUUCUGCUGUCUCUAGCACAGGCAAAGGGUGAAGAGUUGAAUGGAGCUAUGGAUGCAUAUAUUGGAUUGGUACGAUACCAUGCAGCCAGCAAACUCCCGACUGAUUGGAUUGACGGAAAAAAUAUUUGGAUUUGAUUGCUCAUAGCAAAGAAAGGUCCACUAGAACAAAACGAUUAGAACAAUUCAUCCAAGCAAGCUAGAAUUUAUUGCCAACAAAAGCCACACCAGCUCACUGCAGGGAGCAUGACGACGACGACAGAAGAAUCUGAGGUAGUGUGCCUCGGUGAAGGAGGCACCACCGCUGGCGAGGCCAGGAAUCGCACAUUGGUGGGUGAAUUUGGGAUGAGGAGGAGGAGGUCUUUUGCGGUGAGUCGCACAUGCUGGAUGGUGAUUUGGAUUCACUAGCUUGGGAUAGCGCUGCAGCUACACGACCGACAGAACAAAAUAGAGAUAGCUCACCGCCCGCCGUGGCGACGCAGCGCACCACCGAGCGCGAGCCCCGCCGAGCCCUCGCGCUGAGCACGACGGCGCCGGAGACGGCCGCCGCAGCGGACGACGGCCUCCACUCGGAGGCUCCACGCAGCGCCGCGAAGGGGAGCGACGAUAUGGCCGCCAUGGGACACCCCUUUGGUCCUACAGCCGGUUGUUCCGCCGGACGCGGCGGCGGGUGGUCGGCGCCGCCGACGAGGGCAAAAUGGUAAAUGCAGAGGGGCGAGACGGCGAGUGCGAGGAAAGGCUAUUGUUCGUCUGGGACUCUGGGUAGCGAGGGAUGGGAUCUUUCUUAUCCAGUAGGCCUACGCAGGUUUCUCGGCCACUAAUAAGUUGCCACGUGGCAUGCCAUUCUUUUGGUAGGAGAUUCAAUUUUGUAUUUUUGACACUUUUUAAGGUCUUUGGGGCAAUUUUUAUGGUCAUGAGAGGUUGGAUUUGCUUGCGGUUUUGCAGUUAGGAUCUGGAAUUUAGUGGUUUGAUGGCUUUGGCUUAGACUUUAGCAGCUAAAUGUCGACCAAAACGUUUGGUCUCUGUUACUUUCACGUUUGGUCUAUGUUACUUUCCUAGUGGUGUUGAAACAACUCGAAUUCCCAGAAUUCAUGUCUCUGCACCUUUGUGAUAGCUUCAGGAAGUGGCUAUUACGUGCAAUCCUUAUCUCAGAUAGUACAUUUCCAUACAAAGGUGAAUAUAACGGAAAUAAUCAAGAUAAUACAUGCCUAUAUUGUACAACAUCUCGGCUCAUGCCGGUACAAGUCCGGCAGGACCGAAUCAAAUAUAAGAAAAGAUCUACGAAGCGCAGCGCAUCAAGCGAGUGGAUCUCCAUAUCCAACAGGCAACUUGAGCGAAGGACAACACCCUAGUCUUCUCAUCCAUCUUCGAAUCACGGUCGAAACCUGAAAAGCUAAAGUCUACCCGAGAAGCGGGCAGGCCAUGUCAACUCCCAAUAGCAGCAAGCUAAGGAAACGGGGAAUAAUACUAUAUGCAUGAAAAACCUAUAUAUGGUUGUAGAGGUUUAUGCAGCAGUAGUAGCAGCAUUCAAGGAUGCAUCUCUGAGGUCAACACCUCAUAUCAAGGAAGUCGUCACAAAUCACCAGAUCCUUCACCCAAGAAUACAGCACCCAAACACACUAGGCAAUGUGAGAGCUCCCUUCCCUCACAUCUCAAUGGCAAACGCCGAUCUGUCUCAAAAGGGGAAGGUAGAAGAGUAGUAAAGUCUAGUCAGAAGUAGUGGUAAUCAACAGUACUAUCCAUAACCAGUGAACACAGACUAUAGCUAUAGGUUUAUAUACUCUGCAGAGAUUGUACAUCUGUACCCGCACGGAUGGAGCCUGAACGAGGAUCAGCCGUCCAAAACCCACCUAACAGUCGAAGCUCUAAUAGGUGGAAAACACUCUCCUGUUUCCUCGAGUCUAGAACCAUUCUCAACUACAGGGCACGCCGUCACCAGUUGAAGACCUCAAAGCUGUUAAACCUACCCAUGUCAGGGUGCAGUCAGGUCAAAGCAGGACAACGCCUUGAACUCCUUACACUGAUCCUCCAAUCCGCCUACAGGCUGAGCACUAUCCACCACUAGUCUCGGACCGAACCCCGCCCAUAACAAGGCGAAUGGUAUGUACGUAAAUAGAUACUGUGACCGGUGGUAAACCGACUCAGUCCUUAGGGGCUGAGAGCGAACACUCAACUCCACAAAGUAUGUGCCGAAGCACUUGUAAUGUACAAGCCCGCCACUUGCUAAUCAGUAUCAAACAAGAUACCCACCACAAGCACAGGGGGUGGAGAGAGUCCAGAAUGCUCUCUCCUAGCAAGGCACUCCAGUACUAACCGCGGCUCGCUCUCGUCAAAACACGUCAAGGGAUCACGCUCACCCAAAACACACGCGAGUAUACAAGGAAUCCCAUCACCAAAUCCAUGGUAUAUGCCUAUCCAUAACUCAAAAGCAUGUAUAUGAAUAUAAGUAAGGUGAACUAGCUAACGUUGUGUAGCUAGUCCACAAGUAGGUAUCAAGGAAAUAGGGUAAACAAUUAUCAAGGCAUGGCUAACAAAUUAGCUAUACAAUCAACCAUCAUCCAAGUAUCAUAAAUAAAAUGCUAGCAACUAAGCAUGCAUAGGAUCUAUAUAAUUAGGAGUGAUAUAACACCUUAUCCAUUGUCGUUGAAGUCCUCCUCGGUGUAGUCGGAAUCGCAGGAGUCCUCAGAAUCGUAGCUCGAGUCUAAAUAAAACAAGAUACGAUGCACAUAUAUAAAUUAAUCAGCAUUGCAUCUAGAUAAAAACUCCAAGAAAGCUAAAUUUAGAAUAUCCAAAUAACACCAAACUACUACAAAGAGCACAGGCUCAGUUUUACGAAUUUAAAUCAUCUGGUUUCAUAUUUUUCUAAGUCCGAAUGAAUUAGUUAUGAAUUUUUAGAGUUCAAAUCAAUUUUUGGAUUUUUAAAUAAUGGUGAAAAUCAGAAAAUACCGGAGAGCGACACGCGGCAGCACCAGAGCGUGCCACGUGUCUUAGAUCAGCAACGGGUCCGGAUGACAUCAGCGUUGACCUGGUCAACGGAUCAACGAUCAGCGAGUAAAGUCAACGGUUUACUAUUCAGCGCAUCCCAUGUGCUGACGUGGCAUCUACAUGUUGGUUGUAGGCCAACUGCAGGUUAGCUAUAGGCCGGCUAUAGGUCAGCUGUAAUGCCUGCAUGUCAGCUACGUGCCUGCUGAGUCAGCGGCCACGUAUGGUCUUUAGGCGGUUAUAGGGUGGCUGUAGGCUAGCUGUUAACCGUGCGUAGCGGUCCACGCGGUACUAACGCGGUUGCCACAGGUUCAGAUCCGACGCGGCGAUCCUCUAUGGCCUGUGUGGCCACUUCAACAUGUGGCCACCAGUGUGGCCGCUCCAAGCUGGGGUUAGGGCGCGCACGGGGUGUUUGACGGAAUGCCCUAAAUGCAUUCCGCAGUGGUGGCGCACGGCCGACGACGGUUAACUGGUGGCUCGACGAUGGCUUUGGGAAGCGGAAGCCUCGGCCUUUGGCCGGGUUUAGGCGGCGACACGGCGGGAGACUGGCAUUGGCGGCGAAGGACGGCGGUGCGCAGCUGGGGUUCUCGGCGGCGGCGCCUCCUUUUGGCGCAACGACGGUGGCUCUGAGACGGCAGCAACUUCCUCUUGAUGCAGCCCUCCUUCUUUCUCAUCCUCUCCUCUUCUCUUUCCCCCUUCACGAACUAACGGUGGCAGCUUGGGAGGUAGCCCCGGGUGGUUUGGGAUGGUGAGGGCUAUGGCUGGACAGGGUAUUUAUAGCCCUUGCUGAGGCUAAGGUUAGGGUUUGCAGGGCGUGCGGUGCCGGCGAGCUGGCGGCUGGGAUGUGGCGGCAACUCGGCGGGGUGGCGUGGCGGCCAUCCGUGAUGCCAGCACAAAAGCGAGGGGAGCGGGGCGAGGUCAUAGGUGUGCGCGGCUGCGCGGUAGUGCGCGCCAGCAUGGACGAGGCCGACGAGCCCAUCCCAUCGGGCGCGCAUGCACCCAGCGCGUGAUGCGUACGGCCGGAGGUGGAAGACGGUGAACAGGGCAGCGGGUGACAUGCGGGUCUCGCAUAUCGGUGGGCGAAAGGGAAGAAGAGGUGGCGUCGGGGGUUUGGUGGGCUGGCUGGGCCGCCUUGACGGGCCAACUUGCUAGACCGCUUCGGCCGAAGUGGAAGAGAGGUUAGACGGGCCGGCCGGUUAGCUACAGGCCGACGUGGUUUGGUUAGGUGUGGUAGUAGGAUUGGGCUGGUUAGUUUAGUUUGGGUUUUGCUUUCAUCUUUAGUUUGAAUUUUGAAUUAGAUUCAGAAUUCAAACACAUUCAAGUUUGAAAUCUAAAUUAAAUCCAUGAAGAACCAAAUCAAACUAGCACACAAGUUUUGAAAAAUAAUUGUGCAAUUUAUUUAUUAGGAAUUUUAGGAGAGGAAAUAGAAGUUGACUUUCAUUUUUUUUAAUGAGCACGCAAUUCAAACAAAAAAAUUUAAUUUUUUUUGCAAAAACUGGCACAAUUAAUAUCACUCAAUUUUGAGGGAUAUUAUAGGUGUGUACGCAAUAAAGACAUAUAAUAACAUUUUCUGAAUAAUUUAUUUGUUUGUAGAAGUUGAUGUUGUCUUAAAGUGAUAAUGCUCCUUGAACUCGAGUGAGAAUUAGGAUACGGGACCUACUGAUAUUCUGGAGCACAAGAACACAUGAAUGUUUGGUAGGUAUAGACCAUUUGUUGCAAAUAUGCUUCUUUGAAACUUUUUGUAUAUCUCCAACCUGAGUUGUGAAAUGUAAGACGGUUUAUUUUUUUGUACAUAGCAUAUAUAUGAGCAAAAAUUGCAAUAUGUUUUCAUGAAAGCUUUUCAUCUCUAAAUGUGAGAUGUGAAAUGUUUUCAUAGUAUAAUUUCUUGUUAUGUAGCAAAAAAAAUAACAUAUAGCAUGCAAUAUUUCCACUUUAGAUUGUCAACUGAGACAAAAUAUCAUCCACUUUUAUGAACAAAAACUGUAUCAACUCUUGUGAAAACUAUCUUACGAGCAAAACAAAGAUAUUUGGGUAUUUUUUUUAUCUAAUUAGCUUAUCCUAAAUGUUACAUAUUUAAAAAAUAAAAGGAGUAUGAUGGAAGAAGUGAACAUAUUUUGGUCAUGUGGUGUGAUAAAGUUAUAAGUCAUAUACUAAACUUUGGGGAGCCAAAGAGAAAAGCGAACGAAAGGGGUAAACAGGUAGAAUCAACAAAUCAUAGGAGGCUUAUCAUCCUAUAUAACUUUUUAGCUCCGAUGUUAUUAGUUCUUACUCACUUUAAUAAACACCUUUUAACAACCAUUAAUACUCAUCGCUACUGGCAAUGAGCAUGGAGAAGUAGAAUAUCAUAAAAAGGUAUGGUAAAUUCAAAACUUCUUUAGCUGAGAAUUUUGCUAUACAUUUGGUAAGCACGGUAAUAAUAGCACAAAAUAAAAUAUAAAUGUAAUGUAUUAGCAAUAGGUAGUGUAAAAUUAAUAGAACAUCCUUAACAAAUAAAUGCAUCCCAAGAGGUUAGUGGUGUAAAUUGUUAUAAUUUAUUCAUUUCGCACUAGAAGUUAUCGACAUACAAAAAUACAGAGCUUUGUGGAACUCAAUGGAAUAUUCAAAAGAAAACUUGACAUUUGAGUUUGAUUGUUUAAGGUCUUUGAUAUCCAAACUAUCUGGUUGCUGGUUGCUUUCCUCUUUAAGCAAUAAUAGAGAUUUGACUUUUCCAAUCGCACGUGUUGUAUUUUCUCUUCUAAAGAUGGCGUAUUCUUUCCCUCUCAUACUUUUUUCCCUUCCAAGUGUUGUGUUUCUUUCCUUUAGACGUGUUUAUGUAAAGGUGUGUAAACAAUUAGCAAUAUUAUUUGCAUCUUUCAUUUGCAUGCGAAGGUGUUGUCCUUUGAACAAGAGACUCGAUUCAUGCCUUUUAGUACAUGAAUACUAUAAGAUAGAUGUAAUAUUAUCUUGUAGUAUGUAUGAUAGAUGUUCUUCAAAAAUACAAUUUUAUUAUAAGAUAACGUUAUCUUGCUGCCACCAUAUUAUAAGAUAACAAAAGCAGUAACGCCUAAGAAAAAACAAUAACCCAUUACUAGCUUGUACAUUAUUUUUUUUGAUACUGAUCAUGCAAUAUCUUGCUGCCGCCAUGGGCAUACUCCUUAUUUUGUUGGGUUUCAUUCCCGCUUUAUCAUCUCCUUCAUUGGUGGUUCACUCUCCAUAUCAUUUGCCAUUAUUAUCGUUGUCCAUUGCCACCCGAACUUGUUAUCAGUUGUAUUAAUGUCACUCAAACACCGUUGGUGUGAUGAAGAUGAACCCUAAACCUAGAAGAAAACCAAUGUUGCCGCACAUUUUUAAUUUUGAUGAAGCAGCAUUACAACUUUAGCUAUCUAAGGUUGUCAAACUAAGCUGUUUACCGCAAAGAAAUUUUUAGCUCUGUGCCCGUGCAUCACCAUGGAUCCAUCGCCGGGGAAGAAUUGACAAAAGCAACGCUUCAAGCUACAACUGGACGGGAACAUGUAUGCUUUCAGAGUUUCACUGCUGUCACCUCCUUCCUCGUUCCUCCUCGGUCCGGGUGGUGCAUAGAAAACAGUAGCAGAUCCAUCACGGGCCCAUGAUUAGCUUCACUGUAGCAGCAGCAGCAUAAAGCCGCGGUCCACAGGCCAUCAAAUAAAAGUCAACUGGAAAAAGACGCGAUAAAAGGGGCGAGAUCAAGGAUGCAGAGCGCACUGUAGAGAAAGCUGGAGGUGAAACGGUGAAAGAAAAGGAGAUCACUUUAGAAGAGUGGGGAGAGCGUGAGCGCAGCAGCCACCCCGGACCACAAGCCAAGCCACACCGCGCUUGGUGUGGUAACUGGUAACUUGCGUCAUGGCGAUCUCCGGCGAGGAGAGGCACGCGCCCGCCGGAGGCGACUCCGGCGGCGGGAAGCUCUGGAACCUCUGCCGCAUGCCCUUCCGGCAGGCGGGCGGGGCGCCGGCGGCGCCGCCUCCGCAGUCGUCGUCGUCGUCGUCCGGGAUCCACCACUCCGCCGGCCGGUACGGCCACGAGGCGCCCGUCGCUGGGGACGGAGGCGCGCAGGGGGCGUCGGCGGGUUCGAUCUCGUCCGUGGCCAAGUCGCUGCUGCCGGCCCGCCGCCGCCUCAGACUCGAUCCGGCCAACAAGCUCUACUUCCCAUGUGAGGACGCGAGAAAUUAAAGCUCUCUUUUAACUCCUGCUUGUUUAAUUUUGGGAUCUCCUGUCGAGUAGUCUGGAAAGUUGCCAUUUUGCCCUGAUCUGCUUAGUAUGUCGCAUGCCUAAAACCCUUCGAUUCCGCUAUGUUCUUUCUGCAAUUAUUUAUUAGUUUUGCGCGAUCUUAGCUAUUCCGAAGUUAUCUGUCGAGGAAGUGGCGGUCGAUUUGGUGAAUGAGUUGCUUGAUUCUUGGAAUGUAUUCGUUGGGGUUUGGUUUUGGUCGGCGACUGGGAUAAAUACCUUUUUGAGCAUGACCGGGAUACACACCUUGGGUCCAUUUCCACCCGGUUUUCUUGAUCUUGGUGUAGAGGUUAGGAUAUCAUCAAUCUGGAGUUGGAUCUAAAUCUUAAUGGACACUUGUUGUGCAGUAGAAGUUCCAGCAGGGAGUACCAUUAAUGAAUUUUCAGUAGAAGACUUGAACUCACAAGAUUCUGGAACUGAACUUCAAGUAGGAUUGUUUUCAUAGCAUUAACUACGUUGCUGCCUUAGAUUUUUAGCUGAUUUGGCACUGUAUUAAAUAAGGGAGAGAGGGAUGAGAGGACAAAACCGGGUCUCAUGCAAAACAUUGGGCAUGUUUUGAUCUCAUAGGGAUUAUAAGAAUCUGGAUAGUGGAUAAGGAUUAUUAUCUGGAUUCUGCCCUAAUAAAUGCUGUCUGUCCCUUUCUCUCUCUCUAACCCCUCUCCAAAUAGUAGGGUUGAGGGAACUAAUUGGAUUCUUAUAGUCUGGGUGGUUGGAUUCUUAUAAUCCACACAAGGGAUGGUGUCUGGGUGGUUGGAUUCUUAUAGUCUGGGGGUGUUUGGAUCUCAUAGGGAUGCUGUCUUCAUAAUAGGUGGGGAGGAUUAGAUGAGUAAUAGACAGGAGGGAUAGAAUGGAGUGAGUAACCAAUUUCUUGGCCUAUGGAUAGGCAUGGUGCAUUGGAAAAAAUGGUGUCUAGAGUUGUGUCCACGUGACAUGGCAGGGUAUGGAAACUACUUGAUGGUGUCACAUUGGUAUAGCCUUAAUGUGGUAUGUGAGUAUGUCGGUGUAAUCAAGUGCCUGUUUGCAGCAGUUGUUUGGUAUGUAACACUUGGGCGACAGAACACCUACCCUGGUAGAUGGGGGUGUGAGAUUAUGAUCUACUUUAUGUUGCAAUUUUUUUUUUGGUUGAUUGUUGAUGCUAUGAUGCGCAAGUUUGCUGCGGCUGAACAUGUAAAUGAUACAUACAUAGAAGUCUUUAUUUCUCAAGUUGGCUGUGAGCCUGUGAUAGAACAUAGAAUCGAAACAUAGCUAUUGAGCAAAUUUACUGCAGCUUUCUGAUGAUCUUACAAUACUCUUAGAUUCUGUUAGAUAAUGUUGUGUUUGCAACACACUGUUACAUGAGUAAGGCAGUUAUGGUAGGUUGCCAUGUUUUUAAAAUCGGAUUGUUCUUCUUUGCCUCGAGCAAAUUCUCAACUCUUCGGAUGCCAAAUACCUUGUUACUUUAUUGAAGCUGAAAUGUCGUCUAGGACUAGAACCCUUGUCAGAAUCGGAUAGCUAAUUGAAAGGACAAGAAAAAUGCUUGAUUGGCUAAAUCACUCCCAGGCUUGAUUUAUUUUCAGCUUAAUACUUGCAUAAUCACUAGUGGUCUUAUUUUUUAAUUAGUAAUAGCAGCAACAAAUGAGAAAAAUGUUUCCAUUCAACCUUGUAUUUGAUUAAUGUUUGCUAUUUUGUGAUGAGAAGUUAAUGACAUUCCUGUCUUGCCUUGUAUAGAUGAACCAGGAAAGCAGGUCAAAAGUGCAAUUAGGAUAAAGAAUACAAGCAAGUCCCAUGUAGCAUUUAAGGUUUGUAUAUUGCAUUGCACAACUCUACUCCAACAGAGUAUGUGUUGAAUCAGCAGUGUUUACACUAGUUUUGUUGGUAAUGAUUUUUUUUUCUGGCCGUUAACUGAUAUUUGAAUCUCUAGUUUCAAACAACUGCACCCAAGAGUUGCUUCAUGCGCCCUCCUGGAGCUGUCCUUGCCCCUGGGGAGACUAUUAUAGCAACUGGUAAUACCUCUAUAACCUUGGGUCUGUAUUUGAAUAACAACAAGGCCUCCCAGUAUUCUGUUUUGGUGCUUAUUGUUUCAUGUUUCUAACUUGCCAGUUUUUAAGUUUGUGGAGCACCCAGAGAAUAAUGAGAAUGUUCUACAAAAGUGCAAGGUCAAAUUCAAGAUUUUGAGCUUGAAGGUGAAGGGACCAAUGGAAUAUGCACCAGAACUGGUUAGUAGCUUGUCCUGCGUUCUUGUUUGAUUUAUACCAAAAUCAUGGCUGGUUAAAGAGGUGGGAGAGUAUGGUAACUUUAGAGGUUAGUGCCUUGCCGCCUUAGUCACAAAUGAUGCCCUAGGUGCGAGGUCACUUGGUUGACCUAGGUGGUACCCUGGGAGGUCGCUUGGUGGAUCUCCAUGGAGGCUAAGUAGGAAAAUAUUCCCAGAGAUGAUAGUGUUUGUGUUGAAAAGGAAGGUUGUGUGGUGGCAAGAGAGUUGACACAUUGUUGGCAUACACCUUGGGUAGGAUGAGCUUGGCAGGAAGUCUUAUUCCGAGCUUAUGGCUAAAGUAAGCCCACUAAGUUGGGUAAUUAAUUUAUUGGGUGUGUGAUUUUGGGGACCUGCUCAACUAGGGUGGAUUGGUCCUCCAUGGGUAUGAUUUUGGUAGGAUGACACCAUUCUUACUUUUUUUUGUGAUAGUUACUAUUCUUCCUUAUUGUAGUAGACUUAAAAGCUUAUGAAUGUUUCAAGCUGUGAAGGACUAAACUCAUUCGUUCCUCAAACUGAACGAGCGAGAUACAUUUUGAGUUACGGUUAAAUAAAAUUUACUGACCACUCUAUUCCUGGAAAUUAAACAACAUAUAUAUUAAUUACGCAAUUAGUGAUUCGGGAUUUAGGGGCUGCUAGGGUGGAUUAUAAGGUUGUUAUCGGUUGCCACAUAAUGAAAAUUUAUGGCAUCUGCCUGUAAUUUGAUUGUAGAGAGUAUUUGGGCUGAAUCCUUACACGCCCGCAAGGCCCGUAUCAUCCCCUUACCCUUACUUUGUAUGAUAUAUUUCAUGACAUAGAGCAAAUCUCAUGUGGUCAUUUUUUAGAGCCUUUUCAUGUGAUGCCGCCUGUACAGGGGAACUGAGAUUAGCUCAGUUGGUGGGAUGUGUGGGUGUGCACUCCCACCACCUAGGUUCGUGUUCCCUUCAACUUAAAUUUGGGUCCUUAUUUCUUCUUACUUAGAAUGCCAUCGUUUCCUCCUAGGUUGGUCAAUGUCUUAGCUUUGCUGUCCAGUAAAUUCUUUACUCUCUAUGUUUCCAAACAAUGUCUCAGUAUUGUAUUAAUUUUGUAAUACAAUGCAUAAUUUGGGGAUUCAACUAAAGGGGACAUUUUGUUUCUUAAAACUUAAAAGCAAUUAGUUGAUAGGGUGAUCCUAGUUGAACAAUUUGCUAACAUUUUGCAUCUUACGAAUCUGACCCAUUUUGCAUUUGGUGUUUUGAGUUGAAUGGACAUGGGACAAUUCAUGUUUCAUAUCCUUGAUCCAAUACAUGAUACUAUUGAGAUCCAUAUGCUAUAGGGUUCCAGAAACUCUGAACUUAUGAAGGGGCUCAGAGCCUUGUGGCAAGUACAGUUGUGUUCUGUGGGUCAUGUUCCUGUAAAGUUAAUAUGCAUCUUGUCUUAUAUUCUUCACCGAGGUGUGUUCAUGUUUGUGUGAGGGUGGUGUGGUUUUGUUACUUUUGUGUUUGGAGGAGUUUGUGUUUUUGGGCCAACGCUCUCUCUUCAAUACAAAGUUAUGCAGCUCUCCUGUGUGUUUGAGAAAAAAAAGAACUCUGAACCUUUUUUUUUCCUGCAAUUUUUUGUUUAUAUCAUGUGGAUGUGAGUUUCCCCAAUUAUCAGUAACUUCUGUUGUGGACUCAGUAGUUCAUUUUUCUGUUUGGAAAACUAACCUUUUUUUUUAUUGAUGCAGUUUGAUGAGCAGAAGGAUCAAGCUGUUGUUGAGAAGAUCCUGAAGGUUGUUUUCUUGGAUAUAAACGGUCAAAGCCCUGUAAGUAAAUGAUAAUAACAAAAAUUUUCUUUGUGAAUAUUUUGAUGGACUCUUGAAUUUGAACAAUCUCACUCACUCAUUCUUUUCCAAAGCAACUGGAAAAGCUCAAUAACCAAUUAGCUGAGGCAGAAGCUGCACUUGAGGCACGGAAGAAACCUCCAGAAGAAAAUGGCCCAAAAAUAGUUGGUGAAGGGCUUGUCAUUGAUGAAUGGGUAUGCCUCUCAGGCUUUCUCAGCUGACAUGAAAUCUUCUGGCUCUGUCCGGCUCAGUGCUAAAAUCCAUCAUUACUUGUGUUCAUUGCAGAAAGAGCGGAGGGAAAGAUACCUCGCGCAACAGCAGGUUGAAGUGGUCGAUUCGGUGUAAAUUGUACCUUCUGCUGCCCCACAAUCUAUGCAUAUGGCUUCAACAAGGGCUGUGACAUUCCUGUAAACUCUUAGGUUUUGUUGUAGUGUAGUGUAUGUGGUAGUCUAGGGUUGUGCUUGCAGGAUCAGUCCCCAAAGGACAAGCUAACCUCCGGUAUUAUCGGUACUUCUUCGUGUAAUUGUGUUAACAAAUUUGUUGGUGGGUGCUAGUGCUGGAUGCGUUUGUUUGUCGGAGCAAAAUAAAGCGUAUAAUUGUUGGCAUCAGAACAGGUUGAGGCGAGUGCCAUGUAGGAUAUCUGCUUCCUGUUUAUAUUGUCGUGCAAAUGCCGUGCUGAUUGGGGGUGGGGUGGAUCAUAUUAAUCUGAAUUUAUAGAAAACUUAAAACCUGUUGCAGCAUUGCUCACCUUUUUCUUCAUCUGUCUGUUGUGUUGGUAUGUAAUCUUAAUUUUAAGAAGCCAAAUUACUUUACUGUUUAGGUUGCCCUUCUCAUGAUAAUUGGUUUGAGUAUUACGAAACUGCCCUAUCUUUUUCUCGAGCGUGAGAUCUGUUGUUGAUAACAUCGCCGGUAUCGAAUGUAGCUAUUGCCAUGGUAAUUUAAUCUGUGAUCGGCCAUGACUUUCUUGAUUCCUAAACCAUAUCUCCAAGAUUAAAUUACACUGCACCACAUGUACAGCCUACUGAUGCAAGUUUUACAAUGCCACGGUAUAAUGAAAUAUAAAUGAUUUGUAUUGAGCUCCAAGCUUCGGUUGCAUAUAGAACCAAGAAAUAUGUUAGGGGUAUACUAGUUCAGAAAAGAUCUAUAUAUACAUCGAUUGCACUGUGAAUAUCACAUUUUCUGUAAGUGGCCACCUGGAUGAAUCUUCUUGGUUGUUAAGUAGCACAGGCGCCUGUUUCUCAACUAGUUCGAUUCCAUUUGAUGAAUUUGUCACCUAUUUACACUCGAUGGAAAGAUAUGUUCAUAGGUAUAGAAUCGAUAGCUUGAUAUUAUGUGAAUACAUGUCACUGUGAAUGGUACUGAUCUAGGAGUAAUGAACAAGGAUCAGACGUCCUUAUCAACACACUAGUGAUUCAUUUAACUACCUAGCAGCUAUUUUAAUCGUGUAAAUCACCGCAAGUCGCAUAACACAAUGGUUUGUCUCCUAACGCAAUAUAAAACCGCUUGAUGUUUACCAGUUUAUUCGAUUGCGACAUCCACUUGUGUGCAAAAUGUAGGACAUGACCAGAAAGCUACAAGUGAUGAUAUUCCACGAUGAGAUUCGUGAGAUCUUUGUAUACGCAUAUAAUAUCUGCAAUGGAUCUCAGAUAGUCUGUCUAUGCAAUUAUCUGUGACCAUGUCACUUUAAUCAUCGUUAUUGUUUAUUAGUGAUCCAGCUAAUCUUCUUGUUAACUACUGUUCUCUUUUAGAAAGGUAUGUAGUUUUACAUUGACACAUUACUGACAGUUACAAGAAACUAUUUACUGUGUCCUUUGAUGCUAAUUUUGUUGUCCUGAAAAGAACUAAAGCAUAUGCGAGAGGUACACUACCAUAAUGUUACCGAGGGUUGAAUUCUAAAAAUAAUUUUACCGAGGGAGAUUUUUUAAAGAAGUCAAACUGGUUUCUCAUGCCCGUUAGAGAGAUUGAUAUUUGUCUCACUCGCUUCUUAAUUCAUGUAAGGAUAACCAUCAGGUCCUAGCCGAGUACUAUAUUGUUUAUCUUAAUGCAGCGUCAGGAGCAAAAUUCAAGCGAGCACAUGCAGCAAGAAGCUAAGGCUUGAUUCUCGGCCGCUUCUUGCAUGUUCAUAACGGAUAAUGCUCCAGAUCAUAGAACCUAUCCAUUAUCCAUCUCAGUCGACAGUACUCUCUAGUCUCUAUCUGCAUUUCAUCUGCCAUAUCCGCAGGUGGUUUAACUUCAGAAAGACAGAAACCAAAGCGACCAGCUUACUCCCAAUUCAAAUCCAAAGCCCACUGAAAGUUACUGCAUUGGAGACUCGAAACUUGGCGAUUAGUAUGAACCGACAGGGACGUGAAGGAACUGAAGAGCUGAGCGUGACGACUUAAAAGUGAUGCGAGAGCAAAGCAGGUUCAGGCAAGAUGAACUGGAUGCUGCAGAGAGGACAAGCGCCUCUAACUGCAGUGCCCAUCCAAAUCAGAUGUGGCUUCAUGACUCCAUGAGCCAGGAGCCAUACCAUGGACUCGGAGGCCGGCAGGAGCUCCCGGUUUGGCGGAACCAAUGGUCCGCCCGCCCACCUGUUUCCCGAGCUGCCCGCAAAACCAUUGGCCACUGACAUCAACGCACGGCACGUCAACACAUAUGACAUGUGUAUAUAUAGCUCAUUCUGCUGCACAAUACUCCAUGUACGCUCACGUUCUUGAGGAGUUUGUCCAAGUUUUUGAGUCAGAACGCAGCACAGCUGCACAGGGGAGGAUGAGGUUUGCAGUGGCGAGCAAAGCGUACAUGGCGGUGACGCUGGGCGCCGCCAUGGAGCUCAAGAAGCAGGUGGCCAAGCCGUGCUCGUCGGCGGCGAAGCGGGGCGCCGCGCCGGUGCUCGCGGCGCGGUCGUCGUCGUCGGCCGGCAGGGUCGACGGCGGCGGCGGCCACGGCGCCGAGGAGUCGCUGAGGAUGGUCAUGUACCUCAGCUGCUGGGGGCCAAGCUAAGGCUCUGCAGUCUGCAGCCGCGGCGGAGUGGCCAGUGCCGCAACUGCAUCUGCAUGUACAUGUUUCGAUCAAUGAGAUCUCUCGAUAACAAUUGCAACAUCUGCGUUCGUCCUCGCCGAGCUCCGAAUCCAGGAACCAUCGUGUUCUUGGUUGGAUGCUCGUCCAAGGCUCAAGCUAGAGCAAAGCUACAAGCCUACAACCAAGCUGACAUGUACAUUAGUAACAAGAUGAACUUAUAAAUAUGGAUCAGUUAGUUCUAUGACCAAGCUUGACAUGUAUGGAUAUGCACCCCUUUUGUUGUGUGCUUUUUUUUUUCUUGCACACAAUUGCAGAAACUUUGAUGAAUAUGACUUGGCCAGGCCAAGUAGUAGCAGGGACUGCAUCAUCAAGAUAGAAUCCCAGGGUAAUAUUAUCGUGUGUUAUCCCAAGAGUAGGACCAAUUAUCGGUGUCAACCAUCACCAUAAUUUAGUCUGAAAUACUCUAAACAGAAGAGGUGGAGAAAUGGACAAGAGUGGGACGCGGCAGCAUCCAAAGCGACAAAGCAGGAGGUGCCCACUGCCAGAUGAUGGAAAACGAUGACUCACCACCGCGCCUCGGGAUAAGCCUCGGCACCUGUGGUAGUCUCACUCAAGCGGGUACGAACCGAUAAGGCAAUCAUCUCGCGCCAUUGCACCCGGGUUCUCCCGCGAGCCGUCUCGGCAGGAUUAUGCUUCAGGAAUGUUUUGAAAGUCCAAGAAUAAGACCAGCAACUCCAAGGGAUCAACUAACAGCAUGUUUGGUCUGUAGAAGCAAUCGGUCCGGGUUGGAGUCAUGCGGAAUGACAUCGUCUGCCGUUUUUAUGUCGAAUGAUGCGGACCAAGGAAAUAUGCUCGUUUGUGGCUUUGGAAGGACAUCUUGAGGUUUAGGCUCGUAUCGCAAAACCAAACAAGAAGAUUAGCUUCAGGUUUAGGCUCGGAUGAUUCCGGACAAUGUCAUAACGCCAUCCAAUCGUGCUGUAAGUUAUCAUGGAUAGGAUGGUCUAUCAUAGGAUCAUCAUAAUAAUACUUUUUGUUCCAAAGGUCAUCACAAUAAUUCUAGUGAGAUCAGACUACGGUUCAUCCUAUAUUAUUUCUCAAACCAAGAAAAGAGUAGCCCAUAAAAUUAGAAGAUACUAGUAAAGGACCAUUGUUCACCGCUCCAUUAAUGUUUUGCUCGUCACUCACCAGCUACAAUUCUACAAACUAGUUAGGUGGCCCGCGCAAAUAGUGUGGGCUAGAUUGCUGUGACAUAUUUGUAAGGUUUAUUUAGUGGAGCUUCACUCGGCUUCUUGAUGUGCACACAUCAAUCUUGUUUCAAAUUUUGUGGGUUAACAUUUUACCAUUGAUCCAGUUUCCAUGCAUUUGAAGUUAAUUAACCGCUUCAUCUUAGUUCCUCUAGAAUUUUGAUCAUAUCAUAGGGAUGUAAAAUCCUUAGUGGUGCUUUUUUUGGUUCUGACUCACGCACGCUUGCACUACCCACUAUUUUCACUCAACAAAUCCGUCCUAUUCCAACCUCCCCAUCGUGAGCUGCGAUGGGCGGUGGCUUUGGCUUAUAAUUUCACAUGUCUGACCUCACAAUUGCCAACCAUGCCUCAGCAUCUCUCGUUGUUGUGUUCAUCUCUGGCGCACCAAAUCGAGUGUCUGGUUUGAUGAAGCACCAUUAUGCCUGCAUCUCUUUUUUUUUGGCAUAUCAGAUAUCUUGGAGCUCCUCCUUAUAUUGUCGGUCAUCUCCUGCCCUCCAGGAAAAUUGAUAUCCUCCUAUGUUUCUGAAAUUGUUGGAUUUCUAUGCUAUUUCUUGUUUAAUAAAAUUAAUUAAAAGCUAAUAUAUGUAACAUAUUUAUUUUGGGCUUGUUAUUUUAAUUUAUUUCUGGUUGGGUCGACUAAUUGAAAACCUAGUAUACUCAUGGCAGGGGUGGAUCUAGGGCGGCUAGGGGAGCUACGCCCCACCCACCCAUAUUUUUUAGCCUUGGAUGGAGAGUGUAAGAAGAAGAUAGAGAGGAGGAAGAAGAGAAAGAGGAAGGAGAAGAGGAAGAAGAAGGAAUGAUGAGCAACCCACUGACUCAUGGCAAUAAUAUGGCAUCCGUGUACAACAAUAGUUUUACCUAUAGCUUUCACUUAACAAUGCUAAUUUUGUGUUUCCAUCAAAAAAUGCUAAUUUUGUGUUCGUUAAGUGUUGGAGUGGAACUGGGCAGCUAGGAGGAACCUCUUUCCCCUGGUCCGUACAUUGGAGAGGGAAGCUAUUUCAAAAAAAAACUUUUCCUCGUACCCAUAAACCAAAUCGAAUUAAUCCAGCCGGAAAUUGCUAAAUAAAGGAAGCAUAAAAUGCUCUAUGAACUGCGAUCAUGUAACUAAUAUACCUGGUAAACCCAGCAAAUGCUAUUUUGCUUUCUUUAUAUCUAGAAGUGCAAUUGCUAAAUCCGGUCACAAAUAGUACAUGAAAAAUACCUUGUGAGUAAUAUGAUAUUUAGCUUCUAAUAUUAUUCUGACGGUAGCUGCUCACAUGGUUGAUCAGCAUCGAUGAUGAUGACAUUCCAAAUCCUUUCCUUUGCUGAAUCAAUCUCUCCUUGCGAGUUGCGACGGCAGCUACGCAAGCAGGCUUAGAAUCUGGCCAAGCCUUAUCCUGCCGUUCCAGCAAUCCAGCGUUCCUUGCGACUUUAAUUUCUUUUACUACAUGAAAACUGAAUUUGGUUCCCUUCAUGGAAAAUACCUGGAAACAGUUCUUUUUGGAAAACCCAUCAACUUGGGCUGAAACUAAGACCUUUUCGCCUGUUCGUUUUAGUGCGCUGACCACGCUUGCAGCCGGCCACUGGCGAGGAUAUUGUCAACACCAAACUUACAAUCCGUUCUAGAUCCAGGCCGCUUGUCUACCAUUGCAGACGGCCUCCGGUCAAGUCCUGGCAAUACAUAAGAUGAGAUGGCACUUUGCCCGUUUGAAAGUUGAACCAAAACGGAUUGUCACCGAUAACUGUAGAAGUGCCUCCAAUCGUGUGGACGCUGAAUCUAGCUACCUCCAUUGCGGGUGCUUGGAGAACUGCGAGAUGUCUCCAAUUAGCAUCGUUUUUUGCUUGUGACUGCUCUAGAAGAUUUCGUGUUGCGAUUGUCUCUGUUUUUUUAUACACAUACGUAUAUAUGGAUAGAUUAGUUUCGGAAACCAUGUGUCUCGGAGAUGAACGGUGUUGGUUCUAAGUUCUAACUUCCAACAUGUCAAGGUCGGAGGAGCUGCCUUAUGUUAGCUUCCAUAUAUACGUGCCUAACUCAUAGUUAUGAUUAUCGGAAUAUGAUAGGGUUGAUUUUAUGAUGGCUAUGGUUUCAUGCAUAGUUUAUAUUUUUUGAUUUUUUGUGUUUUUUAAUAUGGGCUCUUUUGAUAAUGAUCGUUGGAUCAUCAUAAAAUCCAAUGGUACGUAUUCUUAUUUUUUGAUUAAUGUGGGAAUUUCUAAACCCUCAACUCUUUUGGUUAAUAUAGACCGUAAAAUCCGACAUUAUAUAUAUUAUUCUCUUUUUUCUAAUUAAUGUGAAAAUUUCUAAACCCUCUCGGCGAACGUGAUAGCUUCUUUUAACACUAUUGUAAUAAGACAAUAGAUAGAUAGAUGUGGCACUGCAUAAAGCUGUAUACCAACCCUACUAUAGAGAUGACAAUAUGAUUUAUGACUUACGUUGAUUUCACAAGAGAAUCCAUGCCUCAAACAGACAUAUAAGAACAGUGUGCUUAGGGUGCUGUGCUCCGGACUCAACCUGGAACGGAAUCGAUAGCGAGCGGAGCAAGUCGAAACGUGAACGAGAAGAGGGAACCACGUGACGGGCUGGGACUUGGGACAUGGGAGUUGGGAGUUCACGGAGCUCUCGUGAGAAGCAGCCGAGAAACUCGCCGAGAUGCAGCGGCAAAAGCGGCCACGUCCUCAUCCUCUGCCCCGCAAGCAACUGGGCCAGGAAAAAGAGACGCAGGAAAGGAUAAUACCAAAACCACCAGCCGCAAUUACCCUCCCACCCGCUACAAAUACCACUCCCUCUCCCACCCUUCCACACCUCCCAGCUCCACCACCACCAGCAGCAGCGUGCGAGUAGCACAGAGAAGGAAGGAAGCUAGUAGGCGCGAGCAGCGGAAAGCUGUAGUAAGAACACUACACGGGGCUCGUGUUUCUGACAGGAUGGCGCACAUGAGCCGGGUGUGGGCGGCGGCCACGGUGGCCGCCGUGCGGGCGCAGCGGGAGAGGGCGCCCUCCGCCGCGGCGGCGGGGGCGGGUGCCGGGGCGCGGGACCGGCUGGCGGGGCUCGCCCCGCAGGCGGCGGCGCUGGCCGCGGCGCGGGCGGCCGCCGACGACGGCCGCAGGCAGGCCGGCGCCGACGAGUCGCUCCGCAAGGCCAUGUACCUCAGCUGCUGGGGCCCCAGCUGAGAGGAUAAGGCCGUUUUGUGAAUGUGACGGGGCGGCGGAUGGGUGGGACAGGCGGUCGGUGUAGGGGCCUCGGCCUUUGCGGAUGCUCAAUGGCCGGACCGGGCCUGCUGGGGCCUUUGAUGAACUCGCGAUCGCGAGAUGCGUUGAGGGGUUCGGUGAUUUGGGAUUAACAUCUGGGAAAUUUGUGGGAUCAUCAAAAGGGUUACUGUACUGUAAUCUUGUACAUAUGCUUCCUGUAGAUAUCGAAUGGAACUAGGGAAAAAGAAAAAAAAAUCUUUCGGCUACUUUCUCUCUGGAACUUUCGAUCGAUCAGUCAGAGCAAACGCUGUCGAGUUUGAGCGAUUAGAGCUCUCUGCCAAAGUGCCAAGUGUCCAGCGUCGAGCAACCAUGUCAAAACGAAGGGCGGGAGCGGAGUUCGUGUCGCUCCGGCCCGGGCAUCACAAAUUCACAAGGAUUUGUAUAUAACAACUUUUUAAGUUCGUCGAUCAAUCACGUAGCCGGCAUCCUGAUGGAUCGGCACAGCAACGCGUUGAGUUGAGCCCGGCGCCGGCCGAACAGACUCCUACGAGCCCAUGACCAGGCAGCACUUGGGCGAACGCCGAUCUCGGCUUCAAACUCUGAAGUUCAGGCGGGUUCCGUUCCUACCGCAGAUAAUUUCAGGCAAGCAAGCGGCUCGAUGGACCGAUGGCCGGGCAGGGGACGGGACGUACGCGAUUACCCACACCGCACGAGGACGUCGCAGAGGUGCGCCUCCCGCCGCCCGAACAGGUCGCAGCUGCCCCAACCGUUGGCCGCACGGGUUCAGAGUUCAUCGGAGAAGUCGGCCGCACGGGCACCAACCGUUUUGGCGCAGAUCCUAAGGUCCGGUAAGGCCUGGCAACGCAGCCGCGAAUCCCCUAGUCGAUCACUCGCCGUCCUCUCCUCGAUUCGUCACCACUCACCCCGCGCGCAUCAUUCCUUCGCGAGCCGCGCGGCACCGGAGCUCGACACGGCGACAGGAUCGCACCGGGGAGAGCGAGGCAGCGAGCGCGAGGGACAUGCCGCGACAAGCGACGGAUAUGAUUGACUCGCGUCGGACAACGAUGCGGAGCUGGAGCCUGACGCGGUUGGCUUUUGGCCUGCGCCGGCUUUUUCACGUGGUGUCACGUGACGCUGGGCCACCGCGGUCGCGUCCCGGGACGGGUGGCGCGACGCGACGCGACCGAGUGACGGAAACGAAGCAUGGGCGAGAGAGAGGGCAAACGACGCGACGGGACCCCCACGCCGUGGUCUCCAGGACGCGUGCUCGCGGCCGGUGCAUGCACCGCGCGUGCGCCGUCGCUCCAGCUCCUGCAAUACGUCCGGAGAGCCAAGAGUGGGAGCAAGAUUGCAAGUCUGCAAGAGCAAGUAAGCAACUCUCACUCAGCGGCUGGCAUCAUGCGUGCCGUCAUUGGCGGAGGCCGGUGGCCGUAGCGGCUCUCCUUAUCUCCUACGUUCCUGGGCUGGCAGUGGCAGGAGUCAACGAAACUUGCGUUGGCAACGACUCCAACCGCGGCGUACGUUGAUCCGGCACACCACGUGCCCUCAAUUUAGGCGUCGUGGAGAGGGUUCUAUAGCGUGCCUACCGCCUAGCUCUAGCUGAACCGUAUACGAAUCGUUCCACAAGCUUCCAAUGCUCCACGAAGCAUAUGAUAGGAAAAGAGGGUGCAAGACCUCAGGCCUGAUGUAGUGAUGUUGUGUGGGAUCGAACCUACCUGGAAGCCUGGAUAACCAUGAUUUUUAUACGGUAUCAAAGUUAACAUGAUUCUGAAACUCCCAAUCCAUCCAACUAACGAACGAGUGAGAGAUUUUUAGAAGUAAUCUCUUCUCGUUUAUAAAGCCCAACAGGCUAUAGCCCAUGUGCUAUUUCGAAACUCCUACGCACAGCCAAGAAACACCACAUACCCAGAGAAUUGGGCCCAUAAAAGAGGUGGCACCCGCAGCCCAUUAACCACCACGCAUCGCGCGCGGAUAUGAGAAGCCCAGGCCCAUAUUCACAACAGCAGAAGAACUGAAGAAGCGACCAACAUCCUCCCGAAGAAGACCGACACUCCAACAGCCUCGAGAUCAUUAGACCAUUACCACCAAUCGCAAUAUAGUACGUAGUAGCAGUAGAGUAAAAGAAUACUGUGCUCAGGUUUGCAUCUAACCACCGUGCGAUAAUCGCCUACAAUACCCACGCCAAUCAAACGCUGCGUACAAAGAAUAUCACGCACGCCGCCGGCCGCACCACCAACGCGAGCCGUGCGUCACACAUCCACACAGCUCAGACGUUGUCGGGCAGGUCGAAGUGCUGGACGCCGAGCACCUGCAGCGCGGCGUUCUGGACGAAGAGGACAACGCCGCACUUGGCGGCGCGGAAGCCGUCCCAGAGCGGGAACUGGACGGUCCCGGACACGGACUUCUUCGCGGAGGCGCCCUCCCGCACCGCCGCCACCUUCUCCAGGCGGCGCACCACGUGGUCGUUCAGCAGAGACUUGCCCUUGUUCUCGCCGCGCCCGCAGUCCGUCACCAGCCCGCUCUCGUACAGCGCCACCAGCACGCUCGCGCCGCCGGCGCCCUCCACGCGGCUGCGCAGGGUGCCCGUGAACGACGCCUGCAGCGUCGUCGGGUUCGGCCGCUGGAACGUCGCCUGCACGUUACGUAACGUACGCGGAUCAGAACAGAUCAGGUCGUGGUUUCAACGGUGCAUCUACAGUGACAGUGACACCGCAUCUACAGAACCCAGAUGUAUCCGGUAGAUCUGAAUUACUGUUCAUUGCAGAUCCGGCAUAAGAACAGUGGCUGAUGAGACGUUCUACAGCAACAGGCAAUCAGAUAUCCUGGUUGUCGCUUCUUAAAUUUGCAGACCGCUUUGAACACUUUCUACAUGAUCCAACAAUCCGUAUCCGUGUAGAUGACAAGGUGGCAAUGGCAACAGGAUCGGAUGUGCAAGGAAGUUGUAAUUACAGUACCUUCAUGGCGGGCGCCGGGUAUCGCGGCGCGUCGCGGACGGCCUGCGCGAGCGCGUCCUGCUCGGUGCCGACGCAGUGCGCACGGCCCUGCACGACGACCUGCGGCGUGAAGAGCGUGUCGAGGCGGAGCGCCUCCACGUAGGCCUUCUGGCGCACGGUCCAGGCGCUGGACGCGAAGGGGUCCUUCCACCCGCUGUGGUCCCAGUAGUCCACGUGGAACGCCAGCACCACCACGGCCGGCCCGCCGCCGCCGCCUUCCUGCUGAGCCGCGGAGUCCUGCGCCAGCCGCGCCGCCACGGCGUCGGCCUCGGGCGACGCCCCGCACCCCUGCGACGCGAACAGCUCCAACAGCACCGGCCCCGGGGCUACCUGCUGCUGCUGCUGCUGGUCCUCCUGCUCGUCCGGCGCCGACGCCGUCGCGCCGCCCCUCCGGCCAAAGCACGCCAGCAGCCGCGGCGCCAUCGAUGGUUGUAGGCUAGCUAGUAUCUGCCUUAGCUAGCGAGCUGCCGGCGCCGGCGGUAGUGGUGCAGCUGGCGAGGGAACGUCGUGGCGAAGGGAAUGAGGGAAGAUCAAGUGACGAGCUCGCUCGCGUGGUGGCGUGUGGCGGGCAAGUAGUAGGUGUCCCGGACGGUAUGGUGUGUGGUGGCCUGGUGGGAUAGAUGAUUGGUGGGUGGAACUGAACGUGGCGGUGGCGACGGCAACAGGACACCAGCCUGUCAGCACGCAACCCCUCUUGGUGUUGGAACUUCGCCGGCUGGCCGCCAUGUGUGUGUUCGUGCCCGCCUAACCUCCCAGCUCCAGCCUCUUCUUUACUUUGUUUUCUCGCAUUCUACCUUUUCCGCCGCAGACUUUGCAUUUCUAAAUCUGGUUUCACCGGUUCAGUGCGAUCCGUGAACAGAUUAUUCUGUGGCCAUGUUCCUUUGGGGAAUGGAAGGAGGAAGAGGAGAACCCGCUUUUGCUUUCACGAUCGGCGCGAUGCUUUGCUUGGUCCGGUGUGUUUUGUGGGCGCGGCCGCGGCGGGCACCGUGUCGGCGAGUGGUUGGAUCCGCCGCCGGGGUGGCUGUAAUUUUUUAACAUACAAACAGCAAGACCACGUUUGAGCCGCUGCUGAAUGCUAAUCAAUCAUUGCCACUAGAUUACAGUAGUAGCCAGUCGUGCGUCUAUUACGUGUAUGCUGGUUGGGGUUAGCAGACGAGCCUACAGAGUACAGACAGUGCUGUGGGUGUCGCUGCCGGUUUAGUUUUACACGUUCGCUGUUCCUGCGUGAUCGUCACGGUGCAGUUCGUGGAGUUUUGUGUCGAUCAGAUACCGACCACGGCUGGCUUCGACACUAUGAAACUUGCGGAGACAGCGAUCGGAUUUUAAUUGGGGUGCGGUGGCGAGUGUGGCCGUGCACCUGAUCGUACAUCGACGUCCGACCUGAUGAUUGUCACCGACUCACCGUCGGCCGAACCUGUCGGCGGCGGGCCUGGCAAAAAUUAUCGAGACUUAUCUCUGUUUUCUUCUGUGGGUUGGCUGGCAGCCUGGUGCCCGUCCGCUCUGUUAAAUGGGCCGAUUAUUAAUACCUGGGCUGGCCUGCACUGGUAAGUUAAUGGGCAGCAGGCCUGUUUAAAACUCAGUCCAACAACGCCUUUGGUUCUCGGCCUUUCUCUUUCCAGAAGCAGGUUCAUGUUGGGUCGAGAGGAAGGAACAAGGCUCGAACGAGGCCGAUUUGGGACAGCCCACAAGACUCGAAAUGGGUGGUGGUGUUCCCGAGUCAAGGGACUGGUGUUUGCAUGCUCAAUGAGGCUCAUCAAGCCCACCUAACAUUCUGCGUCAGUCGUUUUGAAUUAAAGAGAGAAAAAAUGGAGUCCUCUUCCAUCCUCCACGUCUUUGGUAGCCUUCAUGCCUCUAGUUCGGGGAACCAGGGUCCGACGUCCGCAUGUAUAUACGCCUUCCUAAUAAGUAACUUUUGGGUAGGUUAGUUUGCCCAUGGCAGGGUUAGUGUUGCAUUCGGGUAUUUGUCGGUGAUGGCAUCCUCUGUGAUGAAAAUCCCCUGUCGCUUAGCAUCAAGGUACGUCUUCCAGUUCCUGAUGGAGUUGGAACUGGGUUGGUGUGUAACAGUGUAAGGAUCCUCUUCUUUAUUCUUUCAUUGCUCGUCUAUCGGAUUUUGCCAUCGUGGCGACAUGCAUCUGUUUCUGAUAUUUGUGAUGAUUUUACAGGCGCCCAUACGGUGGAACCUUCAGUAGUUCAAGUAUACAGCCACUUGGUUGUCGUGCCACCGUUGCCCUUUCAUCAAUUGAAGCUCCUUCGUCCGCUCGGGCCUCGGGAGCUUGCUUCCAGCCUCUCCCUCGGUGCUCUACUCUGCUGCCUGCGAAGGGGAAGUGCCAAGCAGAGGCGGAUGUGCUGACCGGACAAGCAUGAGUUCGUUGAGAGGUUCACUCUGCAAGUGACCGGUUGUAAAGGUAUUGUUUUCAUAUAUAUACCCCAUCACUUAUAAAAAGAUCAAAGUUUAGGGGAUCCAACCCAAUAUUUUUUUAAAAAAUAAACAGACUGGACUAGAAAGUCGUUUGCCGCCAUCACUGAUCAAAGUUUCGAGCGCGUGCACCGUGCACGUUCGUCCACUCCGUCCAAGUGGGAGUCGCCGCCGACGGGUGACGCAUGCGUAUCUGCGGAGCGCGGAAACUUUGGCCCGGGCUCCACCGCGGUUUCCACCAGCUGUACGCCGUCGUGGGACGACCGACUCCCCCCGGCCACGGCGCCGGUCCGCCGGACCCGCUGUGGCGCUGUCACAGUCCGCGGCCCACACCGUGCGCCCACACCGUGCCGCACUUCCGCACUUGCCUCCGCCCCCGUAAUCCGCACGGUCGGUGGGCGUCGCCGAGCCCACCCGCGGACCAGCCCGAAGCCCCGAAUCAAUUCCGUUCCAGGUGCUGGCUGAGUCACCGGGUGCUUGACUUCCACGGCUUCGGAGCACACGCGGCGGGGCCUCUGAAUUCGCAGCUUCAACGAAGACAGCGUCAUUAGUCCUCGCAUUGCCAAUGCCAACGUUUCCGUCUGAUCCAGUGUUGACGAAACCCAGCUCCGGGCACAUCCAAAAGCGGCGUAAACCUGUGCCUAUCCGAUGGAAGAUCGAGGAAAUUCGUGCGCAGCCGGCUUUGAAUUUUGUUGCGCUCAUUCUCGCUCAAGCCAGACAUGCAUCAUGUGCUGGCACGUCUGCAUGCAACCUAGCCAGCCUCCUACACUGUGGGGGUCGUUGCUGAUCCGUCCCAUGCGUGUACCACAUGCGUGCACCGCUGUGCUGCUGCUGUCCUAGGCCGUUGCAGGGGAGUCAGCUCCAGCGCGCGCCAACGCGCGCACCGUCCGUCCUGCAGCUCCAUUGGGGCUAGCUUGGAAGGCACACCAAAGGCCAGGUCACGAACCCGUGAUGUGUGUGGAUAUGGUAGCACGUAGCAGCGAUACGCUGACGGAACGGGCCCGUCGCCGCCCAACGAUGAGCGCGAUCGUGAACGCGAGCGAAACGCGCGGCCGGUGGCGCGUCCCCGAAUCGGAUCCUGUCACGUGUGGCAUGCGCGCGUACCCGGAAGGAAACUGGUGGCGGUAGCUGGUAGAUGCUGCCUGCUGGCCACGGCCGGGAUCGAUCACUUUACACGUCCGCCGGGAGAGAAAACAAAGGGUUAUCCACAAAUUUAUCCGGAUCACAUUUGCGUAAUCCGGCGCAGCAGCGCCGAGCCAACAACCACCUUUCGGGCUUGCCGAUGGAUCAGAUUAUUUUACGGGGGUGGACUGGUGCAGCGGAUUCGCAGGUUUUUCCUGGAAAAAGUUGUCGCGCACAUCGCGGCCGCGUGCGCGCAAUUAAUAAUCCGCGCUAAUCUAAUCCAGAACGGCCGGGGCGACGCACAUCGCUUUCCCGCUACGACGAGCCCGUGACGCUAGCACGUCGCGGUCGCUCGAAAUCGCCCGCUAGUCAUAUGAUCUCGCGGGCCUAGCUCUCGAGCUGGAUCUGCUGGUCUGGUGGUGUUCUCUAUGGGGUCGUAAUUGCGUUGGGCUUCUUUCGAUCCGCUCUCGCCCGCUUUUCCGGAUCCCGGAACACGUGGGAACUGAGGAAAAGCGCCUGGGCCCCGGAUGAGACCGAAUCAGGCGUGGAUAAGACGACAGAUUAGCAGUAGUAGCAGUGCUCUGUUCACAGGAGUCCUCUCGUGUCCUCGCGUUGCUGUUGCCCGGUGAGAAUGGAUGAGGGAUCGCCGAGUUGGUGGCUCCAUUUGCCUACCUUUGUAUUUACUUCCGCCACGCUCUUCUUGUUCCUGAUUCUGUGAUGUAGCACUGCUUCUGUCGUGGAUAAGACGGAGACGCGCUCUUUUUCGACAAUGUUUUGUGGGUUAGGACGUGCUCGGUGUGUGUGGUUACAAAGAAAACGAUGGAUAAAGAUCCUGAAUGAGGUUGUCAGCAUGGUUAAUUGCCACAAUAAACACACGCUAGUGGCGCCACAUGAAUUUCCUUGAAAUUUUUACCACAUUAUGUUCCUGUUCGUUGUGCACAAUAGCAUGCAGAAUGAGAAAACUAAGCCACGCCAUCUUUUGAGGCCACCAGCUUAUAUUUGUUAGCUCGUUGUUUAGGCGGGGUAGAAGAGUAUUCUCUAGCUUGGUAAUUGGUAUCUUUUUUCGUGGUUUGUGUUCACCCGCCGGAUUUGCAUGACAAGCCAAGCAGAGUAAUAUGCAUUUCUUAAACGGGAAACUGAAAUUUUUAGAGCGCGUUCAUUGCAGAUAACGUUCAGACAAGAUUAAAGUGUAAGCGUUCAAGAUCUUAUUUGGAUCCAUCCAUCCAAAAUUUAGCUAGCUGAAUUUAUGGGUGUUUGGAUCCAUCAUCUUAAUAAUUAUUAAAGAGGUAUUUGUUUAUCCUGUACUGCAAUUCUGGUAACAAAGUAAAGGACCCGUCAAACUUGCCUGGCCUGCACGGCGGCCGGUCGACAGUGUCGAUUUGCUUGCGUCUAUUUCUUUUUGAUCGGUUGUAGAUGUGCUCUGUUAAUUGGAUGUUCCAGGGGUUUGGAUGGAAAUUUGGUUUGCUGGUUCGGAUUGAAAUAAAUAGUGUCUGGUGUAUGUAGAAGCGUCAGCGCGGCAUUCUCUUUCAGAACCAUCGCCGCUCUAGACCAGAGAGAGGGACGAGGAACUCCGAGGAAGUCUCUGGACAAUGUUGCUAACUGACGGGCCUGUUCUGACCGUGCGAUUAAUUAAGGAUAGUGAAUGGACGACGCAGAUCAGUAGUCGACGUGGCACAGUGGGCGCUCGAGAAAGGCCCAAUUGCCUGACCGAGAUUCGUCUAUUAGAGACCGUACGUCUUCGUCUACAAGCAUGGUUAACCUGCUCUUUUGGAUGAUCGAAAUGGCUUACCAACGUCGUCGACCUGGCGCAGGUUCUAGAAGACAGCUUGCGGAUCUGUCAACAACAGGCACAGCUAGUAGUUGAGGGCUUCAGGUAGUGGAUAACGCAUAAAGCACAACGUAGUAGUCCGGGCGUACGCCUAGUCCUACCUGACGGAGCCGGUGGUUCGGCCGCGUGUCAGCGUGCCGUGGUAGCGCGGCAGAGCCGGCGCGGAGGCUGACGGCGUGAGGUGGCGUUCAUGAUGCUGACGGCGUCGUUAUCCCAUCCAUCCAAUUCUAAUAAGCAGGGUGCUUCAGAGAUUCAUCGAACACGACACCCCCAGGAUCCACGUGAUGCCACACAAAAAUGGAGAAAGAGAAAGGAAAGAGGAGAAGAAACAAGGGCUCGCGUUCGAUCAUUCAUGUUCUGAUGCUCGUUGGCCUUCCGCAGAUUCUUCGCCAGCUGAAGGCAAAUCGUAGGCAGCUCCGUGACUGAUUCUCGGAUACUGCGGUGCAUUUUCGUCGCCUCAUAAUCUACUUAAGCGCGAACGAUUUCUGGAGAAAUUUUCAUCGCCCAGCGAAAAGAUUUUUCCAGAGAGUACAAGGUGGGUACACGCCAAAAGCCAUUGCGCUGUUAAACGGGCACAUGAUCAGCCGACAAAGGCACACCAGCUUGUUGCCGCCAUAUGGCUGAUUUUGAAAUCGCCCGCAUGUUUAAACGAAUAGAUUUUGCAGCCCUGGAAUUCCACAACUCUCAUUUUAAAAUCUCAUGCUCGCUGAUCUUGAUCACCGUGUGAAAUCAAUCAAAACACCGCAUUUUUUUUAAAAAAAAUCUUUUGGACAUGCAAACGUGCCAACUUUAAUUGCUGUGGAUCAGAAAGUCAGUACUCAGUACCCUGUAGUCAGCAAGAGUCCAUGCGCACGGAGAAAGGCAGAGUUUUAAUUUGCAACUUGCAUUCAUAUACUUCGAUUUGAUCCAAUCCAUACCCCACAAAGAAAAAAGAAGACAGGGGACGAAGACCAGUUGACUGUUCGUCAUCAUCCAGUCAUCCUACCUACUGCGAUGAUUAUAAUACGGUGAAUCCUUAAACCAUUUUAAAUUUCCCGCUAAACCCGAAGAAUAAAGCCGUAUGAGUAAAUUAUUGCCCGGCCGACACCGUCAGCAGCGAGCGACGUCCCAGGCGUCACGGGCUACUGCAUGCCGGCGAGCUUGCCGUUGCCGUUGGCACCGCCGCGCAUCUCGAGGUCGGCGCCGACGUGCACGUCCUCGUCGCGGAUGAAGCGGCCCCAGUACCAGUGGUUCUUCCACACGAGCACCAUUUCCUCGAUGGGCACGUUCUUGGUCUCCGGCAGGAAGAGCGCGACGAAGAUGGUCAUGACCACCACCCAGGCGCCGAAGAAGAAGAAGAGGAUGAACUUGAAGCGGCAAAGCAUGGGGAGGAACGCCUGCGCGAUGAUGAAGGUGCAGAGCAUGUUGACGGACACGUUGAUGCUCUGCCCCGCCGACCGGAUCUCCAGCGGGAAGAUCUCGCUGGGCACCAGCCACCCGAGGGGUCCCCAUGACCAGGCGAACCCGGCCACGUAGGCGCAGAUGAAGAGCACCACGAUGGCGGCGUACGCCUUGGGGAUCUCCGCCACGCCGGAGAACCCGAACUUGGCGCCGAUCAGGCUACCGACGACGAUCUGGCAGGCGAGCAUCUGGGUCCCGCCCUGCAGGAACAGCUUGCGGCGGCCGAGGCGGUCCACGGUGACGAUGGAGACGAAGGUGGCGAAGACGUUGACGAGCCCCGUGAUGACGGCGGACAUGAGGGAGGCGUCGUCUGCGAAGCCCAGCGUCUUGAAGAGCACCGGUGCGUAGAACAUGAUGACGUUGAUGCCGGUGAGCUGCUGGAACAUGGGGAUGGCGAUGGCCAUGACGAGCUGCGGCCGGUAGCGCGGCUGCAGGAUAUUCCGCCACGGGUGCGCCACGAGCUUGGACUCCUCGCUGGCGGCGACGAGGUCGUUGUACUCCUCCUCCACGUCCUCCGUGCCGCGCACGCGCUUGAGCAUCCGCUUGGCGGCGUCGGUGUAGCCGCGGUCGAUGAGGGAGUUGGGGGUGUCGGGCAAGAACAGCGCGCCGAUGGCGAUGAUGGCCGCCGGCACCGCCGCCAGGGCCAGGCUCACGCGCCACCCCCAGCCGCCCUUGAUCUUGGCGGUGCCGUAGUUGAUGAGGUUGGCGCACAGGAUGCCGAUGGUGAUCAUGAGCUGGAACCCGAUGUUGAGCAUCCCACGGAGGCGCGCGGGGGCCAUCUCCGACAGGUACACCGGCACGGCCUGGUUGGCGAAGCCGACGCCGAUGCCGAGGAGGACGCGGCCGAGGAUGAGCAUGACGACGUCCUUGGCGGCGCCGUUGAGGGCCGCGCCGAUGAGGAACGUGACGCCGCCGCCGAACAUGGACCACUUGCGCCCGGCCACUCGCGUCACCGUGGCGGCGAAGAAGGAGGCCACCAACGCGGCGAGGUAGAGCGAGGAGGUGAACAUGGUCAGCAGCUGGCUGUCGAACUUGCAGUACUGGUUGGUCUGGUUCCGCUCCGCCUCCUGCUCCUUGCGGUACACCGACGGGAAGAACUUCAUCAGGAACGGGUUCAUCGACGUCACGCCACCUGAUCAUCACGAACAAACGUCAGUUUUUUUUUGCUUUGCCACUGAUUUUUUGCUUCUAAGACUAUUCUAAUUUUCUGAAGGAAUGAUCUGAGGUGAUGUUUUUUGUUUAUUUGGAAAAAAGAAGGCUAGGUGAUGCAUGGAAAGAUUCUUCUUGGCUUUGCGAAAGAAUCUGGGGAACCAAAUAAAGAAAAGGCGGGGGAAUAUCGCAGUUUUGUUUGUAUGUGUAAAAUCAUGCGUCGGGUCUCCCGACAGCACGGUAGGUGAAUUGCGCCCGAGAAAAUACCUGAUUUGCAAGAACAGAGCAGCGUGCGAGAUGCAAACAGAGAGUGUGUUUUCUCUCUCUUUCUAAUCAUAGCCAUGAUUUUUUUUUUUGAAAAAGAUCAGGAACAGAAGAACAUCGCAGAGGGACGGGAUGCGUAGCUUACCAGAGAUGCCGAUGUCAUAUCCGAAGAUGAGGCCGCCGGUGGCGGCGACGAUGCAGGCGAAGAGCACGAACAUGGUGAGCUUGCCGGGGUAGUCCUUGCCCCCUCCGGUGUUCACCACCACGCCGCCGGCCAUGGCGACUGCCCAAUACUCAAACCACAAACACACAAAGCUUUCGCCUCACACGAUCACAGGCUAGCUCCACACAAAAGACUUCACGAAAGGCCUAUGCCAAGAGGAAAAGAAUGGAAGUGCUCGUGAGCGCCCGGAGAAGAUGGGAACGUCUGCGAGUUCAGAGGCGAACGGAGGCAGUGUUGAUUGUUGAGACGGGGGAGGAGCGGGCGGGCAUUUAUAGGCGGGGCGAGGGGCCUCCAUGUGAAUGGGCGACGAGCUGGAGGGUGAGACUGCCAGGGUGGGCCCAACGCUCCCUCCCGCCCGCGCUUGUUUUUCCGUUCAUUAAUUGUGGCCGUGGAUAAAUCUUUAUCCCAGCUACCGGCCCCACCACCCCCGCUUCUUCCUUCCUGGAAAGACCCGGCGGCCAUUAAUGUGAACACGCUGCCGGUGCAGGCGCGCCAGCUGCUUUCCGCUCCCGGCGACGGCGGGGAGGAGGGUCGCCGUUCGCCGCCGUCCACCGCGAGAACGCGUGCGUGUACACGCUCGAGAUGGGCUGGCGGUGUUAUCCGUUCCGUUCCCGUUUUCGCUGCGAAAUGUAAACGUGCAGUGGAUAACGGCAUUAUUAGGUUCGAGGGUAGAAGAACAGUUAGCAGGAUCUCCUGCUGUGCUGUGUCUGGAUUUCUGGAGUCACACCUGCUGAUGACUCGGCGACAGGUCAUGCAGGCUCCAUGCGUAGCGUAGCAGCGUUAAUGGCGAAUCCGAUUCUUGCUGAUCAAGUUCCUCGAUUGUGGUUUAAUUUGGCAGGGUGGGUAGGUGCAUGCCGUUGCCUUCCUCAUGGGAGGUGAGGUACGCUUGCUGACGUGGAACCGGCUGUGCAAGUGUUGAGCACAUGUGGAUGGGUCAACGGCUCAACGCUGGUCCAAAUUAAAACAGACGAAACUGAUUAACCAGGCUGCGGCAUGGCAAAUUUGCGCAAAGAAAGAACCGAAUAAAAGGGUUCAGUUUCCUCUUAGGUUAUGGGUCUUGAUCUAAACGAUGAUGUAGAUUCUUAGGUUAACCAUCAUAACUCGACGAAAUCAGAUAAUGGGAUGCGGCGUUUUAUGAUCAAGCCGUGACAUGCUAUGCUGACCCACAAGAUCCAAAGUGCGCAACUUGGCUGCAUUCACCGAACACAUGCUCGCUCGGCGGCCACGGAAGUUGGGACUUGGACGGAAUGAUGGAGGCAUUGUUUAACACAAGCGCGAGCACGUCGCAGUCAUCGUGGGCGAACAGUGCCCCGGGACUGGCUCGGCCGGUCGGCUGCGUACCCGUCGGACAGCUAAUCUGCUAGCUCGGACGACCAUGGCCUCAUCUACUAUCUCCUUGGUCCGGCGCCGACCGGUGCGCCAGCACGUAUAUACUAGUACAGAAAAGCCAUCGAGCCAGACACGGCGAACCGCCGCCAACGGCGUUUUCUCCGAUCCGGGCACAUGUUAGGAACGAUCUGCCUGAGAUAUUUCUCCUUUUCGUACUGGCUCCCGCCGCCGUGGUGGUGUGCGUGUGUGGCGUCGUCACGCCACCACAUUACUGCGUUCUCGUCGCUGGAGUCGGCGGCUUCCGGCGGAGUCAAAGGAGGGUGCGACAGAGGCGCGCGGGCGCUCGGAGCUAGCUGGCCGGACCGCGCCGGGAGCCGGUGCGGGCAAAGCUAGGCCGCAGGUGUGGGAUCGCUGGGAUACGCUAGCUUGCAGCCAUGUCGACGUCGCCGCAUCGCGGACGCGACAAGGACGCCUCCCAUUUGUACCGGUCCCGUCCGGCCUGUAGCCCGGUAGCAUGCGUGAGUAAUGCCAAGCGCCGGUCACGAUCCUAGGCUCACUAAUGGCUUGCUGGGUAAUGGCAAGCUAACUGCUAUAAUUUGGUCAAAGGGAUGCCGAUCUCGACGGUCGGAGCAAGCUAGCCUGGUCCACUGAACUACGCCGCCCAUGUCGGUCUCUGUGGGAACUAGGAAGGGCAUGCCAGUAGGAGUGCAGGAGGCAACCGCAAGUACACAAGGCUAAGAAGAAGCUAAGCACAUGGGACGGGACGGGGAAGGCGGAAGGCAGGCCUGCGAUCCGAGUCAACGAUCGACUGGGAUACGCGAAGAAGACGGGCCAGCCAUGCCAUGGUUCCGAGCAAGAGGGGGGAGGGAGAGGCCGAUGCGCGUGCGUCACCGCGACGACGAGAGCGAAGCCAGCGGACGGGUCCGGCGACCGGCGCUGAGGUCAAGCCCACCCCAAGACGUGUGCCUGUCAGUGUGGACGCAGCAGCUCUCGCAUGUGCCGCUCGUUCUCGCGCCUCGCCAGUCAAUGCCAACCAGCCGGGUCAACCACUGCUGCUGCCAGUCGACUGCGAGUCCUUGCUGGGCUUUCACUGUUGCCGGGAUAAGACCCCGCUGAGAUUUGACUUGAUUGAUACUCCUACGAUGCUGCUGCCCAACCCAAGUCGGCUGGCAAGAGCCCAAAAAAUGUGCGGAUUGGGAUCGUACUGUGGUCCGUGGUGACCUUUUGCGGAAAGUGGGACCCUACAAGCAGCCUCGUUUGAAAAAGUCUCGUAGGAGGAAGAGUCCUAGACUGCGGUCCACCAAUCAACAUCCAGCAAAACCCAAGAAUAUUCAGACUAGCAGACAAAAGAAAGAGCUGCUGCAACUUUGCAUGGCGUGGUGCGUUGCAUACUUGCACACCACCGUUUGUCAACAGUACAGUUUUUCGACUUUUCGUUCGGCAUGGGCCUACGGUGUGUAAUCUACACGUUGUCAUGUUUGAAUACUGUUACGAUGCACUCAUCGAAAUCCGAAAACAAACUACUACUGCUUUUGUACUAAAAUAUGUAAUCUGCUUCUUCCAACUGCCCAAAGUCCAAAACAAUAUGCUAAAUGACUAAAGCACGUCCUAAGAAACUGAGCUGCGCGAGUGCAAGUAGCAGCAGCAGCAGAUGAACAAUGUGCCGCUACCAGUAAAGCUCGAGUUCUAAAACCCUGAGCCUUACGUGGAAAGCUCAGCGGCGGCGGUUCUCGCGCCAUUUCUUCGUUCAAGGCGUGCAGGAGAGCAUGCUGCUCCGUCCAUCAAGUGCCAAAGGUUAGUGAAAAAGCGUGCGUUCAGGUUUAAUUUGAGACUUCAACUGUCGUUUUGUUCUGUUCCUAGUUGCUACCGCCAAGAAGACCACACGCGCUAUGACCUGACCUGUGAGAUGUUUACAGUUGACGCCGUAUCCGUAUCCGUAGUCAAUUACAGUGACACGCAAGACCACCAGAGCUACCUACCUGAGGACGAUGUAAUUUUCUUCCUUGAGCGCAGGAUAUUUUCAAGGUCAAUGCUGCUGGGUAGUAACGUAGCCCACGAGGCCGCCCCGCUUAAUUGCCGCUCGUGGCCGUUGCGGCCGAGCUGCAAUAACCACGCGGAUUAAACAAUCUUCGCCUGCUAAGCCCACAAAACAAUAUUGCAUACCCGCGAAAACCCGCAAGGACCCACUUCAUGACAACGCCCAUCUCCUUUCUUUUGCUCGCCACGGUGCUGCCCGGCGCCGCCGGACGAUGGUCACCGGAGGGUGAGCAUAACGAGGAAGCCGAGGAACGUCGCCGCGCCGACGCCGGAUCAGCUGAAGACGAUAAGCUGUGCCAUGCACUCGCGCGACCGCCGGAGUUUAUCGUAGCUCCUCGGGACUACGCCGGAGCAGCAGAGCACGAUGACGCCGCCGCCUUCGCCGCCCUCUGCUUGCAGGCUCACCUCUCGCACGUGGCCACGCCGAUCGUCGCACGUGAUGGUGGUCUAGACGGCCACGACGCCAGCGCCGGCGCCGGCGCCGGUGCCGAGCACGAGAGCGUCGACGCGGAACGGGGCGCCCAGGAACCUGCCAGACGAUGCGCAACAUGAUGCAGGCGACACCUCUCGUCGCCAUCGACCCUGCCAGCAACGCCUCCGAUGGCACCAACGUCCACCUCAAAGAGAGCCAGCAGGCCUUGUGACUAGCGCUGAUGAUUCUUUCGGACGCUCGCGGGGUUUGCGGACACAGCCACCAGGCCCACUAACCAAGCACACUAAUUCCCAUGCGGGUUAGCGGCUUCUCGUGAUUGAUUGAAAAUGCUUUGCGGGCUAACGCAUGUGGGUUGUGGCUGUCCACAACCCGCCCCGCCUGCAUCCCUAUUCCCUACUGCUGGGCACUCGAUCACGGUCUCACCGGUUGGUCUCACGGGCUACCUCAACCAGUUAAGUCUGUCAAUUUUCACUGUCACAUUCAACCAGCUGGUAAAGCAGGUUUAUCCAGCAGGAAUAUUCAUCGUCAGUGAGCAUAAGAUGUGUGAAUGCACGGCAUGCGGCGUGCAUAUCUCUUUCACUCACGUCGCUGCACGCAAAGGCCUAGACGCGCGUGUGGCUGGUCGAGCCGCCGGGCAAUAUUCUACAAGUCAAGCAGAUUCCUUUUUCAUCACAUCAACGAGUGGCCCCGCCAGUAAUCGUACCUACCAGCAGCCACUAUUCUACUUUACAAGUUAACCGAUGGAAUCGAUUGACAUGUGCAACACGGGUGUGCACAAUUAAGAUGGCCAGAUGGGCCUUAAUUACUACUAGUAGUAGCAGUAGAUUAACACCAAACUACAGUGUAUAUUAUUCGAUCCUCGUCGUCCUUAAUAUUUGCUUCACGUACCCUGCAAAUAGCAAAAUGUUUUCCUUUUCCCUUCAUUUCAUCCCAAUCUUAAGCAAGUGCAUUUCGUCGACCGAUAAGUCGACACGUGCGACCUGUCUGUUUUUUCCCCCCCUGAAGUCCCUGAUCGGCUGAUCUCAUUAUCAAAUCACUGAAAUCAGAGAGGGGGGUCGCAUUCUCUUUUGCGGAUGGAGCACAAACUGGCGGGCUGUAUUCUUUGGUCAUUUACUCGUUCAGUUUCCAAACGCUAAUGCCGUCCGAGUCACGUGCAAUCAUGUGCGGAUUCUGGUCUACGUUCUUCCGAGAAUGACACCCAGUUUGCCCACACGCAGUCACGUGCAAAUAAAAAGGGCCGGAAUGGAUUCUAGGAAUUUGAGGCCACGAGCUUGGUGCCUGUAGUGAGUGGCUCACUGGCUCGUCAGCUAUCACCGUUUUCCACGGGUGCCCGCCCUCUCGCCUGUGAUUUGAUUUUGGAAUCCCAAGUGAUGGGCACUAGCGAUUUGUGGAUCGUGCCCGUCGCCCGUGCGCUGAGAUUGUGUGGGGGUAUGCAGGGAACGUGGCAAGCAGAGGCACCGAGAUGACUCGGAGCGAGGCGGACGUCCGCUUCAGUUUUGAUCAUACAGAGUUGCAGACCGGGCGAAAGUUGGAGUAGCGACGCAUUCUGUGAGGGUUCUUCUCGUGAGUCGUGAUACGGUAGCAGAGGUGCUGGCAAACUAGAUAAGAUAGUGUACAAAGAAAGGAAGGGGAGAGCAAAGUGAACUCAGAUCUCAAAUUGCAAAGCUGAACGUUCAGAUCAGAGAUGUGAAGCGCAGCAGCUUGAGAAUUUCCGGUAAUGUAGCUGAAGAAAAAUACUGAGCUUAAGCUGUUUGAAAUGAUAGUUUAUGGCCCAUCGAUGUGCUGGGCCUGAGCGCCUUCACGCGCGCGAGAGAGGACCAAUCCCUUCAUGGGCUUUUGUCGGUCUAGAUCAGCCCAAAUCUUUCACGCUCAUGAUGGACUGGAUCACCACCUACAACACCGGAGGAAGAUGAAGCCCAAAAAUUCGUCACAUACAGGUGUACCCUGAACCGGAAGGCCCGGGCGCGGCACGGCGGCAUCACAGGACCGUUGCGCGGCGGCCAGCUGCGGCAAAACGAAAAAACUCUGCGUCUGCCGGGAGUCGAACCCGGGUCUAUUGCUUGGAAGGCAAUUAUCCUAACCGUUGGACUACAAACGCCUUAUUGAGGUAGAGGUUAAGAUUAAAAAUAAUAGAGAACAGACACAUGAGAGCAUGUAUAUUAGGCACCUUCUUUCCCUUUUCCUUUGAUAUGUUUUCAUUUCUGUACCUUUUUCCCCGACUCCCAGUGUUAAUUGAGAACCUCUAGAACACAAAGUCCCUGGACCCUAUGCUGUUAGUCAGCAAAGCUUUUAGGUCUCUGUUGACAGGGCUCAGCUUUUCUAUAGGUGGUCAACUUCAACAAGAAAAAGUCGGAAAGAAAGCAGCGUCAGAGUAACAUAAUCUCUGGAUGAUGUAGUAGCCAACCUAACCCAACAAUCAUCUCACGGUCUUCCAGAAAUCCGGAACUACUUUUAAGCGUUGACGUUCCAGAACAAAAAGCUCUUGAUUGCUGCAGAACGGCGCCUCCCCUCCCUCAACUGCCUCGGACUUGGAGACAGACACCUUGCACAUCACAGGGGCCAAUGCCACUACGAAGCUGAUGGUGCGACCAAUUGUAAGGUUGGCCGGUGUUGGAAACUGGAGAUCAAAAUAAAACAGAGGGAAUUGCUUGUUGGGCAGACGUUUUCAUGUGCUCACUGCUCAGUGAAUGGCUGCUGGAAAAGGCAGCUCGCCUGACUCUGACUCAGUGAUGACCGGGGAACAAACUACCGAACCUGCCCGUCGAAAAGAAACCAUUCCUGUCUGAAUAAACGACCCGUGUCUGGAGAUGCGCUGUCCAACGUCUCUGACUGAAGCUUCUCACGACAGGUACGUGUAGCCGGAACUGCCAUCUCGGCUCAUACCUCUGAAGUCAUGCUGAGUUGCUAGCUGCUCAAACAUCUUGUCUGAAACUUGAAGCAAACGAAUGCUCCUCCUCAUCGAACAAGGACUGACCUGACUGUUCGGCUCAGAGGGGGACAGGAAACUAGAAAAGCAGCCAUCAAGCUGAUGCCAAUGUUGCGUGUCUCCUUCAGCCAGUUAUUGGUCAUUUCAGGCUCUCGACAGCGAGGCUUGAGCAACGGAAGCACGGACGGUCGAUCGGGGGCUCGGGGCAGUUCUACGCGCCAAUGCCUCGGCAUUGUGACGCUGGAAAUUUCACUGGUCCAGGUCUCAGAUUCAGCCACACGGUACUGAAUCCAAACUACUGGUGUAGCACAUAAAGUCGUGUAUUGUUCAUGUUCAAUGACCGUGCUUCUGCAUCGACAUUGCAGCAGUAUCUUCCACGACCAGUCAGAGAGUUUUAUUGCCCUGCUUUGACUCGAUAGUACAAUCUUCAGAAACACCUGCAGAUGCUGCAGCACGCGAGAUAAACGCACAGUUACAUUUACAUCCUGCAAAAGGUCUGCAGACACAGCAGCAAUGGAUCGAGUGCGUCAGAGAAGACGACCAGUCGCCAAUAGAUCCGCAGCUCUGCGUGCAAUAAGUGUGUCCACAUGGAUGGAUCGAGGUAAAGAAGACGGCGACUUAUUGCGAUCGCGAGAGCUAGCUUGAGCCCAUGAUCGCAGCUCGUCGGCAGGCAGGCACGCAGUACCCGCACUGUACCGCGAGAGAUCAUAACGCGAAGGCGACCCUACCGCGCGAUCGCGAAAGCUCAGAUCGAUUUGCCAUUUUGCUGCUGAAUGAUUGGUUUCCAUCACUCAUUUGGGCCAUGGUCCACGCCGCCCACCUUUCUGUCAAAGAUGAAUGUGCCCAGCGGCAAGAAGGAAAACAUCCGAUGCACAGGUAAAAGUGUGCGAUUUUCUGAUGCUGAUGCAGUCACUGGAUGGAUGGAUUAGUUGUUGAAUGGACUCGCACUUUUAUUUGACAGUGAUGAGUGAUAUACACAUGGGGUGACAAAUCACUGGGUGAUUCAUUCUUUGAUUCCUUCACAGCAACAAAAGAUGCAAGGAACAUGUGUGUUAGCUAGAGGUACAGUACUAGUAAGUGACAGCUAGUUCUUGUCGCCAAGGAUUACAGGCUCCAGAUGCCAUGGAAAAUACUCCUCAGCUUGCUCCCGCCAAGCUUCUUCACGAUCCGUUUGGCGUCCGGGACAUUAGUCUCCGCGAGCUUCUCGAGAUUCCUGCCAUGGAAACAUAACAAACAGAUCGUGAGAAUUUCUAGUGAGAUGAGAUGUGAUGAACAAAAACACAUAACGAUUAGUCAGUGAUUGACAGGUGGUGUCUGUACCUGACGUGCUCCGAGGACAUGAUCUUCCUCCGGCCGGAGCUGCUGUCCGUGAGGUGCAUCAGCGUCGACAGCAGCAACCGCUUCGCCGGCGUGGGCUUCUCCUCUUCGGGGCCCAGUAGCUGCAGCACCUGCGCCACGUUGCGGUCAUCCUGGACGAACCGCUUCCGGUUGCGGUGCACGGACACCAUGGCGCAGAGCGUGUCCGCCGCCAUCUCCCGCGCCUCCGGGGACUUGGCCGCGCGGAGGACGCUCACCAUCUCCGGCAUGAACCCAGCGUCCCCCAUCGCCUUCCUGAUCUCCUCGGACACCUGGCACAGGCGGUGCGCCGCCUUGAGGGCGCAAUGCUGCAGCGUGGUGUCGCCGUUGCGUAGCAGGGAGAGGACGCGGUCCAGGAACCCGGCGGCGAGGAGCCGGUCCGUGGAGGUCGGCGGCGAGAGACAGAUCGCGUCGAUGGCGCGGAGGGCGACCUCGCGCGCCUUCGAGGAGCGCGUCGGGGAGGACGGGUCGAGCGCGCGGACGAGGGACUCGACGGCGCCUUCCUGAAUGACGGCCUCCCUGGCGGAGCUGUCCCCGGAGGCGAUGGCGGCGAGGAGCUCCAUCGCCUGGAUCCGCGCCGCGUCGUCCGUGGCGGCGCCCUGCGAGAGCGACACGAGCGCCCGGCACGGCGCCCGCGUCGGCCACCAUGUACUUCCUGAUCUCGUCCACGCCUGCGAGGCUCCGCAGCACCCGGCACGCCGCGCACACGAGCUCGCCGCCGCGCGCGCCGUGGUCCGUGCACACGUUGAGCAGCGCCGUGACGCCACCGUGCGCGGCGACGGCCCAGGCAUUAUCCGAGUUCUCGGUGAGCUGCAGAGCACCCGCGCCGCGCGCUCCUUGGCCGCCGCGGUGCUGCCGGCGCCCGCGUCGAGGACCCGGACCACGGGGGCGAUGACGCCGCCGACGACCAGGUCGCCCCUGUGCGCGUCGGACCCGGCGAUCACCGAGACCGCCUCCAGGGCCUCCUCCUGGACGCGCGGGUCGGGGCACUCGAGCAGCGAGACAAGGACCCCGACGCCGUCCGGGACGUCGGAGGCCACGACGCGGACGCACUUCUCGUCGUCGCGCAGAGCCUCGCCGAGCGCGGCGGCGGCCUCCCUCCGCAUCUCGGCGCCGCCGGCCCGGAGCCUGGCGAAGAGGUCCCGCACGUAGAACCGCACGUCAUCGCGGGUGGCGCCGGCGCCGGGGCGUGGCACCACCAGCGCCCGCGCCCGCGUGAGCGCGCCCGACGCGUACACCUCGUCCAGCCGCGCCACGUGCGCGUCGAGCGCCGCCGCCAGGACGUCGAGGUCGCUGCGCAGCCGCAGCUUGCCGCCGCCGUAGUGCCGCCCCUGGCUGCGCGGCACCAGCUCCAGCGCCUCCCGGGCGGUCGCCGCGACGUCCCGCAGGAGGCUCGCGAACGCGUCGCACCUGUCCUCGCCGUUGUCGUCGUCGGCGCCGGUGACGGUGAUGUCGGCGAGGCCGGCGUGGAGGCGGUUGAGCCGGUCCCUGAUGAGCUGCCACUUGAGCGGGAACAGCGUGGCCGACAAGGAAGCGGAGACCAAGGAACUGAUGGCGUCCAGCGCCUCCGCAAGCAUCCCCUGCUCAUCCAGCUCCUCGUUCUGGCUCAACUCCGCCGCCGGCGCGGCCGCUUCUUCCUCCCCUGCUUCUCCCAUCCUCCUGUCCUGUCCAAGCUCACUGCCUCAGCAGCAUCGGUCAGCUCCUUCUCCGAAGAAGGCUCACAUGCACCUCUUCGAUUCUCGCCGAGCUUGCAUCGUGGUGGUGGUCGAGCGAGGACGAGAGGAGAGGUGGAAGGAAGCAGCGGUGCGUGGAGUGUGAUAACUGUAACUGCACGGUGGCGCUGAACUGGAAGAGACGGGCAGCUUUGGCGUCUUCCAGGUAGUUAAUGGAGGUGGAGGUGGAGGCGGGUGGGCCCGGCAGUGGGCGGUGGACCUACCGGCCGGGGCGCAGGCGCAGCACGAGCGCGCGACUGUUGAUGCAUGCGCUGGGCUUCUCGGGGAAACACGACGACGAGGCCCCGCCUGCCCUGGGGAUCGGCGAGCUUUGGUGCGGAGCGGCAAGCGCACGACGAGGGGAAUGGAAUAGCGGCACAAGUGACCAAGCCUGCCAGCGUCCACUGGCUACGGGUUUAGGAUCGCGUGACACGCUCAAAUGCUAGGCGCACAUAGAGGAGAAAUAUGGAACCCUCUCCAGCUCAAGUGUCAACCAUUUGAACAACACAAAUAUACAGUAUCUUGUUCUGUGUGGUGAAAGACGAAACUAUGCAAGCCGACAGGACAACCUCCUCAUCAGUCUUGUAUUGUAUCUCUCACAAAUAUGGCUAUUUAUUUGGUCAUAGGCGGCGUACUGCUCAUUGAUAGCAAGGUACGUGACCUUGUCACCCUGAACGUCUAUGUGUGUGUGUGUGAAUCAGUGGUUGUGCCAAUAUAUUUAUUUCUUUUUCAUAAAAAAUAUGGACGCUGAUACUGCAUCUGAGUGCCACAUCAAGAGCUUUCAGGAUGGAUGUCAAUGCUCAUUCAUAUAGCUUGAUGUAUCCACUGUUCCACUAGAAUGGAACUCAUCUGUUACAAUUUGCACUAACAAACACCAUGACUCAAAUUCGGUCAAAUAAAUCGUUUAUUUUUAUAUGUAGUAAAACUUCUCACUGAUGGUUUGGAUGAUAUACUCCUUUUUGGUUCGAACAACUCAUUGUCCUAGAUAUAACAUAGAGAAUAAAAUAAUGAUACACUAGAAUUGAACUCAUUUCUUACUCUUUGCACUGACAAACACCACGACUCAAAUUCGGUUAAAUAAACCAUUCAUUUUUAUGUAGUAAAGUUUUUACUGAUGGUUUCAAUUUUUUAUGUAGUAUGCGAAUAUGGAUGGAUCAUGGAUGCCUAGCAUUAUCUACAUAGCACGCUCAAUACUCAUGCAUUCUCUAGGCUACAAAAUAUAUUAUUUUUAAUUAUUUUGAAACUAUUUGAAAAUAGUCAUUAUAAUUGAACCUAUUUAGAUUUGUAUCUAUGACUAUUGAUAUUAAUAUGGUUAAUGGUAUUAAUUUUAAUCAUAUGACUAAUGAUAUACAAUUUAACUUCAAAUUGCGCACAUUCAAUAAUUAAAAAUUGAAUCUAUUUAAAAUUUGCAAUAAUUAUCUUGAAACUAAUUUAGAAUGGUAUCUAUGAAUAAUAAAAAUAUUAAAUUGUAUAAACUAUUUAUUUCUAAUUUCAAUUAAUGUUGGCAAUGCUAUAUAUCCCAUGUUGUAUUUUUAUGACUUGUAAUAUGAUUGGUGUAAAUAAAUGUGUAGUUGUGAAAAUAGAAAAAAUAUGAAAUAUUAAUGGUAUAUUUUUAUUCAUCUAACUCAGUGUUUGGUUAACAUAUUAGCCCGGUUUUCAAUCAAAAUAUUAUUUUUUAAUAAUUUAUUUAUAAUGGUUCUAAGAAAGUAUUAACUCAAUAUACAUGUUCAAACCAUUAUUAGUUUUUAUGUGUUUUUGUUCUUAAAUAUAAGUAUCCUUUGGUUUUUGAAAUGAAAAGAGAAUUUAUAAUUUGAGGUGCAGAUAGUCCAAUUUCUAUCUGUAUUAAAGAUUCAAGAGUAUCCUAAUUCAUUUUAAAAUAUGGAUACAAAAGUGGAAAGAGCAAUAUAUAACGGUAUCCUAUCUAAUUUCCAUCCCAGAAAAUCUCAACGUGGUGACCACUUUCCACGAACGAAACUCGCCACAGCUCGGACGCAUGAUUCAUCACGAGAUGCAACAUCGAGUUCUUAGCAUCGACCGAUGGCAUCAUGGCAAAGCGAACAAAGUCUGUCAAGUCAGUCCAGGCAUCUAGCAGCGCAGCCUGCAGCCGAGAAUCACGAAGCACUGCCGCACUGGCACUGAAGCAUCCACUCAACGCCGAAGAACGCGCGCGACUGGACAAGAGCGCAUGCACGGGAGCAAUUCCUGUGCGCCUGCCUCAUCGUGCCAUGCAUGCAAUCCUGCCAUGAAAACUACUACUCUAGAACUGCCAAUCUUCUCGUCGCCUAGGAAAGGGUCCAUUUCUAUCCACUUGCGCUUCGCUUCUACGCCGCUCAUGUGAGCCCUUCCUUAAUUUGGCUGCACCUGCACCUGCACCUCACGAGAGAGCCUCGCUUUAGCUGGUGUGGAUGUGAAGGAACAAAGGGCGAAAGGAGCACAGGAAAAGAUGCAUAAAAAGCUCUGCAUGGCAAGGAUCACACAAGGGUCUUGUUGCCCUCAUGGCAAGAAAAGGGCGCCCGCUUUCCUCUUUCUGGAGAUCCGCAGAAUACUUGGCGGUUGGUCAUGUGAGAGCGAGAGGCAAACGGCAUCGGCUACCUGCUCUGCUCAGCUACCGGUCUGUUACUGCAGUGUGAUCCGUGAUGCUGCAUUGCCGUGGUAAAGAACAGUGCAGGAUGGAAACAUGUGAUUCGUGAACAUUCCAUCAGGCAAACAGAGAUGAGAACAAUUUAGCAUGAUUUUGCCGUGUAUGGCUGCAUGCUGCAUCGGUACGUCCGUCGGAUUAUUGUCUCUGGAUGGAUUGUGACUUUGUGAGAGCCCAUGCCUGCAUGGGAGCUGGGGGCUCAGCACAUGUGGCUGGAACUGUGGAUGGAUAGCUGCGAGACUCUACCAAUAUCACUGAUAUGAAAUCAAUCAAUAAUGUUUCGGAAAAUGCAGCUGCAGUGGUCACGUAUGCAUGGCUGGAAUCGUCUACUGUUUGGAAUCAGUACCUAGCAGGAUAACAGACCAUCUCCUCCUUAGAAAAAAAAUGAAGGCAAAGUCUGUACAGAACUUUCACACAGAUUGUGGCUACCUGAUUGUAUGAGCCACCACUCAUCUCCUGUAGUUAGUUCUUCAGAAACCUUGGACCCAUCUCCUCAUAAUGCCAUUGUUCUCUGGACAAACUCAAUAAAUUGGUAAUACGAGAUCCUGGAAAAGGGACAGAUCUCUGAUCUGGACCCAUGAUUGCCCUUCAAGAUCAUCAUGGGUAGUGGCUCGCAAAGCGCUCCCAAAGUUUUGGUCCCAUGGAAAGUGGUUGUGGGUGACAAAGUACAUGUGCUAUAGCCCAUAGGAUGAUAUGGUAGUAAAAGCUUCGGUUUCCCCAUGGAGAGGAAAAGCCACCCCCACUUUCUUGAGAAGAAAAAAGUUUGUAAGCCAACAGCUAUCUUUUGCUGCAAUGUUUAUGCAUUGACUCAAAUCAUCGCAGCAGAUUUGGCCGCUGAUUGUCAAACCUAGCGCAUGCUGAUUCUCUAGGUGCUUUGAGUGGCUCAAGGAUUUUGUCAUGUCUCUGCAAGAAAUGUUUUUUAAUAAAAAAAGGAGAAAGAAAUGUUUCUGGAUGCAGUGAGUGCAGUUAAUACUGAAACAGACAUGAUUAUAAAGUACAAAAUCAAACUUGACAGUUAGUGGCAUAUGAUCCAAUCUAGUUCAUCAUUAGACUAGGUGAUCUCAAGAGUAGGUAAUUUAGACGGAAAGGCAUGUAAUCCAAAGUAGAACGAAGAUGUACCCAAUCUGAACCUUGCUUUUGCUUUGCUAUCCAAGAUCAUGCGGUGGAGUAGUUGCUUUUCGAGCUUUCAAGAGACAAGCCAGUGCUACAGAACAGUUGCUUGGGACAGUACUGUACUGGUGAAGUUUUAUCAAAAAAUAUUAUUGGAGAGCGUUCGCUACCUAAAAUUAGCCAACUGAAAGCAAAACACCACCAACCAUCAGUUUGACAUGCAUGCAUCCUUUAAUUAGUUGUCUUAAAUUGUCAUGCAGUUUGUGAUACAAUGAACCAUGUCUGAUAUUCUUCAAUGACAAACUAUUUUUUUUCACUAAUUUACUGCUAAAUUUUAGUAGUUUCUUGCAGCAGUGUUUGUUUACUACUGUUGACGCAGCCUGCCGGAUCAUGAAGCAGGAUUGUAGAACAGUCCAAGAUCCAGGUUAUAAAAAAUAAACUGUACUGAAUGUUUGGGAUCCAAGAUAUGUUACCGUAGAAUGUAAGCUGGAAACAAGUUUAGAAUCAUCAGUGGUUGGUCAUCUUACCGAUCCCUUCAGCACUCCAUAGAGAUUGAUGUGUUCAAUCAAGUGCUGGGGAAUAAAGAAGUGAUAUGUUUGGUAAAAGGAAAAUGAAUAAGUUGGAUAUACCCGAACCACUCCACAUGCUCUGCCGCAGUUCCGACACAAGACUGAAUUAAUAUGUAUGCAGUCAUAGAAAGACAAAUGGUCGAAGGCAGGAACAAUUAUAGGGACUGGUGAAUAAAGAAUCUACAAAGAAAUAUUAAAUUAAAUUGUCUUUAAAAUGUUGCAUGCAAAUGUCGUAACCCUCAAAAAAAAACAGACCAACAUAAGACAAACAAAAUAAAGUGCAGAUUCAUGAAGAGCGUAUCACAAUAAAACAGAUAAACAAGGACGCAACACACAAGUGAAGAAACUUUCUGAAGAACUCCUGUGUGUGACACGACCCAACACCUGCAGGCAGAUCGAUGACACCUUUCUCAUGAACAAAUCACUGCCAAAGAUCACUGACAAAUUUGAUGAGACCGAUUAACUUAACAGCAAUAUUCAGAUCAAUUUCAUUGUAAACUCUGCAUAACUUGGUCCACAAUUGGUUCUGAAAAUGACACCGUAUCGUGACACGCCGUCUGCUGGUUCUAGUGGGCCACAGCUCUCUAUGAGCAUGACUCGGCCACGAUAUGCCAUUUCUUCACCAUUUUCAUAUCCAAAAAAGCUCCAUAUACUGUCUGUCCCAAGUUAUCUCAUCCAGAGUUUCAGUCAUGCAGCACCUCCUGAUUCUACCGGAGGUCUAGAGCACUUCCUUUGAGCAGUUGCUCUAGAGCAGUUCCUUUGAGCACAGCCUCGAUAUCCAGCCUGUACCAGGGCCCAACGACGGCGAAUUGGCAAACGGCCCACCCCAAAACCUGUGGCGACAAUGUGCAUGCAAGCGCGACGAAAGUGUCGUCCAUGAGCCUCGAGCGUUCUACCGCCUUAUCCCGGGUUCCCAGCCAAGUGGAGCAGGGUCCUCCACGAUCUCUUCAGUGGCCGGCGUUGGACGCGGCGAAUUCUUUACACGCCGCCGCUAUCCGAGCCACGAACACCGAGGCACGUGCGCCCGGCGCGGCCACAUGUCGAGCAGCACGCGAUCGAACGCUCUUUUCCGUCGUUCCCAAUCCGGCCUCAAAUUCAAUUUGGCGCCCCAUUUGGUAAUGGCUAUAUAACGUGACGAGCCACCCGAAGCAUUCGCCGCAUCUCGCGCCCCGGCAUCUGCUCCGCUUCCUCUCGGCAAGCCGGCCACCGUGUCGUAGUCUCGUGGAGCGACAGAGCAAGGCGGCGGCGGCGGCGGCGGCGAGGAUGCUGGAGAGCCAGGCGGUGAUCGGGGACACGGACAUGCUGCAGGCGAUGCAGCAGGACGCGCUGCGGCUGGCCGGGAAGGCGCUGGACGACUUCGAGGCCGUCGACUCCACCGAGAUCGCCCGGUUCAUCAAGAAGGUCGGUCGGUCGGCCGGUCACCGUUCGUUGUUGCAGCGAACACUGAACGCCUUUUCAGAAUGGUGACAUGUUUCUUUGGUUUCUGAUGCUGACAUGUUUUUGCAGGAGUUCGACCGGUCGUACGGGCCCGGAUGGCAGUGCAUCGUGGGCACCGACUUCGGGUCCUUCGUGACGCACCACUCCGGCUGCUUCAUCUACUUCGGCAUCGGCAACCUGGCCAUCCUGCUGUUCAAUGGCGGCGCCGGCGGCGCUCCUCAGGGUGGCACGGCGGAGCAGGCGCGGCUCACGGCGCUGAAGGCUGCUGUCGAGGCGUGAGGGAUCGGAAUGGCGUAGGGUAUGCAGGAUGGAUUGGUCGAAGUUAUUAUGGUUCGUGUCAUGGUGUGGCUGUGUUCCUGCCACGUCGUUUCGUGCUUGCUUGCGAGUGAGAGUGGCCAGACUCGAGUGUAGCGAUCAAACUUGGAGGACUUUAAUUGGGUCUUGUUUUUAAUUGGGUCUUGUUUCCCAAAAUCCCAACUUUGGUACUAUGCAAAAAGAAGAUUCCCCAUCAUAUUAAACUUGCGGUACAUGCAUGAAGUACUAAAUGUAGACAAAAUAAAAAACUAAUUGUACAGUUUUGUUGUACUUUGCGAGACGAAUUUUUUGAGCCUAAUUAGUCAAUGUUUGGACAAUAAUUCAUAAAUACAAACGAAACGUUACAGUAUGCUACAGUGCUGGCAUAGUGAUUUUGAUUGUUCAAAAUCGAGCAACUGAACAGGCCCUUGGUAAAAAACAUUGUUCUGGCGGAAGCAGGUCACACCGAAAGUGCGGAGUGGAACUUCACAUGCAUUUUCAUCAUUCUCACGUUUCUUCAGAAUCUUCAGAAUCAUUGUUCUCGCAGAAGCUGUGGGCUAUGGGCUACGGAUCAGUCCUUCGCUAUCCCUUCCUUUUCGUCCGUCUAUCCGGAAUUUUUUUAUUUUCAUAUUUUUUUCGAUUUUGCACAAAUAUAUAGUCAAAUCAAAAAUUUGCAAAAUGGGCUUAUACCGCCGGCUGAAAUUGUACCGUCAGUUGAAACGGUACCGCCGGUUGAAACGGCGGUAUGGGCCUGGCGCCUCAACGGUCACCCAGCGGAUAAGCUCUGCGCGGCAUCCGAGGAAACUGGCCCUUACCGCCGGUCAAACAGCGGGGCUCGCCCACCGUAUAAGCCGCACCCGCGCCCCUCCCCUCCCCCGCACCAGACUGCGCCAGACAAAGAGAGAACGUCAGAGAAAGAGAGGAAAGGAAAGAAGGGAAGAAAAAAAAGAAGGAGAGGAGAGGAGGAGGAGGGAAGAAGGGGGGAAGGAAAUUCUUCCGUCGUUCCGAGGUAAAUUUUUUUAAUCUCGUAGUUUAGAUAGUAUAGUGUAGUGACUAAAUCUAGAUUUAGAAAUAUUAGUGGAUCUGAGAUUUAGAAAUAGCUAGUGAAUCUAAGACUUAGAAACAUUUAGCCGAAUUUAGAUAUAGUAAAAUGUAGCUUAGUUGGUACAAUAAAUUUAGCUUAAACAGUAAAAUAGAUUUAGCUUCGGUGGUAUAGUAGAUUUAGCUUAGGUGGUAUAGUAGAUUUAGCUCAGGUAGUACAGUAGCUUUAUUUUAGAUCACAGUAAAUUUAAGAAAUAUUAGUGGAUCCGAGAUUUAGAAAUAUCUAGUGGAUUUGAGAUUUAUUUGUUGUGUAUAUUAGUUCUGGUACAUGUCUACGAUAAAUUUAGUUAGUAAGUUUGGUUUAGUGUUACAUAGUUAUUUGUUUAUUGUAGUUAACUGACAUCAUUGUAGUCGUCAUUGUGGUACACUAAGCUUGGUUUAGUGUUACGUCGUUGUCUGGUCCCCUCUCUGUUUGGGCUGUUGCAGCGCCGGUUAUAUAGCGUGAACCCCCGCCGGUUCAUCCGGCGGUAAGGGUCCUUACCACCGUUUCAACCGGCGGGGGUUCCUCGAUCCGCGCGCACACUGCUUCGGCGGCAGCGCUUAGGUGGUGAGGGCCUUACUACCAUUUCAACCGGCGGUAGGGCUCUCCCACCUGCUGAAACGGUAUCAGGGACCGGUGUAGGGGGUGUCAGGCCGUACCGCCGUUUCCGUAUAAACCCAUUUUUGUAAAUUUUUUAUUCCACUAUAGAUUUUUGUAAAAUCGGAAAAAAUAUAAAAAUAAAAAAAAUAUCUCCUCUCCGAGCAAAGCACAUGGGCCAAAACCUGACCUGGGAGACAACAGGAGAGAGAGAGAGAGAGAGACUUGUACAAGCGUUGGGCCCUGUCUCUGAACCAUAGGCCCAUGAACACACUGCUCUUUCCGUUCCAACUAGCCAGAAUGCCAGAUCACCUAACACCCUAUCAAGGGGUAAGCUUGCUACCUCAGUGACACGACCCGAUCUCACUUUUCUUCAACACUUUUUGCACACAUCGUUAUCACGUUUACAAAUCAUUUACUUGUCAAAAAUGCAAGAUGUCGUGCACGUAGACACUAGCGGAGUUAGGUGUAAACAAGACGUGUAGGGGUCCCUGUCCUGUUCCCACGAAAAUUAUGUCUUGAAAUGCUGCAAGAACAAUUGUAUCUGAAUACCUAAACAAACAAUUGUAUCUGAACCGGCUGCCGUCCAAAUCAUGUUUAUGGAAUGGGAGCAGUCUGUUCACGUGGCCCAUGACAGGGAGACAGGGAGAGUGCCUGAAUAACUAUUUGUCGCAUAUACGUGGAUCCCACUUGUCAGCGCCAUAGCCUCCUCUUCCUCUACCUUCGCCCGCUGCCGGUUCUCCUCUCCCUUCUUCCUCUUCCUCCACCGGCCUUAGAAAAGGGGUGGGAGAUCGUAGGUAGACCUUGACGGCAGAGGCGGGUUGUGAGGCGGCGCGGCGCGGUGGCGGGUGGAUAGCCGGUAGGCUAGGGAUUGGCGGGGGCGAAGGUUGGAGGUGAGCUUCUCGGCGGAGCCGUAUUAGGGUGACGGAGGGUGGCGGCGGCAGAUGCGGUGGCUAGAGUUGCCGCAGACGGUGGAGGACAACAGCACGGGGGCGAGCGGAGGAGAGAGAGGGGCCGAGGAGAGAAGGCAGCGGGUUCGGCGGCGAGCCGCCGGAGCCAGGGAGGAAGGUGGUGCAGGGGCUGUUACUGAUGUCGGCUGUUACUGAAGGCGACAUCGGCGGAUUUGUCGCCUUGAGUGACACGUAGCACCGCCCCAGUUAGGUUGCGACAAACGAUUUGAUGCCUGAACAACGUGCAGUCUGACGAAGCGCUGGAGACCAACAGAUUCGAGCAUUACAGCGAUAAGCAAGGUAUAAAUUUAGGUAACAGCAAAUUUAAAUAGUCCAGCAGGAAAUCCCAGGCAGCAGCACCUAAAACUUGCGACGAGAAAUGGACAGGCUGAGACGAUAUUCAGUCAGUGUGCACUGGCGCGUCACAUCACAUCAGCAUUGGCAUUGUUCUUGUGCUCUGAAUCUGAACUGAUUCGGCGAACCAACUUUAACCAACCAAGCCAACCACCAAACAGGCUACUGAUGCGAUCUAGGAAUCCAGAUCCAAACAGCAUUGCCAAGGCACUCGACCAUCCGCAACAAAAGCUUGGCGAUUCGAGCACAGUCCAGCCACUGAUGGCGUACACGCGUGAUGCAGCAGCACAGCGCGUACCAGUGGAGCAUAAUGGCCCAGCAGUUGCAACCUUGGCCACAAGGAAGAUGAAGAUGCCUGAGAAUCUUGCAAUGCCCAUCGAUACCACUCAGAAGUCACAGCAGCUCAUGAUUCUCAAUCUUUUGCGGUGAAUUUAAAAAAAGACCGGAACAACUGUAGGCUCUGAAUAAGUUAUCAUCAUCAUCAUGAUCUCAAAUAAGCAAAGCAAUCCGUUUGAGAAAAAAGGGAAAGCAGCAAAGCUUCUCACUCUCAGUAUCUCCUCAGCAUCCUAUAUGUACAUUGCGGCAAGCCAUCUAGAUAAACGCACUCAAGAACUCCAAAUCCACACGCCCGAUCAGCAAAAGUUUUGUUAAAAAAGCCCGUGAAACCAAGAAUUAAUCCCCAAGUAGAAAAAAGGACGUGGCGAAACGUGUGUGUGUCGCGUCCGGGGCAGUCGAUUCUGUCACCGGCACCGGGAGAUGUCGAUCUCGAUGAGGCUGUCCUCCUCCAGCAAGAUCUCGAUCAUCCCGUCCUCCCCCUCGCCCCCACCGCCGAUGACGCCGUCGUCGUCGCUGUCGCCGCCGACGCUGUCCGAGUCGGAGUCGGAGUCGAGGUCGGAAUCGGAGGCCCAGGACAGGCCCAUCUCCUCCGGCCGCCCCCACUCCGCCUCGAACUCCUCGUGGAUCACCUCCAGGGCGCGCCCCUUGGCCACCCACGACGCGAACUCGAGGGCCUCCGCCGGGAACACGAUCUCCCGCUCCGGCGGCGGCGGAGAAGGAGGUGGGGGAGGCGGCUGGAGAGGCGGGUGCGCGGCCUCGUGAAGCUGCUGCUGAGGCAGCUUCUCCUCCGGCUGCGUCGACGUAGGAGGAGGGUUGACGGGAGCGGGGGACGCCGGCGGCGCGGAGCCGAGGCGGAGGAGGGAGAGGAGGAGGAGCAGGGAGGAUAGCGAGGCGGGGGAGAGCACGAACAGCAGCAGCGGCCGGGGGAGGUAGAGCACGGCGAGGAGGGAUGCCGCGGCGGCGGCGGCGAGGAGCGGGUGGUGGUGGUGGGGCUGCCGCCGGUCGCCGCCGGCGGGGACCUCUUGCGCCGGCGGCGGCGGGGAAGGUGAGGUGGAGGGGGCGGAAGUGGCCAUUUAUGGCGGGAGGAGUGGGGCGGUUAAAGCGCCGGCACCCCGCCAAGCGCGGCGGUUUUUAUAUAGAAGGGGAAGCGGACAAGCAGAGGAGAUUUGCCGCAAAGCUCCGGCACGGUUUGGCAGAAGAGGGGAGAGGGAGGCAGAUGGAGUGAGUGACCGCGUCGAUGAACUACUGCUACGGCUUGGCAGCUCUUGCAAGUACACGCCAACGGGGGAGAGGACAGUCGGGUAGAAAGUCCAGGGCUCAGAACGUGAACGGCCAAACCGUGCCGCGUUAAAACUGGGAUGACUUUUAGGUGCUACUGCUUGGACAUCGGUAUUUUCUUUGGGUGAUUUUUCGAGCUGUAUAGAACAGCGUACAUUUACGAUUUUACGGUACGCGAAGAAGUGGUAUCGCUUAUUUAGGAAAUAACCAAUUGAAUGGUGUUAUUCCUCUGAUCACGUAUUUAAGCCCACCCAUGUUGAAGUCAAAAGUUCUUUUUAAUUAUGACUAUUAAUAUAUAAAGCGACUAGAAUUAAAUCCUAUUUGACUUGUAACCCUAGACCGUCAGCGUAUAUAAAGCGGCCAGGGACACCCCCGAGGUAACUCCCCUCAACCCAACAAACGUUAACUCUUUGCACCUGCGAUUAGCAAUAUAAUUCAUCAGAACACAGGAGAUAGGGUAUUGCUCUUCGGAGGCUCGAACCUGUCUAAACCUUGCGUCCCUAUGUUACCAUUCGAGUUCUUGGUCUUACAAUCUUGCUCAUCUACAAAUCUACCACCUGGAUAACCUCUAGUGGAUUGCCGAUUAGGUUUAGACAAUUAGGUUCACUAACCAAAAAGUACUUUCAUAUAUGCAUUACUCCUUCCAUUUAGGACGUUCUAAUAUUAUUGAUAUCGCUAAAAGUGUUAGAUUGGAGAUGGUAACUUGAUAUCUCGAAGUGUUACUCCUUCCAUAGCUCGAAGUGCUUUAUGGAUUUGAUGUACAAUUCCUAGUUCCAUGGCCAAACAAGUUUUGAUACUUCGAAUUAGUACGGUUGUGGCACAGAUGGUACGAGUUUUACACCGUGAUGGUCUGAUUCUAAUUGUUACAAAAGCUAUGAUAAAAUUUUGGAACCGUAAUUGGCACAAUGGCACAAAUACGUUUCCUUUUUUGAAGGAAAUGGCGGGUGCAAUGCCAUGUCAUUUAAGUAAAAUUAGCAUAAAUGCCCGUGCAUUGCUACGGUUUCUUACCAACUUCCAAGUUGUCAUCCGCUAGCACCUAGUUCGCUUUCUUCACUUUCUAAUCUGGUUUAGAAUGUUUCAUAAUAUUUGUAUACAUCUCUGAUAAUAAUAAAUGGACAACUCCUUUGAAUUCUGCAUGGCCUAUUUGAACGGUAGAAUCUCAAUUACAUAUGUAAUGUGUCCUACAUCUAGUUCAAACAUGCAUUAAAACUUCUGAUAAGAUUCAGUACUAAUGCAACUCAUGUCUUAGUUAUUAUGAACAUAAGAGAUUAUCCACAAAACUUUCAAGCUAUAAAACGAAAAAAUUAUAAGGCUAAACUAAAUGCUCAGUCCUUGAUUAUAAUAUACUCAACAAUUCAUGCCUGGUCCUGAUAGCCUGAUAUCCUGGUCUAGUUGCUCCAAGAAACAUGAGCAAUCAACAUUAUCCUUCAGCAAUUUGCUCCUCAUAAUAUAGUCAACAAUGACCAAAUGUUCUACAGACUCAGCCAAAUCAGCGUUGGAGGAUUUGACAUUUCUUCCCAGUCUUUUUUGCGGGACCCACAUUAGGCUGGCAAUCCAUGGCAACCACCGGCCAGCACCUUCCUGCCGCUAAACCCCUAGCAUCGCAUGGCCGCCGCACGACGGGGCGGGAAGAGGAGGGGCCGCCGCCCCUCGAGCUCGCCGUGGCCGUGCCGCAACGACUUCGUCCAACCUCCCAACGCCGCUCCUCGAGCUCACCGUUGCCGUGGUGCCGCCCUCCUGAACCUUGUCCCCGACCUCUGCCGCCCCUCAAGCUCCCACUACGGCCCGUGCGUCUACAGUGCUGCCGUCAGCACGAGCUUCCCGCUGCAGCCCGCGCGUUUUGGUGCCGCGGCUCGCAGUCGUCACCGCUGGUGUUGGCCAUGGGGAACAUGACCGGGUUGACGGCGAAGAACAACACAAAUUGGGCUUCCUAAUGCCGAGCGUGAGCUCCCUGCAACCCAAACCGAGCUUCAAACACAAAGCUCGAACUCG